Molecule: long non-coding RNA, 97421 nt
Filed under: Vitis vinifera (wine grape)
Lineage: Eukaryota; Viridiplantae; Streptophyta; Magnoliopsida; Vitales; Vitaceae
Description: long non-coding RNA (VVIN_LNC006924)
Source: RNAcentral
UUGGAGCAUUGGGCAGUUUUCGAUCGACAACAUUUCAAGAGAGGUGAGGUGCUGAAGACCCACUUCUGUCAAUGAUUGGAGCCUCGAGCAUCCAUCAAUUUCUAAUCGUUUUAGAGAGAUAAGGUGUUGAAGAACCGAUCCUGUCGAGAACUGGAGCUCUGGGCAGUUUCUGAUCUUUAAUUGUAGAAGAGAGGUGAGUUGUUGAAGACCCCUGCUGUCAAGAGACUUGAGAUUCGAAAGCUCUACAAUUUGAAGAGAAGUCAGAGAAGAGGGCAGCAAACACUCCUUGGGAAAUAAUUCAAUGUCUUCACAUCCACCGGUGAUUGUGAAAUGAGUAAGAGAGGUCAGCCUUUGCAAACCCCACUCCACCUGGGGUGUGAGUUGGUUGCACUUCUUAAUUUCAAGUUCACGUAGGUUGGAAGGCAAACCCUCUCUCUGAAACAACAAUUCUGGACAAUCCCAUAAAUUCAACGACCUGAGCUUGGAGCACCUAUAAAUCUUACAAGACUCCAAGUUGAGAGCGUGCAAUUCGAUAGAUUCAAGAUCAGGGCAACCAUCUAGAGACAGGGAACAUAAAGAUGUGGGAUCACCCUCUGAAACCAAAAUGGAGAGCUUCUCAAGCCCCUUAAGAUCAAGGAUUGUGAAAUUAGUCAACUUUGGGAAGAUGCCUAAUGAGAAGGAUAACGAGAGAGAAUCAUCGAUAACACCAUCUUUGAUUUCUAGACUUUCAAGGACUGGGAGAUGGCAUCUGAACAACUCAGGUAGGAGAAACGCUAAUUUCGAGCAGUCAGAGAUGAAUAGUGAUUUCAGUGUAGUGGGUAAACCAACUUUGUGCAGGGAUCUAGAAAAACUACAAUCAUAGAUUUUCAGAUCAUGUAUGUUGGUUUGCGAGAUUUCCUCCUCUAGCAGAGACUCCACAUAAUCACAUUUUCUAAUUGACAGCUGGUGUGGUGCCAUUGGAAGUUGACUCCACUGAGACACAUCUAAAAUUUCAAUUUCUGAAGUUUGAAGAGCUGUGAAGUCACAACCUGCCAUUUGCAACUGCAGUUUACCAAAAUCCACCAUCCUCAAUUGACGAAUUGCAGGAACUGUGAGUGAAGCCAUAAGCAGUUGCGGACAUUCAUGAAUUUGAAGUUCCACCAAUGAAAGAAGCUGUUCUGGUAAUUUCCCAAUGAGUUUGGGACACCUUCGUAUAAAAAGCUUUUGAAGAUGAGGGAAUUCUCCACAACAUAACCAUUUCUCCCAGUUCUGCAUAUCCUCAAAUGAUAGUGUUUCUAGGAAUUGAAAGGAAGCAUUCCCAUAGAACUCAUCACCCACACACUCUACUCCAUUCAUCCUUGAGAUUUGCAGAUAUUUAAGUUGGGUUAGCUGUCCAAGUGGUGGCAAUGUUGAGCAAUUGCCACAACCCCGAAGCUCAAGGGACACGAGAUUCAACACUGAAGGAUCUCCAAGCCAAUUUGGAAAUCCUUCACCAGGAUAGUUUGUGAUGGAGAGUUGUUUUAAAUUUGGAUGAGGUUGUAACUUGUUGAGUAUAUCAUGCGUUGUUGCACCACUUUGUGUAACACCAUUGGUACACAUGUAACGCCAAUCAAAGAUCAACUCAUCAAGAUAACUUUUAUCCUGCAUAUUAGCUCUUGAUGCAUCAUUAACACUCACCACAUUCUCCAUGUUUGAAAUAUAAAGUUUUCCUCGAAGCUCUGAUAGCUCCCCCAAUUCUCCAAUUCUUAAUCCAUUGUUUUGGCCCACAAUAAAUCGAGUCAACCUUUGUAAAUUUUUUAAUUGACCAAUUCCAUGACUUGACAUUGCUCUCAAUGAACGACAUCCAUCAAUAUCAAGAUAGCGCAAAUUAAUCAAUUUUCCCAUCUUUGAAGGCAAUUCAUCAAGUUCUGAACAAUUUCUCAGCAUCAUCGUUUGUAAAUUGCAUAAACAACAUACUGAUUUAGGUAAUUUUUUAAUCCUCGUGACAGACAAAUCCAAGUAACGCAAAUGUUUUAAAUUACCUAUCGAUUUAGGCAAAUCAGUUAUUGUAUAUGCACAUAAUGAUAACACACGUAAACACCACAUUUUUGGUAAUAUAUCUUGCAAAACUCUUUUACUCAAAUUAUAUAUCGGAUAGUCUUCCAUUUGCUUCACUCCUAAGAAUGUUCGAAUAGAUUUAGCUUUAGUGAUAGCCUCAAAAUUCUUAAAUGCAACAAGCCUCUCAUAAUCACUUUUAAAGUACAAAAAGUGGUGAGCCUUCUCAGAUACUUUCAGUAACUUAUCAUCCUCUUCCACUCGAGCACAAAAAUCUCCAGACACGUGUUGAGCCAAUUCGUGUAUUAGAUCAUGCAUUACAAAGCAUGAUCCUUUUGUUCCAAUAGAUUUUUGAAAGAAUGACUUGGCGAGAAGUUCAUUAAAAUAUGACUCACCUAUCUCUUCCAUUCUCCUUCCUUCGUUUUCUUGUGGAUGUAAAAGACCUUCUGCCAUCCAUAAUAAAAUCAGCUUCUCUUUGUUGAAUUGGUGGUCCUGGGGAAAAAUAGAACAAUAAGCAAAACAAUGCUUCAGAGGUAGAGAAAGAUGAUGGUAGCUUAAUCUCAAAGAUGGAAGAAUUUCGGAGCCACUCUGCCGCCAUAUGUCACUGUUCAACACAACGUUCCAUUCCCCUUUGUCGGCCUCCGAAUACAAGAGACGGCCGAGUACUUUCACAGCCAAAGGCAAUCCUUGGCACUUGUCCACAAUCUGUCUGCCUAUGGGUUUAAGCUCAAGGAAUGCGUUGGGGUCUCUAUCUCCAAAUGCAUGCUUUUUAAACAGGGACCAACUAUCUUCAGAGCUUAAUUUCCCAAGAUCAUGAGUAGGGGCCGCUUUCAUGGCUUCUGCAACAGAUUUAUCACGACUGGUCACAACAAUCUUGCUUCCCUCUGCUGCAGCGAGGAGUGGAGUUCGUAGACGUUCCCAACCUUCACGAUCACUAAGCUCCAUGUAACCUUCAUCACGAGGCUUCAAAUUCCAGACGUCAUCAAGAACAAGCAGAAAUUUCUUGUUACUAAGUUGCUCUUUGAGUUGAAGCUGAAGCUUAUUUAGGCUGUCAAAAUCAUCAGUUUUAGAACCGAUUUCGUAUAGAAUUGUUUUAGUGACCUUGAUAAGGAGAAACUCAGUGGAAACACAGACCCAUACUUGCAAGUCGAAGUGUUUCUUCACUUCCUCAUCGUUAUAGAGGUGCCGAGCAAGCGUGGUCUUGCCGCUGCCGCCCAUGCCCACUAUGGACAUCACCCCCAUUUUGCCGCCUGUUGUAUUGUCAGAAAGCAACCACUUCACCAUCUCCUUCUGAAUUUCAUCCCUGCCGAGAACAAUGGAGUCAUCCUCCAAAGAAGUGGACGUUGGUAAUCUUGGUGUUGGUGACCGUGAUCCUGCUAGCCCCAACCGAACAAUUUCUCCUCCGAUUUUUUCCAGUAGAUCAAUCAUGCCCCUGACCCUGGACUCCAUGCUUUUGAUAGCAAAUGGGGCCUUCACAGAAGCAGAGAACUUGUUCCAUUUCCACGCCUUAAGAGUUCCGCCGGUUUGGGAGUCAGCAGCUUCCAUCUUGCAACGCAAAGCGUCGGUAGCGAUCUCGUCCAACAGGUCUUCCGCAUCAUACACAGCAUCCUUGACAUGGACGAGCCACUCUUUGACAUUUGGGUUGGAAAAUUGCUUCACCUCCGCAUCAUCGAGCACAUUGAGAACAACCACGAGUUUCCUCUUCAACUCGUUGAGGAGUUCAUCGCUAAGGUUCCGUCGCCGAAUGAAGUUUAUGAGCUCUGGAGAAGCCAACCUUUGGAAUAGAACUUGAAGCGAAGCUGAGAGGAGGGCGUCCGCCAUAUCUGUGUCGACUGUUGCUUUGCAAUAGGAAUUCAGAGGAUUGGUUUCUGUUACCGCGAUACCACCAAAGUGCAAAAGACUGGGUUUGGAUUACCACACUGCAGAAUGCUUGAAGGAAUCAUUAUUGGUGGUGGACCCAGCUGCCAGAUAUUUGUCAAACACCAUAAUUGAGUGGUGAGAAAAAGAACAGGAAAAGCAAGUGGGAGAUGGAUGGUGCUUUCCCAACGGAAAGCAAAAGCAACAACAACAUUCGGUAUUUUUCUUUUUCAUCUACGCAUUUCUUCUUUCUUCUUUCUUCUUGUAGUAUUAUUAUUAGUAGACGUAUACACACAAAUAUUUGUUUAUAACAUUAUCAUUCCUAAUAUUAUAAAAUUUAUUAUUAAUAGAAUUUAUUAUAAAAUUUGUUAUUAAUAAUAUUUAUACUAAUAUUAUUUUUUAAUAAUUAAUUAGUAUCCUUACUUUUAUUGUUUAUAAUAAUAAUAAUAAUAAUAAUAAUUAUUAAAAUUUAUUAGUAUUUUCAAGUAAACAAUGGUAUAUGCAUAAGACAUAUUAAAAUUUUGAAUAUUAUGGUUAUUAUUAUUUGAUUCAAAAAAAGUUUAUAAUAUAAUAAUAACAAAAAUAUUUUUUUUAAUAAAAUAAAUUAUAAAAAUAUAAGAAUUUUAUUAUUUAUAAAAUAUAUUUAUUUUAAUAUAAUUAAAAUAAUUAAAAUAAUUUUAAAAUUUAAAAAAAAAGUUAAACGUGACAGGAUUAGGAUGGGACCGACCUAUCCCAAUGCUGCCCAUUGCCAUCCCUAACUCACCUAGUGGUAAUUAAGGCCAUUUUUUAUUAUUAUUUUUUUAAAAUGGUCUUUUAUUCUUAAAAAAAGAAAAAGGAAAAUAUAUUUAAUAAUUAGAAAAUAAAACAUAAUUUUUGUUUUUAAAAAUAAAAAAUAAGGCAUUUUUAGAUGAUACCCUUUUAGUUACUUUUACUUGUUUUAAAAAAAUUAUUGUAAAAGUAAUUAUAUAAAUGUAAAAAAUAAAAUAAUCUAGGUAAAAAUUAUUUUUAAAAUAUAAAAAAUUAGUUAAGAAUACUCUAUCUUCUCAAGCUCGUUUUAUAAAAUAUCAUAAAAUAAUUUUCAAAAACUUGUUUUUUCAUUAUUUUGACAACCGGAAUAAUACACAAUAAAAAUAAAUAAAUAAAAAUAAAAAGAUCCAAAGAAAGACAAAUGUGUUGCAGUAAUGCACUUAAAUUCACUGAACCUAAAAGCCAAAUGUGCAGUGUUGACUUUUCAACCGAGAGUUCACACAUGCCCAUUUUUUUUAAUUAAAGCACUAUUAAUAUAAAAUAUAUAUUUAAAUAAAAAUUAGACUUUUAAAAAAAUUAAAAUAUAUUUUUAAAAUGUUAAAAAAAUAUUUACAAUAUUUCCUUAAAAAAAAACAUCUUCCAAAAACAUUUCUUUAAAAAAUACUUCCACCUAUAAUAAUUCAGACACACUUGUGAUUUAAUAGUUAAAUAUUCUUUCUAAUAGGAAUUCAACUAUCGGUUUGUAUUACCACGAUACCACCAAAAUACGAAAGACUAAUUUUGGAUUACCAAAAUGCAAAAGAGCUGAAGGAAUCAUUGAUGGUGGAUGAUUCAGAUGUCCACAUUAUUUGUCAGACACCAUAAUUGAGUGAUGAGGAAAUGAAAGAAAAGCAAAUAAAAAACAAAAAAGGUGAUGCCAAACAUGGUCUUAUAAGGUGGGUGGAGCGAAAGCAACAAAGGAAACUAGCAGGAUUUUUCAUUGCUAUUACAUACCUCAAAGGACAAAUUUUGAAUUACCAAAAUACAAAAGACUUAAAGGAAUCAUUGAUGGUGGUGACCAGAUGUCCACAUUAUUUGCCAAACACCAUAAUUGAGUGAUGAGAAAACAAAAGAAAAAGCAAAAAAGGUGAUGCCAAACAUGGUCUUGUAAGGUGGGUGGAGCAAAAGCAACAAAACAAACUAGUAGGAUUUUUCAUUGCUAUUCCAUAUCUCAAAGGACUAAUUUUGAAUUACCAAAAUAUAGAAGACAUGAAGGAAUCAUUGAUGGUGGUGGACCAAGAUGUUCACAUUAUUUGCCAAACACCAUAAUUGAGUGAUGAGAAAAUGAAAAAAAAAAAAUGAAAAACAAAAAAGGUGAUGCCAAACAUGGUCAUGUAAGGUGGCUGGAGUGAAAGCAACAAAGUAAACUAGCAAGACUUUUCGUUGGUAUUCCAUACCUUAAAGGAUUGAUUUUGAAUUAUCAAAAUACAAAAUACUUGAAGGAAUCAUUGAUGGUGGUGGACCCCGAUGUCCACAUUAUUUGCCAAACACCAUAAUUGAGUGAUGAGAAAAUGAAAAAAAAAAGUUAAGAAAAAACAAAAAAGUGAUGCCAAACAUGGUGUUAUGAGGUGGGUGGAGCGAAAACAACAAAACAAACUAGUAGGAUUUUUUGUUGUUAUUCCAUACUGAGAAAAUAAAGGGCUACUCUAGGUGAAUAGAAGUUAAAAAAUGUCUUUUUAAACACAAUAAAAUGAAGCACAAGAAGUACAAAUAUAAAGAGGUAAGGUUAUAGAAAGUAAACUCAAAUUUAUAGUGGUUCGACACUUCCGUGCUUACAUCCACUCUCCUCAAGCUCCUACCUGAGUGAGGGUUCCACUUAUACUUGAAGUUUCAACCAAGCUUCUAAUCACUUUUUACACUUGGAUUCCAGCUCCAAUGGAUUCUUAUACAAUCUCUUCAAGUCUUUACUCACUUGAAUGUUUUAACACUCAAUUAACAAGUUUGAAUCUCUCAACCUAGCUCAACAAUGACUCAAAUACAACUCAAGGCUAGGAUGAAUCACUAAGGUGCACUAAAGAAUAUGCAAAUGGAAGUUUAAUGCACUAAGAAAAUAAUGAGAGCUUUUAUGACAAUAAUAAGUAGGUAAACAAAUAAAUGCAAGUGUUCUCUUGCUCAUAAAUGAGGUAGAGCUCUCAAUUUAUAAGUUUCUAACCUCAGGAGCUAAAAAUCCAAAAAGCAAUCUCGACUAGUCGAGCUGGGGGUUGACUGGUUCACUAGCCGUUGAAACAUUAAAUGCUUGGCAGGUGACCGUUACCCUCGACCAAACCUUAACCGGGAAGGCAAAUCCAUAAACCAGGAAAGAAAGGCUACUGGAAGAGAGAUAAUGUUUUUUGCAUCUCUUGACUUAGAAGGAGUAAUCGGUAGACCGGUACCUAGCCGAUUGAGCCGGUUGACCAGUGCCUCGACUAGUUCACCAUUUUUAGUUCGAAAACCUAUCUUUUUCUGGUCUUUUUGCUUCUAGCACUUAGGCAAGGACUUUAGAUAAAAUAAUAUGCCAAUUUUGAAUGUUUUGCCUAAGGUUCAUUUGAUAGAACUCAGAUUUGGAUGGAAAUGUAACUUUAAUGCAUAAACCGAGUUUUAAAGAUGUAUGAAAUGAUAUGAAUAUCCUAAGUACACCCAUGCAUUCGUCUUACGUAUGUUUCUUAUGAUUAAAAGGUCUUUCAAAAGUCUUAAUCUUGCAUUCAUUAGGUCCUUUAAUGAAUUUCCAAAUUAACACCUGAAAUUCUUUAUAAUUCAAAUCAAUUAGUAACUUAACCAUGAUUUGUUAUCAUCAAAACAUGAUUAGAAGAAUCAUUGGGCUAACACAUACCCAAAGGACUAAUUUUGAAUUACCAAAAUAUAGAAGACUUGAAGGAAUCAUUAAUGGUGGUGGACCAAGAUGUCUACAUUAUUUGCCAGACACCAUAUUUGAGUGAUGUGAAAACGAAAGAAAAGCAAAGGAAAAACAAAAAAAGGUGAUGACAAACAUGGUCUUGUGAGGUGGGUGGAGCGAAAGCAACAAAGCAAACUAGCAGGAUUUUUUGUUGCUAUUCCAUACCUCAAAGGAUUGAUUUUGAAUUACCAAAAUACAGAAGACCUGAAGGAAUCAUUAACGGUGGAUGACCCAGAUGUCCACAUUAUUUUUCAAACACCAUAAUCAAGUGAUGAGAAAAUGAAAGAAAAGCAAAGGAAAGGAAAAAAAACGUGAUGCCAAACAUGGUCUUGUAAGGUGGAUGGAGUGAAAGCAACAAAGCAAACUAACAAGAUUUUUUGUUGCUAUUUCAUACCUCAAAUGACUGAUUUUGAAUUACCAAAAUACAGAAGACUUGAAGGAAUCAUUGAUGGUGGACAACCCAGAUGUCCACAUUAUUUGCCAGACACCAUAAUUGAGUGAUGAGAAAACGAAAGAAAAGCAAAAAAGGUGAUGUCAAACAUUGUCUUGUAAGGUGGAUGGAGCGAAAGCAACAAAGAAAACUAGUAGGAUUUUUCGUUGCUAUUCCAUACCUCUAAAUCACCAUAAUAAUAAUAACAAUAACACCAAAUUUUAAGGUUAUUUUUUGUUAUAAAAAAAUACUAGGAAAAGAAAAAAAAUAAUUAAGGAAAAUAAUUUUUUCAUAUUUGGUUUCACUAUAGAAAAUAUAUAUAUAAAAAAUCAAAUAUAAUUAAAAUUAAUUUGAAAUUUAUAUAUUUUAAAAGUAUUUAAUCUUUUUAUAAUUUAGAAAAAAUAAGUAAAACGAGUUUGAAGAAAUGUAUAAAAAUAAUUUAUUAAAUUUAAACUUAUUUCUUAUUUUCCUUCAUUUUUUCUUUUCUUCUACUUUUUCUUUCUAUUUUCUUUCCUUCUCAUUUUCCCUCAAAUUUUCCAAGAACCAAACAUAGCUUAAAGGUUUAGAAUCUUAUGCACAAGACUUUCAAUUUUUUUUACAAUAUUAUUUUAUUAGUUAAGAAUUAAAAUUUAAUGUACCAUAUCUAACACUAACAAAAAAAAUUAUAACAACCAGUCUUAUCUUUUAAGAAUGUAUUGUUUAAAUGAGAUUAAAAAUUAAAAAUAAAUUUUAAUUCAUUUAACAACUAAAUUAAAAUGAAAUUUAUAUAUAUCAUAAAUUUAUACAAUUUUGAAUCAUUUUAUAUGGAGGAUUGAGAAUGGAGAGAUUGAAGAAUUGUUUGGUGACGAGGAGAUUGAUUGAAGAUUUUAUAGUCUUAAGGUUCUAUGGGAUGAAAUUUUUUGUAAAGAGUUUAAAUUUUUGUAAAAAAUAAAAUUAGUUUUAUGUUAUCUGAUUUCAUGGAAAUAUAAAGUUUUAAUUCAAAGAUUAUGUUUUAAAAAUAUUAUUUUUAAAAUAUAUUUAGCAAAGAUUUAUAAAAAUUUAAAAUUAAAAUUAAUUAAUCUAUCAACUAAAUUAAAAUAAGAUUUAUAUAUAUUUUUAUAGAUUUACAUGUGUAAAAUCUUUGAAAUGCCUCAACUUAAAAUAACCUUACAAAAUUUCAUUAAUCUACUAGAAUUUGCAUUAGGAUGAAUACCAUCAUAAUAAUAAUUACGCUCCACAUAUGACGUAUCUUAACAUCCACUUGGAGGUUAAAAAAUAAUUAAAGUAAGGGAAACUAAUAUAUUUAAAAUUUAAAAAUCAUGAUGAAGAUUUGGACAAUAAUUCAAGUAGGCAUCUUUGAAAUUUGACUUCCAAAUCCAUUUGUCAAUAUACACCACCCUAUGACAAUUAAAUAAAUUAAAAGAAGGAAAAAAAAAUGUUAAAGGAAUGACAUAAGAAUUAUUUAUGUAUGACUAGAUUUAAAGUUUAAUUAUCUGAGGAAUCCUUUAUUAUGAAAAUAUAGGGAACAAUUAUAUUUAAGGAGUAGACGGGGUUGAUAAUGACUAAAGGGUACAAAUUUUGCAUAAUUGAUCUAAAAAGGUAGAGAAGGUUUGUAGAUUGUUGUGGAGGAUAUAAACCCAUUUUGUGAGUCGAAAAUGCUCAAAAUACCCUUAAGAGUGUUUUUUUAAAAAGGACAAUUAAGUACUCAUGAUAAUUAAUAUAUUAAGAUUUCAAGAAAAAUUAAUAAUAAAUAAAAUCUUUUUCUAAAUCUAUUUAACAAUCAUAUAGUUUUUAUUUUAUUUUAUUUUUUCAAGUUGCAACUAUUAUCUUAAUUUAUUUUUCAUUUUAAGGUUCAAUUAUUAUUAUUCUUUAUUUUGAUUAAUUAAAUGAAACUGUACAAGACAUAUUUAUAUUAAUUAGCUAAAAAGGAUAGAUUUUUUAGCAAUACGAUUAAAAUAAAUAAAAACAAGGAAUUUGAUUUUCUUUAUAAAAUAGAUUGGGAAAAGUAUAUUUCGAUACAUUCGUAUGAAAAAAAAAAUCAUAAAAUAGGAACUCAAGUUUAUAAAAUACAAAUUUUAAGCAUCCAUCUAAAAAUAAUUAUCAUUUCAUGCAUUUUUUUGGUUAAAUAUAUUAUAUUUGACAAUUUAAGUAUUAUCUUUUAAUAAUGUAGGUAAUACCUUUGACCUGCAUACAACUUGAAUUAUUUUUAGAUAGUUUCUAUUGUAUAAUUAGUUCAUCAUUUGAUAUAAAUAUCAAAUAAUUAAAAAAUAUAUCUUUUUUUUUUAAGAAUUUUAAUUAUAUUUGACUUUCUUUUGUAUUUUCUAUUGUGUAAACCACAUAUAAGAAAAUCAUUUUCUUUAACAUUUUUUUUUCUUUCCUUAAUAAUUUUCGAGAACCAAACAUGGCUUGUAGGUUUGGAUUAUAGGGUAUAGAUGCCAUAAAUACUGGAAUGAGUUCGGGUUUUCCAUGCUAAAUGUCUUUAUUAUUAUUUGGUAGCGCUUUUCCAAAAUUGUUCCAUUCCCAAAACCACUUAAUUUGCUUAAAUAUUUUAACCUCACGAUAUCAUAACAUUAUAAUGGAAUAGAUUUUGUUGGUGUUCAAAUCAUGUCAACUCAAUUUCCAAACCAUUUGGAUUGUCAUUUGGUGAAAAAUAGAAAGAAAUUUUACUUGAUUGAAAAGCAUUUCAUUUUUAUUUGAAUAUGCUGCAAUGAAACAGUUACUAAACCAUGGGGUAGCAGAAGAAGUAAUCGAGAAAAUGAAGAAGGAUGUUUAAGAAUUCUUUAUGCUGCCAUUGGAGGAGAAGAAUGCUUACACAUAGCUACCAAAUAGCAUUGAAGGUUAUCACAAAGAAUGCUUAACAGUUUUCUUAAAUUUUGUCCAAAGUUUAUGAAUUUUUAUUUUUUAUAAUUUUUUUUUACUUAAAUUGAAACUUAUUAAUCAAGGUAAGAUUUCAGCCACAUCGAGAAACAAUUUACGUGAAAAGGGACUGAUAAAAUCUUGAGUUAACAGAUGUAAAAGACAUAAGGCCAAAGACUCUAGAACUCCAACCCACUGAAUCAAGAAUAGAAACACAAAUUUAUCUACCAACCUACACUAAUCUCAUAUCUACAAUGCAACACCAUCGUACUCUUAAGUGACUUGAAAGGAUGUGAAUAUUUCUCACAAGCUUCAUAAUGAAAUUCAAAUUAGCUCUGAGAGUUUUGGGUUAGGCACAAAGAGUAAUAAUGCAUAGCUUUUGUGUGUGAGUUUUUAAGUGAACUUAAGACUCAAUUUAAAGCAUGUAUUUUACUAAAAAUAAAAAAAUAAAUUUAAGAAACUUCAAGAAUUUUGGAAAGAUAAAUUUUAAAAAAAAUUCAAAGAGAGUCAGAAAAUGUUUCCUUUUUAAAUUCUCAAUUUAAUUUAUUUUCAAAUUUAUUAAGAGUUUAAGAAAUAUUUUCUUUUUAAAUUAUCAAUUUAAAACGCUCUUUUAAAUUAUUUUAUUAUUAAUUUUCAUGCAAGUCUACUCUAUACAUUUUACAUCAUUAUUCUCAAUUAACUCAACAAUAUUAGAGUGUAACAUCCCCAAUUGAUUUUGCACCAACCUUAAGUCUUCAAAGACAAUGAUUGAGGCAUUUCUUCUCCUAUUUUCUCCGAUGUAGAAAAAAAAACUUGAAUAAGGUUAAAGUUGGUCUAUAGCAAAAAGUCUUAAUUUGAGUUAGCCUUUUUUUUUUUUUUUUUCCAAAUGAUAUGCAGGUCCAUCUAGCCUUCAACUCAAAUUUUUUAUUCAAAAAUCACAUGUGGAUAUGUGAACAAGUAAAAGUUGAGUUUUACCUAACAUAUCAUUUUGAAAAUUAGGAAAUUUAAAAGGUAUUAGUUUGUUAAACUCACCACCCCUGUCUAUUCUACAAAACAAGAAGAUUAGCAAAGAAAAAGUAUUCAUAUUUGUACUACAAAAUAAAAAGAUUAGCAAAGAGAGAAAUUGUACGCAUGAGUGCAGAGUUUUGGGUUAAAACAACCCUUUUGAUGGGAAAAAUAUUAAAUUUAACCACUUUGUCAAACUAAUGUGUAAAAUGAUCCUUUUAUUAUCACAUAGGAGUCAUAUCACUAAUAUAUAUAUAUAUAUUUAAUUUAAGUUGAAGCCUCAAUUGCCAAUUAAGGCUUCAAUUAUCAAUUACGACUUUAUUUUUUAACCCGAAACCUUACUUGCCAAUUGAGGUUUCAACUAAAAAAAGAAACCUCAAUCGUCAACUAAGACUUAAUUUUUUAAUUGAAGCCUCAAUUAACAAUUGCGGUUUUAUUUUUAAACUGAAAUCUCAAUUGUCAAUUGAGGCUUUAUUUUUGUGAAAGGAUUAUGUGACACUCACGUUACUAGAAAAAAGCCAUACUGAAUAUAAGUUUCAAAAGUGGCUUAAAAGGUAUAAAUUUUAUGAUCAAAGAUGCCAUUUUGACCCAAAUCCCAUGGGUGCAUGAGACUCUAGUUAAUCAUAGAUUUCAUAGAUAAAAAUCAGAGUUAGGAUGAUUCAACCCCUAAGCGUCAAGAAUUCUUUAACAUAAUGUUAGAACAUUUUCCAAUUUAAAUUUGAGAGUUGACUUUAUUUGAAUAUGCUUUUGAUUUUUUUUUUUUUUUAAAUAAGCUUCAGUGUUUUUUUUAAAAAGAAAUAAAAAUAAAUAAAAAUAGGAGCUUCUAUAUAGAAAGUAAAAAUUUUAUCCAACAAAUAUAAGGCUCACCUUAUAUCCUUAUAAAAUAAAAAAUUUUAAAUUUUUUAAUACCUCAAAAUUUUUAAUCAAUAUUUAAAUAUCAUUAUAUUUUCAAUAUGAUCCUUUAAAAGUUAAAAUUACUUAUAUUUUUUAUUUUCAAAAAAAAAAAAAAGAAUGAAUUUUUAUGUUUUUUAAUUAUUAAGAUGGAUGAAAUAAUCCCAAAUUUGCAAAAAUAACUUCUUCCAUGUUUGAAUUUGAAAAAUAACUCAUUUCCAACAUAAAUACUCUUCAAUAUUUGGAUUAUUUUAAUAUAAAUUUUAGAAGAAAGUGUUAUUUUGACUGGAAAACAUGAAAGACAUUUUUGUUAAAAAUUGAUCUUUUUUUAAGGCUAAAAUAUAUAUAGGUUUAUAUUUACAAAUUUGAGACUAUUUCGUCCUCUUAAUCAAAUAACUUAAAAAAGAAAAGAGUUAAUUCCACAAGUGGGUUUAAAAUACUCACAAAAUUGCAAUAUAUAUAUAUAUAUAUAUAUAUAUAUAUAUAUAUAUAUAUGAAAUUACAAAUUUACCCUCGUGUGUUGAGCACAUGACACUUCCAUUCAUUAAAGCUAACAUUGUUAAAUAACAAAUGUACAUUGCAACUAUUUAAGAAGUAUGAAGGGCACAUUGCUUGAUUUUAGUACAUGGUGAGAAACUUGUUGAACAAGUUAUGUGUAAAGUUUUAUGGUUCAUGUAUGAUAGAAAAUACAGAUCUACUACAACACUGGAUUUGCAAUUUUGGUUAGUAUUUAAAGAAAAGACCAUAGGACAAAAAGAAUUAAACUUUUGGUGGAAAACAAUAAAGAAAGGACUACAUGGAAAAAGGGAAGAGAUCAUUAUAAAGGAAGAUUAUUGAAUAGAAAUAAUUCCAAGAACCUAAGGCAAGACAUAGAGUAUCACUACUACUAUCACAAAAAGGGGUAUAUCAUAAAAUUUAUGAAAUUUUGAAAAAGACCUAAAAAACGAAGAAAAAAAAAAAAACAAAUCAAAGAAGCCUACAAGUGUAACUAGUGUUCUUAAAGUUGCGAAAUGUAAAUCAAAAGUAGAUUUGUUAAUAGUUUUUAAAAUGCUUAAAUUAGGAAUUGUCUACUUGUACCAUACAAGCCCUUGUAGAGACUGGUUUGACAUGUAAAUUGUUUGUAAAAUCAUUUUAAUGGGCAAUAAUGCACCAAGUUGCUCCACGAGAAGGGGAGGGGUUUGUGAAACCAUCACUUGUCGUGGCAUACAUCGUCGGGUAAUCACGGAUGAGGGCAUCCACGGGAGGCCAAUGUCUACCCUCGCUCUACACCCCUCUAGUACAAGGCUCUAGGAGGGAGAGAGGCAACAAGUGUGUGACACCAAGGUAAAUAUGCUUGACCUUAUGGCUUUGGGAGCAACUUGCAUUUAAAGACUUGAUGAUUCACAAGAUUCUACAAUUCAUACCAAGUAUUGCAUUUUGCGACGUUCUUCAUCAAUGAGAGAGCCUAGAUAUCCAUUGUCAAGAAUUAUUUAUGUAUGAAAAUAAAGGCGCCUAACCGACAUGCCCAAGAUCAAGGCAACUGGAGUGUGUUGCUUCGCCCAAGUUACUUAGCGCGUUUUGUGCCAAAGUUUGUUGUUCGCUCAAGAGGGCUUUUGUGAAUCUUUGUAAUAAAGGGAUAAUACAGAGUGGGCCGUAAUUUAGCAUCUUACACGCUUAGUUUCUUCCAUUGGUGGCAUAUAUUAUUUUGUCUGUCAUUGGUGAUUAUUUAAUAAAACUAUGAGAGUAUUUCAUGAAAUAUAAAUAAGAGGUUUUUAGGAUAUUUAAUCGAUGGUAAACAAAAGUUGAAAACUAAGUAGGGAGGAAGAUAAAAUAUUUUAGAUUUGAUAGUGGACUUGAGCAUUAGAACAAGAAGUUCACAAAGUAUUGCGAGAAUUCUUAUAUAACUUAACAUCACAUGUAAAGAAAUUACAAAGCAAAAUGGAGUGGUUGAAAAGAUGAAUAGAACACCAUUGGAAUGACUAGGUGGCUAAGAUUAAUCAUUGGGUUACUUAAGAAUUUAAGGGCUAAAGCUAUCAACAUAACUUAUCAUGUAAUUACUUAGUUGUCAAGUUUUACAAUUAUUUUCAAUAUUCCAAAAGAAGUGUCAAGUAAAUCAAUUGACUUUUCAUCUAUUGAAAUAUUUGAUUGUUGCACUUAUCUUCAUAUAUAGGUGAAAAAAAAAUUCAAUCCAAAAUAAAAAAGGUAUAUAUUCCUUGGGUUUGAAAAAAGGAUUGAUUAAAGACUAUAGACUUUGGGAUCCAACAAUUAAAGAAAAAAAAGUGGUGAGUAGAGAUGUAUUCGAUGAAAAACAUAUGUUAAAGAAAGAUCAAGGACAAAUGAAAUUGUUAUUGAAAAAAAAUUCAACUACAUGACCAAUCAUCGAGAUGAAAUUUGAGAAAAAUGUCAUUAAAUAUGAAAUCCCUCCUAAUUGAUGUCCCUAUUAGAACUUUAUAUAGGCAUCUUUCUCUAUUGCUCUAAAGAAUCAUCGUAUUGGGUAAGGACAUCAAUUUUAAGAUUUUAAUUUUUUUUUCAUUAUUUAUUGGAAUAGGAGAUCUUUAAUUUUUUUUGGGGUGCAAUUAGGAAGGAUGAUAGUUAUCAAUGUCUUGGUGCUAUGUCAAAUGAGAAUCCAAUGCACAUGUUGACUAAAGUUGUUCUUAAGGAUAAGUUCAAGCAUUGGUUGAAUGUCAUUAAUUUUUCAUUUUGUAGAACAUGGAAGGUCAAUUUUAUCGAAGAGCCAGGUCAAUCAACUUCUAUUAGGACUUCUAUUGAUUCUUGACCAAUGCACAUGUUGACUAAAGUUGUUCUUAAGGAUAAGUUCAAGCAUUGGUUGAAUGUCAUUAAUUUUUCAUUUUGUAGAACAUGGAAGGUCAAUUUUAUCGAAGAGUCAGGUCAGUCAACUUCUAUUAGGACUUCUAUUGAUUCUUGAUUUGAUUAGAGGGACUCCUAGCAGUAAACUUGUAUGAAGGGGCCCUAUGGAGAUGCAAGAGAUGCAAGAGCUGCCAAUCAGAUCGACCAAUAAAUGAUAGGCCCAUGCAGAGAUGUCCCUGAAAUAGGGGAUUGGUUGAUUGGAAAGCUUAGGCAGUGUAUAAAGGAGAACAAUUUAGCAUAUUGGGAAAAACACAUAUGAAGAUGUUUACAAGUUUGGAAAAUUGAGUUAAAGAAUAGAUGGUCUAAAAAUGUUUCAAAUUUCAAUUUUAUGUUUUUCUAAGUUUGAUAUAUCCUAUUUGGAUAUUUAGGAAGUCUUCUCUUGUUAGAUAAGAUAGUCCUAUGAUGAGAUUUGUUAUGAAAAUAGGUUCUUCCUCGUGUGAAAUAUUCCUAUGAAAUUAAGAAGGAAUAUAGGAAGAGUUUUGAUUGAAAUUAUGAAUCUUUUUUUUAUGUAAUUAGAACUAAAAUAUGAGAGUUUUAUAAUUGUAAUUACACCUUUGAAUAUAAAUAAUUGAUAAUAGUGAAUUAGUUUACCUUCUCCCUCUAAAUGUAGGUAAAUGCUAAAUUAUGUUAAAUCUUGUAUUCUCAUAUGAUUUUUUUUUCAUUUAUUUUUCAUUUUCUUGCCCAUUUCUAACUUGCUACUACAUAAUAACAGGUGGUAUCAGGCUUUUUGUGUUUGCACAACAAAUGGUCUCAGUAUUUCCAGCACCACAAAAAUGAUAUUUUACUUAAUUGCUCCUCAGUGGAAAAGUUGGAAAGAAAAAUUAAAUCAUCGACUAUACCUUUUUUUUUUUUUUUUCAAAACUUUUCUCGUCUUUGUGCAAGAAAAUUAGUAUAUUUUCUCUUUAGUAUUUGUUUCUCUUUUAUAUAUAUUCAAAUGAAACCUUAAUCAUCUUUUAUAUGAAGUAUAAAAGAAUUAGAAAAUAUUCAAAUUUUAAAUGAUUUUUAUUAUACUUUGUCCACUUCCUAUUUCAUAUAUCAAAUUACAAUAGAAUUUAAAAUUCUUUUAUACGUUUUUCCCCCCUUUGCUACCACAUAAAUGCAAAGACAGUAUGUGAGUUAAAUACCUUAAAAGAAAAAGAAAUUAAAAUGUGAUAGAAAACAAAUGUAACCUCUUGAAAUUCAAGGAAACAAAACACUAAACUUUUUCAUGUAUUUUAUUCCAUUUAUAAAUGCAACAUGACAAAAAUAGACAAAAAUAUAAAUGGAAGCCCUUUGGGUCCUUCAUUUUAUAUUUUAUCAACUUCGACCAAUUCUAUUUCUAUAGCACAACCGAUACUAUAAAGUUCAAUGAGUAUAUAAUAUAUAAAGAUACUAAUCAAUACGAAUUAUUCUUUCUUUCAAAUGGCUACUUGUAUUAAAAAUUAAAUGUAAUUCCUCCUAAACAAUAAAAUAUGUUGACACGAUUUCAAUGAAUAUACAGUACAUAAAGAUAUGACCAAUUAGUACGAAUUAUUCUUUCUUUUAAAUAGCUACUUAUACUAAAAUAUAAGUAAAUAUAAUUCCUCCUAGAUAACAAAAUAUGUUGACACAAGGAGGAAUAUAUUUACUAAUUAUAUCAUUUGCAAUAGCCUCAAUCUCGCGACGUUCUUCGAACCAACCAUAGACUUUAUUGAGAUAGGUUAACCAAGGGAGCUUCCACUCUCAUAACUCGUAUAUGAAAAUUUCAUCUUGUACAACUCAAAUAGAAACCCAUAAAUACCAGUUGAAACCAAAAUGUAAUAAAUAAAUAAAAACAUAUUUCAAUGGAUCCAAUUAGUAUUUUUCCGAUCUAGGAUAAACAAACAAAUUUUUCUUCAUUUUGCUUUUUUUUUGUAUUAAUCUUUGUAAGUAAAUUAUAUUUUAAUUUAACAAAGCACUAAACUUUACUUUAAUUUUCAUGCAGGAUCAACUAGCUUAUCAUAAUAAAAUUUAUCAAUAUAGUUGAGCAGAGAUUUGAUGUAAUAAUACCAUACAAAAUUCAAGUAAAAUUAAAUUAAUCAAAUAGGACACUACGGUUAUAUUUGGAUACAUAUUCUAUUUUUUAUUUUUAAAAUUAAAAUUUUGAUAUAAAAUAUGACAACCCUUUGUAUAAAAAAUAAAAAUUUAUCCUAUAAUCUUAAAACUACUUUUCAAUAUUAAAAAAAAAAUGAGGAUGUGUCCUAAAAUUUUAAACAAAUUUAAAAAUAUUUUUAAAUACCAAGAUAUCCACUUUUUUCUUUUUUAAUAAAAAUUCCUAUAUUUGAUAUAAAACUCUAUUUUAAAAAAUGAAAAAUAAAAAAUGUAUCCAAACAUAAGCAAAAUUGUUAGAUUUCAUUGUGAGAUUUCUUAGAUUCUACAAUUCAUAGUGAAAUGAAGACGAGAUAUAACUGACUGAACUAUGAAAAAAAAAAAAUUAACAUUGAUGAGAUUCAAAAAUGCUAGUUAAUGAAAGAGUUUCUCCGCCAGGAUGACUAAGAAAAAUGCUGAAAAAUGUGUCAUGCCCAAAGCAAUGUUACAAUGAAGAAUAGAAUGAGAGCUAACCCGAAACAAAAUCCGACAAUCGCCAUGAAAGCCUGGAUGCAGAGGAAAUGUAACUAGAGACAUGUAAGGAAUCAUUAAACAAGUGAGAACAAUAUCAAAAUCUCAUGUACGACUUACCUUUCCCUGAGAUUCAAACUUGAAUUUUACUGUAAACCAUGACAAUCCUCUAUCUACAAUAGGAGCAAGUGCAAGGGCCCUGCAUGAGAAGCACCUCUACAAAAAUCACAGAAAACCCAAAGGAAAAAAAAAAAAAUAGGGUUGAAUAUGCUAUAGUUGAAUAACAGCCACAAUGCUGGGAAGGUCAAUAACAAAAGCAUUGACUUGAAUGUUAGCAGUGUCAUUUACACUGGCCAUAAGAACCAGAGGUAAUGCGUACAGUUGGUAAGUGGGGAGGAGGGGAUGAGAAAUUGCAAAGUCUUGAAUUUAAUUGUUUCAUGCAAUUCCGUUUUCCAAUACUCUAUAUGAUAAUAUACAUUGUACGGAACAAAAAUAGGGUUGUUUUAAAAUUUUGAACAAAUAAAAAUUUCAUAUCAAUAUCUAAUAUUUAAUAAAAAAGAAUGAAACAAGAGUAAGUACAUUCUCUUCUCCUUAACAUGGUAUUAAAGCAGUCUCCAAACUCUUAACUCCUAGUUGCAAACUUGAUUUCCACUGGAAGUUGCAGUUUGCUUAUUUUGUUAUUCAAGUAAGUUACUUCAAUCUAUCAUAGUUUAAAUGACUUGGGAUGGUAGUUGUCAUGGGCACGAAUUUUCCCACAAAUUUUUUGCAUCCACGCAGCGCUUAGAAGCCCUCUGAGCCAACAUACUCAAACCCACAUGAGAUUGCAAUCAAGAAAAAACUCACAAAGACACACAAGGCUAUGGAGCUCAAUCCCUAACUUGUAUUUUAUUUCUUCUCUAAAUAACAAUACAAGACAUAGCUCAACAAGACUUCCACAAUCUCUUUGGUGAGUUCAUGCUCUCUCUCAAGCUAUGUUUUAAGAAAGUUCUCCCUCUCAAUAUACCUCUGUAUAUUCUCUAUGAUCUCCAGAUUGCACGAUAAUUCAAAGGGCACUCCAGUCCUCCUUUUAUAGGUGUGACACCAACCACUCCCUAUUCGAUAAGGAGCAAUACAUCUUCCUUAAGCUUGUCCCAAUGCCAAGACAUCUUUGUUGUGUUCUGCCUGAAGUCUACCCACUCUUGUGCCUUGAGUCAGUUCAUUCAUGCAUUUGAAUCAGCUGAUGCAUCCGAUCAGCUUGCUAUAGAGUCUCUAGGCAGCCUACUACAUGUGUCUCUAUGCAACUAGUGUGCAUGCCAAGCCCUCUCUUAGCCUACAGAUCUAGCAAUUUUCCUUGGUGCCAAUCUUUUCUUUGGUUCUAGCUCCUUGUUGUUCCUUGAGCGUGUCAGUCAUGCUCAUAUGUGUUCCCGCAUCUGGAUCACGUCCAUGCCGAGGCAACCUGCCCAUGUUUGCUCUGCCUAGUUGUUGCUAUAGCAUCAUGCCAUGCCCAAGCCCUCUUCUUGGUGCAGCAACGAGUCAUGGCAUUGCACCCAUGACUCCUCAUCUCUACGCACAAGGCAUUGUGCCUUUGUGCUAAGCAUUAGGCAUCACAUCUGAGUCGGCUUCCCUUAUCUCUAUGCACAAGCCUCAAGGCAUUGUGCCCUUGUGCCAAGCCACCUUAUUGCACAAGGCAUUUCCCCCUCAUGCUACCGUUGGGAAGGGAAGACUGCAUAGCACCCCAAGUCGUUGCAACCAUGAGUUGCACACCAUCACAUGUCAUGGAGCCCAUGUAUGGCUGCUAGCAAGGCGUUGCCCAUGUGCCUUGCUCAUGUCUGAGGACUUGCACUGAAGCCCCUAAGUGUGGCCAUGCCCAUGCCACCUCGUCUCCCUUGAGUCACCCCCACCCUCGCCCCCCUUAAAAGAGCAUUUUAAGCCCUUUUAAUUAAUUCAGGAAAAUCUAGAAAAUUCCCUUCCACUUGGAGUCUCCCUUUUGAAGGUUCCUAUAAAUCUUUUAUCUCUAAGCAAAUUAACCAAGUCACUUAAUUGUUUUGCAACAUUCCUUCCCUUCCCAUAGUGUAUUUCAAGAUCUCUUAAUGAACAAGACAAUUGGUGGAGGGCAUGAAGUAAAUGGAAUUUAUCACCAUAUCGGCCCACCUCUUACUCCAAUUGCUCUACAUACUUCCAUUUCUUCUAUGUAGUGGCACACCUUUCACUUCGCAUCUUUAGCAUAUGGGACUUCUAGUUAUAUUGGACUCCAAGUUAAAGCACCAAGUUUGCGAGUCAAGAAAAUAGCUUCAUCAUAGUGUUGUUCUAGUCCUUUUUGUGCUAUAAUCAAUAAGAGGAGUACUAGUCCUUUUCAUCUUGUUCAUUUAGACAUUUACAGUUUAUGUUGUGUUGUUCCUAAUGUUGAACUAAACUUUCUUAUUGCUAUUUUAUUAAUUAGAUCAAUGAAAAUGGUAUGAGCAUAAAGAGGCUGAAUAAUAGGUACUAAUCUCUUAAAAAAAAAAUUUUAAAAAUAAUCUUAUAGAAACAUCAUCAGGUGACUAUGCACAAGUAAAUGGUCUGACAAGGCGUGAGAAAAACAUUCAUUUUUGUGCAAGAACCAAGUAUUUGCAUCUUAAUCAACCAAAGAAUAAAUGGCUGAAGACAAUAAAUGACUGAACAAAAAGAAAAUCAUAAGUUUUAGGCCAGACACUUUUUUCAUCAAUUAUAUACAACAACAAUAAAUCAAAUAGUCCUAAAUUUCAAGAGAAUAAUGCUCAGCAGCUAUGCAUACUCACAAGUCACAAAUACCUCAUCCUUAACUAAUUUACAUGAAUGAAUUAUUUACUUACCAUACCAAGAGAAACGUUGUAAGAUAGUAUGCAGUAUUCAGGAGUCCAUAGGAUAAUAUUCCAGAAAUUCCAUAUCUCUUCAGUUUCUUUAGAAGACUGAAAGGUUAAGCAAGAGUGAGCUCUCAAUGUAAGUAGACAUGCAUUUAUGCAUACAAAGGGCAAAAGGAUUGAGGUAUCACUUCUUACAGAUUGUUUGCAUGAAAUUCAGUAGUAGAAGAGAAAUUAAUAUGAUUGGGACAAGAUCACUCAUCCAAACAAUAGUUUAUUUACUGAGAAAAGGUCUACAGCAUACUCAUGCAGUAGACAAAAUGAAUCUUUUGUGUCAUGUUCCAAUAAUGUUAACAAACUACAUUAAAUUCAUAAGGUUACAUAGAAAAAGAAAGAAAAGACAUUGUUGCAAUAGUUUGUCUGUUACACUGCUAGCACCCAGACUACGACCAAAUCCUUGCAUUCAAAUUGAAUUUCAAACUCCCAAUGUGAAAAAGGAAGAUACAAAAAAGAAAAGAAAAAAAAGAAGAAAAAAAAAAGUGGGAAAGAAAAGAGACAUGGGAUUUCUAUGUAUAAUAAAUACAUAUUAUAUGUAUAGAUAAAUGCAUGUAUGUGCAUAUGUGAUAGAGGCUGGUCAGACACAUUUCAAGAAGUUUCACAACUUGCUUUGGAAUGACAAACACCUGGAUCAAUAAAUGGCUUGUCUCCAUUAUUGAGAAAUUGCAGAUAAAUUUCAUCCACUACGGGCAUGGGGUGGCUGGACAAAGUUAUGCCAUUUGGUGGGAUGUAGUGGACUUAAGACAGAAAAUUCUCAAUCAUUCUUCUGUCCCUUGUGCAGUGUUGAAGCUGACAAUAUUAUUGAGCAUACAAGGAAUGUGAUGUAAAACAUCAUUGAGGAGCCAUGAGCUGCGAAUGCAUGGAGAAAUUAAGUUAUGAUUAAGUUUUGGUGAGGGAUUUUCAGAUGCAGAUCAUAUGGCAAAUUAUCAACUUCAGAGAAUUGCACGUUUUUAUUCAUUUCCAUACACAUUGAAUAAUCAUAUUUAAAAUCUCUCAUUCACUUGUUUCGCUUCCAUUAGUGCUCCUUCCACAUGCCUAUUAGCAGCACAGACCUCAUGAUAGUUUGGUAAAGGUAAGACAAUAAAAUUGAAAAAUACAGCUAAAGCCUAAAAUAUUGGCUAAUAAAGAGAGAAACCAUCCAAGUUCUAUCUUAAAUGACUCUACAAGUUCUAAACAGGGAGACAAGGACUUCAACCUGGUCCAUCAAUGCAUAUAAAUGGGUAAACAUUCCAACAGCCAUUACGUUAGAAGUACACUAAAAGAAAAUUAUUAAACAAUGUUGUUUCCAAAAAAAUUCCAUGUUAAAGAAUAGAAGAACAUACUGCUAUAAAUGAAAUUCAUUCAAAAUCAGUUCAAACAGUAAAGUUAAGAAUUGUGACUGCAAUUUUUUUCUAAGAAAGAAACAACAAUUGUGACUGCAUAUCACCCACACUUGUUUUAUUUACAAUCCACACAAUGUAUUCUUCCCUAGCAUGUUAUCCCAUUAAGUAGCCUCCAGAUAAAAUUCCCUUUCCAACUCUGUCAAUCAGUCAAAAAAUUUCAUGUAAAAUGUAAAAUACAUGGGUACACAAAAACAACUAUAUAAACUGCCAUCCCAUCAUUAAUAAAUCAGUUGUCUAUAACAUAGACUAAUAGCAUUGUAAGGCAAGUAGGAAGUACUCUUUUGAUGUGUGCAGUUCUCCUUCACCAUUUUCGCCCUUUGCACUUGAGUCUAUAAAAAUAUGUAUAAGUAGAUUUUUAGAAAUAUCAAGUUUAUCAAAUGUAAAAUAUGGUAUCACAAAAAGCUACACCAUUUUUCCAGUUAUCAUUUGAAAGAUAUUGAUACCUUCAUGGUUGGCAGAGUAGUCAUGACCAUUUGACAUGCCAGAAGCCUAACCUACAACAAAGGCAAUGUUGAAAAAGCAAUAUUCAAAAUUCAAUGAAAAAAAUAGAAGACAAACAAAUGAACAAAUAGCAUAUCAUCACACUCAAUUGUUUUCCACAUAUGAUAAACUAAAUGAAAGAAACAAGGAAUAUAUUGAGAAAAAACCCUAUGAUCAAUGGAUAUGCAGUCGCAUUCCAGCACAGAUAUAGGAUCAAACAAGUAACUAAUCUAGACAUAGCUGCAGCAAAUUUGUGUAUCUCUGAAUGUGUGUCUGCUUUUUGUGGGGGUAUUUAUUAUGACAUGUUCUUGGUGCAGACAAACCAUCUGCAUUUACUUGAGGAUUAGGUAAAAAACAUACUUUUCAUUUAAAAUGAGGCCUUGAACAUCAAGCCACGGUGAGUUUUCAAAUAAGGAAAACGUAAUAGCUUUACAAUGAGUCCCAUAGCAAGAAGGCAUAUAAUUCCAUUCAUCAGCAUACCAGAAUAUAGAAUAGUGUGGACAUGUGGACACAUGCCAGAAUUAGCAUUGGACACACUAACAUGCCAGUCAUACAUAGAAAGAAUUUCCAAAGAUAUUAAAGUAAAACACUGGUAGUAAGCAAAUUAUACCCAGAAAAACAUGCAAGUAUAGGCCAAGAUCAAAUCUUAAUUUUAAUUUCUAGAAAAAAAAAAAUUUAUAUCAACCAAUAGAAAUGGUAUCACCAGCAAUUAACACCAAAACACACCAACAUAUCGGAAUGCAUAACACGUGUACCCAUCUCCAAUCAGCACUACACCUAUACAAGUUAGCCUGUAGCAGGUCAUAAUAGGUUCAGACUAUAAAACCUUCCAAAUCUUCCUUUGCAAGGCUUAGAAACCAUUUUCUAAGUAAUUUACAAUUUUAAAAGCCUGUGACAAGAUUUUGGAUGAAGAGCUUGAAUUAUAUACUCACAAACCCACUCCAAAAUUUCCUUAAGGUAAUACACAUUUUUUGAAGUCCUUUCCAAUGUCUUCUCUUAUUUGAGUUAGAAAAGCCAAUUUUUUUAUGAAUUGAUUACUACGUCUAUUGAGGUUUGAGGUGUAUAACUAAUUUCUUAAUAUAUCAUAAUUUACAUCAGUUAUUAGAAAUUAAGGUUCAAUCCUUUUACACUAAGAAAAUCCUGAGCAAUUAAAAAAUACCUUCUUUAAUAUUAUUAAAUUUAAGUUUCCUUCAGGUCUUUGAGUCAAAUAGAAAUUAGUGUAAAAGGAAUUUUAAUUUUCUUACACUAAGAAAAUUAAAAAAUAGGCAAAAUAAUUUUCAAAUUUUGGAACUUUAUAGGUAAUGCUUAUUAAAAUAAAGCAACAAAGUUUGUCAUUUGCCAUUGAAUGAACCAAUUGUAGAAAACUAUGCAAAAAAUUUUAUUAGUAUGGAUUUUUUUUUUCUACCGAUAAAUAGAAUUCAAUUUCAAACCUGCCCCUCCCAACCCACCACUUGCUGCUUGAGGCAAGCUUAGAGGCAGAAAACUAUUUACAAUUCUACGUAUGGAUAAAAAUUAUUCUUAGAUUUUAUGCCAAAUUCCAUAUUUAUAGGUAUCAAUUUAUUAUUCUACUGUUGUCAAAAGCUUCAAUUUUAGGCGUCCUCAUGGUUAUGCCACCCUUAAAUGAGAACAACUUUGGUCUUCUGUUUUUCUUUUUGAGCUCUUCAAAUUUUUGCAAGGUAUUUUUAUAAUCUUAUUAAGCUCAAUGGGAGAGAGAGAGAGAGAGAGGGCGAGAGAGAGAGAGAGGGCGUGAGGGAGUGUGAGAGCGCGUGCGACGGCGACGACGAUGAGUCCGGCGAGGCGAGUCGAAAGCGAAGCUUCACGGUGGAAUCCAAGACUUUCGAGCUUGCCUUGGAUGAUAGGAAAGGGAAACGCCAGAUUCGCAUUGUGGAGAAGAAGCGGGGGGUCUCGACAUGGGUUCGAUUAGGGCUGGAAAGCUUAGGGCUCUUCAAGGAGGGACUAAUCCAUUGUAUACGAGACGAAAAAGAAGGGAGAUGGGAAAAGGAGUGGAAAGAAAGAGGCAAGCUGUAUACAUUGGCUCGGGGUUUCAACAGAGCGGGUGGUUUUUUAAGGUUGGGGGUUGUGGAUCUGGAACGAAAAAGGUUUUGUAUCUUCUUACCGAGAGGUAGGAGGAACAAAAGAGGAUGGACGACUAUGGCGGAGAUGGUACAUCAAAUGGAAGAACUGGCUAGUGGAAGAACAAACUUGCAGGAGGUAAGGACCGUCGGAAAAGCUACUCCGGCGAAAUCAUACGCAGAAGCAGUCAUGAGAACAAAUUGGAAUGGCUUAAACGCAAUCAAGAUGAAGGUCACUAGGGAGGAGAUUGCUGGAAAUUUACAGAAGCUGGAGCACUGCCUCGUCGCGAGCUGGAAGUCCAACGAAAAGGAAGAAGAAGACUUGGAGAGAUUGGGAAGUCAUUGGGCGAAUUCUUGGGGUCUUAAAGGCAAGCUAGGGCUGGCCAAGUUGGAACAAGGUAGGGCACUGUUGGAGUUUGAAGAUCUAAGAGAGGCACACCGUGUGGUCUCCUCGGGGAGCAGAGUGAUGGGAGGAGCUCACUUAGGGUUGGAUCUAUGGAAUCCAAAGACGGGAUGUCGGGUAGAGGAGGAGAUGGAACAGGAAGCUUGGGUUAAAAUCUUCGGCCUUCCAAUUUCGCUAUGGAGCCCGGGGAUUCUGAAGAAAAUAGGGGAGGAAUGUGGGGGCUUUGUAGAUAUUGACGAGCGGACAAGGUCGAUGGGGGAGAUUCAAUGGGCUAGGAUACUGGUCAAAAUAAGAGGUGAUUUUAGACCAAGUAUGUUAGAAAUUGAGGUAGAGGAGGAGGUAUACACUGUGACACUGUGGUGGGAGAUUAGGCCGGUGGUGAGACGGAUCUUCUCUGCGACGGAAAACAGGAGGAGAAAGGAGGUCAGGGGUGACUCGUAUUCACGCGCGGAGAAGCGCGUGGGGAAGGAGCUGGUAGACGCGGGAAUCGAGGAACUGCACCUGCCAGAUGUUGGGAGUGAUCUGCAGGAGAAUAGGCCGGGUCUAGUGCCCGGGAACCAGAUCCAUGGCCCGGUGACCCGGGAUUGGGCCUAUCCAGAUGGAAGAGUGGCUGGGUCAACCGCAUGUGGCCCAAAUAUGGAUCUUAAUGAGUUGGAGAAGGAUGGUGGGCAGACUAAAAUAGACGGGCCUUUGGGCCGAAAGUUAAAAAAUAAGUCAAAGGUGGCUAGUGAUUCAGAGGCAGGCCCAUCGUCUAGUAGUUGGGCUGCUGAACUGGGCUGCCAUCCUUUAGUUGAGGUGGAAGGCCUGGAAAGGGAGGGCCCAACUGUUCCCCUAGAGAAGGCUGGUUUUUUGGGCCGUUUUAGCUCCAGAAAAGGACCCAUUUCAGAGGAUCCUUUGACGAGCUGGGUGCCAGAGGAGUUUAGAAGGGAACAGAGGGAUGAUGGCUUUUCAAUGACUGAUCGAGCGCUGUAAGAGGAAGCUAAAAGGUAUGUCCUGAUUUCCCAUCCUAAAGGAAAAUGGGUUAUGGGGACACCUCUUCUUCUCUCUUCUAAUUCUGAUCGGGCUCCGGAGGGGGAGUCUUUUGAUCGCCCAGGGGGAAUUGAGGAGGAAUUAAGGGGGGACAUGUCAACAUGGUUAACAGUCUAUGAGGGGAACGUUGAGAAUGAAAAUGGAUCUUGGAAGCUGGGAGAGGACAACAAAAGCAGAGACAAGGUUAAGGGCAAGGAGGAGAACACUGGGGUCUCUGGUUCUCAAGAUACCGAAAAUGAGAAAGAGGAUCUAUGAGAGGACUGUAGUCUUGCAAAAUUUAGCCAAUUCUUGGGAUUCUCUAUGAAGGGGCUGGAAAAGGAGAUAUUGAAUUUUCUGAUUAAAAUCAAAAAGAGGCGGGAAAAGAUUCACAGCAAAGAACUUUUGGAGAAGUCCAAGUUUGAAAGGGAACUAAAGAGGCUGGAAUGCUCUAUCAAUUACGAGGGGGGGAAUAAGCAGAAAGGUCCUUCACAGGGCAAAAGGAAUCAGUUGAUAGUUGCCCAAUGAAGCUGAAGAUUAUAACCUGGAAUGUGAGGGGAGCUAAUGACAGCUCUAAGAGGAAAAUUAUUAAGAGCUAUAUAAGGAACCAGAGGGUGGACCUAAUGUGUAUUCAGGAAACCAAGAUUCAGGAGAUGUCGGAGGGUAUUGUGAGAAGUCUGGGUUCGGGGAGAUUCUUAGAUUGGAGAGCCUUAAAUGUGGAGGGGGCUGCGGGUGGCAUUUUGAUAUGCUGGGACAAGCGGGUUCUGGAUAUUUUGGAUUGGGAGGAGGGUCAGUUCUCUUUGUCUUGUAGAUUCAAGACCACAGUAAAUGGGGCUACUUGGGUUUUUACGGGAGUGUAUGGUCCUUUUACCAAAGUGGAAAGGGAGGGUAUGUGGGAAGAACUUGGGGCAAUAAGAGGCCUUUGGGAUGAUCCCUGGUGUCUCGAUGGGGAUUUUAAUAUCACUCUGUUUCAACAAGAAAGGAGCAGCCAAAGAAGAAUCAGCUCAGCCAUGCGGAGAUUUGCAGAGACUGUGGAUGAUCUAGAGCUGGUGGACCUGCCCCUUCAGGGGGGAGAGUUCACAUGGAAUGGGGGGCUUAAUAAUCAGGCGUGGGUGAGACUAGACAGAUUUUUAGUUUCCCCUAGCUGGUUAGAUCAGUUUAGUGGAUUCACUCAGGGCAGGUUGUCUCGGCCAAUUUCUGAUCAUUUUCCAAUCGUGUUAGAGGGGGGUGGAAUAAGAGAGGCCCAACCCCGUUUAGAUUCGAAAAUAUGUGGCUUAACGUUGANGNUUUAAUGACAUUGUUAGAACCUGGUGGNNNNNNNNNNNNNNNNNNNNNNNNNNNNNNNNNNNNNNNNNNNNNNNNNNNNNNNNNNNNNNNNNNNNNNNNNNNNNNNNNNNNNNNNNNNNNNNNNNNNAGGAAGCUGAAUUAAAAAAGGAAGCUAAAGACUCCUUUAAGAAAUGGGUCCUGUUGGAGGAAGCCCAUUGGAGACAGCACUCAAGGGAGAUUUGGUUAAGGGAGGGGGAUAGAAACAUGGGGUUCUUCCAUAGAAUGGCAAGUGCUCAUCGAAGAAACAACGCUAUGGACAGAAUUAAGGUUAAUGGGGAGUGGCUAGUAGAGGAGCAGGAGGUGAGAGAAGGAGUUGAGAAUUCGUUUCAGCAGUUGCUUUCUGAAGAUAUGGGUUGGCAGGCGGAUAUUGGUAGAAUUCAGGUGGGUUGCAUCAUUCAGCAAGAAGCAGAGAGUCUGGAAAUCCCAUUUGCAGAGAUUGAGAUUCACUCGGCGCUGAUGGAGAUGAAUGGGGAUAAAGCCCUUGGCCCGGAUGGUUUUACUGUAGCCUUUUGGCAAAAUGCAUGGGAUUUUACCAAAGAGGAGAUCAUGGAGAUGUUUAAAGAAUUUCAUGAGCAUAAUUCCUUUAUUAGGAGCCUUAACAAUACUUUCUUGGUGUUGAUACCUAAGAAAAGCGGGGCUGAGGAUCUUGGAGACUUUAGACCUAUCAGCCUGUUGGGGGGGGGGCUCUAUAAACUUUUGGCUAAAAUCUUAGCUAAUAGGCUCAAAAAAGUGAUUGGUAAGGUGGUCUCUAUUGCUCAGAAUGCCUUUGUAAUGGGAAGACAAAUUCUGGAUGCGUCUUUAAUUGCUAAUGAGGUGAUAGAUUCGUGGCAGAAGAGAAAAGAAAAGGGUCUUAUUUGCAAAUUGGAUAUAGAAAAAGCUUAUAACAGCAUUAAUUGGAAUUUCUUAAUGAAGGUCCUUCAAAAAAUGGGCUUUGGGACCAAGUGGGUGGGAUGGAUGUGGAGUUGCGUGUCUUCUGCUAAAUUCUCUAUUCUUGUUAAUGGAGUGCCAGUUGGGUUUUUCCCUAGCACUAGAGGGCUUCGUCAAGGGGAUCCUCUAUCCCCUUACCUCUUUGUUAUGGGAAUGGAGGUUCUGGACAUCCUUAUCAGGAGAGCGGUGAAGGGGGGAUAUCUUUCAGGAUGCAACAUUCGGGGUGGUAGUAGAACUUCCUUGAAUAUCUCCCACCUAUUUUUUGCUGAUGACACAAUUGUGUUUUGUGAGGCGAGCAAAGAGCAAGUUUCUCACCUAAGCUGGAUUCUUUUUUGGUUUGAAGCGGCUUCGGGUCUUCGAAUUAAUCUAGCCAAAAGCGAAAUCAUUCCAGUUGGAGAAGUGGAGGAGAUUCUUGAGAUGGCAGUUGAGUUAGGGUGCAGGGUGGGGUCUCUGCCCUCUCAUUAUUUGGGUCUCCCCUUAGGGGUCCCCAAUAGGGCUACUUCUAUGUGGGAUGGAGUGGAAGAGAGGGUCAGAAGGAGACUUGCGCUUUGGAAAAGACAGUACAUUUCCAAAGGGGGGAGGAUCACUCUCAUAAAAAGCAUCUUGGCUAGCAUGUCAAUUUACCAAAUGUCUAUUUUCCGAAUGCCCAAGUCUGUUGCUAAAAGAGUGGAGAAAUCCCAAAGAGAUUUCCUAUGGGGGGGAGGAAACUUAGAGGGAAAAGUUCACUUAGUUAAAUGGGAUGCGGUCUGUACAGAAAAACACAAGGGAGGGCUAGGAUUAAGGAGAAUAGUCACUCUGAAUAGAGCCUUGCUGGGCAAGUGGAUUUGGAGGUUUGCUUGUGAAAAGGAUAACCUUUGGAAACAAGUGAUCACUAUGAAAUAUGGGCAAGAGGAUUAUGGUUGGAGGUCAAAGAAGGCUAGUGGGGCGGCCGGAGUAGGGGUCUGGAAGGAGAUUAUGAAAGAAUCUGUUUGGUGCUGGGAAAAUUUGGCUUUUAUAGUUGGGAAGGGUUCCAAAAUCAAAUUUUGGAAAGAUAGUUGGUGCACUGACACUCCGUUGUCCCAAUGCUUCAAUCAUCUCUUUGUCCUUGCCGUGCAUAGGGAUGCUACGAUUGAGGAGAUGUGGGAUCAGGACUCGGGCCAAGGAGAUUGGAAUUUUGUUUUUGUGAGGGACUUCAAUGAUUGGGAGUUGGAUAUGGUUGGGGAGCUGCUUCAUACUUUGAGGGGUCAUAGGCCCUCCCUGGAGGAUGAUUCAGUUAUGUGGAGGCAUGGAAGAAAUGGUCUAUUCAGGGUCAAAGAAGCUUACAAGCUGUUAGACAAGCCUAAUGUCACAGUAUUUCCCGCAAGGAGAAUAUGGGUGGAUAGGGUGCCAACUAAAGUCUGCUUUUUUGCUUGGGAGGCUACGUGGGGGAAGGUGCUCACUCUGGACAGACUCCAGAUAAGAGGGGUGCAACUCCCAAAUUGUUGCUUUUUGUGUGGUUGUGAAGAAGAGAAUGUAAAUCAUAUUCUUUUACACUGUAUAGUGACUAGAGCCCUAUGAGAUAUUAUUUUUGGGUUGAUAGAUGUUAAGUGGGUCCUCCCAGAAACUGUAAAUGAGACUUUAAUCUCUUGGAGGGGCUCAUUUGUAGGGAAGAAAAGGAAAAAGAUUUGGAAAUCCAUUCCGUUAUGUAUUUUUUGGACGGUUUGGAAGGAGAGGAAUAGGUUAGCCUUUAAGGGGGGUGCGUUGAAUAUUCAGAAAUUAAAGAAUUCUUUUGUCUGUAACUUGUGGAAUUGGGACAAAGUGUAUUUAGGUGAGGAGUCUUUCUCCCUUAUAGGUUUUUUGGAGUGGAUAGCUUCCACUUAAGGGGAGGUAGUUCUUUUUGUUCCUUUUUCUCUUUUUGAGGCAGUAGCCGUCUUGUAUACUCCCUGUAUGCUUUGUGGCGUUUAGCCUUUUCUAAUGCAUAUCUUGUUUACUUAUCAAAAAAAAAAAAAAUUUGCAAGGUACUUCUAUCCAGGUUCUAGGAAACACCCACUUUUUUAAAUCUCCAAUAAUUUAGUGUUCUGUGGCUGAGGGAAUAGACUUAUUUUUGGUUGAAACACAUAAAAUUCUUGGAUAUGUAUAUAUAUAUUUUUUGGCAUCAGGUCCUUUUAGGUUGAUUUUUCUACUUAUUUUUCACCCACCAAUUAACAUUGCCCUAACUCUAUUAUCUAACCGAGCAAAUGUUUAUGAACUAGCAAAUCAUACUAAAAUUUCUUACUAGUUGACAUGUGCAUCAUCUCAGCAUGUCAUUCCAACACCAAACUACAACCAUAAUCCCACUAACAUCCUAACUGCCUCAAUGAGUAUGGAUUACAGAAAUGCAAUUAAAAUAUACUUCCCUAUUUAAUUUCAUAAUUUUUAUAAUAAUAUUUCAGCAAUAUUUCCACAUAGUAGCUUAUGUGAGAAAUCCCCAUUUCUGUUUAAAAUCGAAAAACCCUAUAGCUUGCGCAAGUAAAUAGGAAAAAAAAAAAACAGAGGUUUUGCAGAAUUGGGAGAGCAGACUCACACCAGCAUGGCCAUUGAUUGAGCAGAAACGUAGAUGACGAUGAUGGUGGUGGAAUUGGGAGAAAUUGUUGAGUUUGGGAACCCUAGGAAAGCUGGGAUUGAAAGAAGAGGAUUGUGAGAGAGAAUUGGAAAUUUAAGAAACAAACACAAAAAAUAAAUCCAAGAAAUAAAUAAGAAGCGUAAAAAUGAAAUAGAGAAGAGUGUGUAUGACGCACCUGAUGAUGUGAAAGCAGCUUCAGCUGGUGAAGGCAAACUUUCGACGGGAGAGACAUCAGGAUACUGGCCUCUGACAACAAUCGCUCCAAAAUAUUCUUUCUAUACCAUUUAUUAUUAUUAUUAUUAUUAUUAUUAUUAUUUUAUUAUUAUUUUCAGGUUAUUGAAGUGUAAUGUCCACCGUACACCCUUACAUGAUGAAGCCUUUAGAACUCUCCAUGGAGCCUAAAUCUCACAUUGCUAAUCACCCUAUAAUAACCAGCAUAUAGUAAAUUCAAAGUAUCAUUAAUGAUAGAUUUCAAACUUAGGACCAUAUAUCAUUUAUUGAGACCACACUUCUUAAUGUUCAUCCUUAACGACACACUCAUAUAUAUCAAAUUACCCAAUGACCUACUUUUCCUAUUUUCUCAUUUUUAGAAAUAAAAAGAAAAAAUAAUAAUUUCUAUUUUUAAUUUUUUAAUUUUUUUUAUAAGUAAAUUUUUGUUCUCAUUAGGACCUGUGGAACCUCCCACAAGUCCUCCCGAAUCCUUUACCACUUGAGUCAUGCCUUAAUGGCUUGUUUUUUUAAAAAAAUUAAUAACAACUUUUAUAUAUAAAAAAAAUACUUAUAAAACAUACUUAUAAAAAAUAUACAUGUCAUUAAAAGUUUAAAGAAAUUUAAAUUUGAUAAUAAUUUUUUAAAUAAUUUAAUGUGUUAAUUGUUCUUAAAAACUUUAAAUAACCUAGAAAAGAAUAAUAUGGUUAUAAAUUGACCAAAUUGUUAUAUGGUUUUAAAUAGUCACCUUAACAAUGUUACAAGUGAGUUAAUUAAUUUAUGGUAGAGAAGAAUUACAAUAGAAUUCAAUUAGUUAUCGUAUUUGAAGUCUUUGAUUAUUUGUUGAAUAAUAUUUGCAGCCAGUUAGCUAGGGUUGGCUAACCCAAGCCAAACCUACUUACUAAUAUGUCCAACCUAUGCUAAACUCGAUUCAAAGUUAGAUUGGUAGUUACUAAACUCAUUGACAACUAAAGUUUCUAUGGAUUCCCACAAGUUUUCAUGGAUUAUCAAAUAAACCACAUAUAAUGGAAUCUCCUAAUAUAAAAAAGACAUAUUUCAAAAUUAUAAAUUAAACCAUAUUAUAAAAUAAAAUUUUAACAAAGUCAUAAAUUAUAUUACUAGUGACUAAUUUUAAUGGUAACAUGAAACACAAGUGUGAAUAUUUAAAAAUAUUUUAAUAAUUAAACAAAAAUGAUAAACUUAUAGUGUAAUGUAAUAAAACUAGCAAAAGUUAUAGUUUUUCCAUUAUCCCUUUUAUAAAUUUCAUAUUUUAAAUAAACUAAUAAAUAAUAUAAUAGUAAUGAAUUUGCUUAGUCUUCAUCAUGUAGAACCAAUGUGAAGAAAUUUUUUUUAAUAGGACUGAUUAAUGACUUAAUUAAGGGUAGGUUACAGCAUACACUAGGAGUCAAGAAAUAAGAUGUCAAGACUUGUACAUUCUGAAUAGGGAAGGGAAGAGUAUCCUAACAUAAGAGACCAAAAACAUGCUCAGGGAGAUUCUCGUUAGGAUCAAAUUGGGGGCAUAGAUGUAUCUCUUUGGUAAGAGUUCCCAUAAUUUAGGUAUUAAUGAAAUAGGUAUAAAAGAAUUAUAUAUCUUGAUAUGAUCAUGUUGUUAAUGAUGAUCUAAUGAGUUGAAAUAUUAUGUUUUCAACUGUGUAUAUCUAAUAAAUACAUCAAGUACUUAAACUUUAAUAUAGAAAUGCUCCAUAAUGGUUUGUAUGACUCAUCCUCUUAUAAACAUAUUAUUUAGAUUAGGCUAAAGUGGUCAAAGUAAGAAGAAAACUUGAUACUUGAUUUGAAGUAUGAAGAAUUCUUCUUAGACUUUGUGUGUAGUAUUGUUUGCUUAUUGUUGUGUUAAAGUCUAUUUUGAUGUAUUUUGGAAAGAAUGACCAACUAGAACCACUAUAAGAUGUUGCAAAACUUAUUUAAACAAGGGCUUGUGAGCAAGAUUUUUUUUUUUCCCUUUCAUGUACAAAUAGUAUGAUGAAUGAAAAUUUGAUUCUCAGUUGUAAUUAGUGUUUUCCUUAAGUUUUAAAUCAUGCAAUGAAUACUUAAAAUUAGUUUAAGAUGUCAAAGAAUGUAAGUAAACAAGGUUUUACAUGUUGGAUAUAUAAUUAAUGCAAAACCUUUACCUUCCACAUUGAAUGAUUACAUUUUUUCUUUAAGUGCCCUUUAAUCAUUCUCAUCUUGUUUAAUCAUUUUUCUCUAAUGUCUUGAGCAUAGUAGAUUUCUAUAAAUUUACAUGAGCAUUCCUUAACUCUUCUUGAGUGAUCCUAAACUUAGCAUUGAAACAAUCAUAAUUUAGGCGAAGAUGCUUACACGUCUUCAUAAUCAUCCUUGGUUGCUAGCCAUUUUUCCUUAAUUACUUUAGGAUGUUUAGCGAAGAUGAUUACAAAUAUUAACUAGUUCACUCACACAUUUUUGUAUGAGUGUAGAACAAUUUUGCAUUCUUUCCACAUCACUUAUGCAUCUUUGUUCCAAGAAAGAAGAUAUAGAACUCUUAUCUUUUGCUUACACCACUUGGUUCUCCAGCCCAUUAUGCUUAUGCGUCAUUUUUAUAUCACAUAUGCAACUUGUUUCUCAUUAAUAUAUUUCACUUACAUGUUCUUAUAUAAGCAUAAUUUAGGGAAAAACAUUUUAAAAAAAAAGAAGCAAAAUAGAUGUUAAUAUAUAUAUAUAUAUAUUUGGAACAAUUAAACUCAAACUAUGCAAAGUGACCUUGUCUACUAUAUAGGUGACUUUGUUUACCCCAUAGGUAGAGUAUAUGAUAGUGAUAGUCAAGGAAGCUAUGUAGUUGCAUGGUUUAGUGGAGAAUUUAAUGUUGCAAAACCGUUUUGUAUUUUUAAUAAAAUAAAAAUAUUUUAAAUUGUGGCCCAUUUAAAUAUUAUUUUCCCUAAAAUAAAUGAAACGUGGGAGCACAUCUCUUAUGGAGUAACCACCCAUGUCUACAAAUGUGGGACAUAUUACUCGGUUGAAAACUACCCAAAGUCUUUUUUGAUGGGAAGAAGAGAAAAUAAAUAGAUAGAUACAAGAUUAAUUCCAAAAGAGGGAAGAAGGGUCUCUGGUCUACAAGAAUAAGUCUGUGAUUAGUUUCAUCAGUCCCUAUUUUGUGUGAAUCUGAUUGCCAUGGCUGGAGGUACGAUCUUGGAUUUUCAUUUUAUUACUUGUAAUUAUCAGAGAUAUUUAUCUAACAUUUGGUAUCAGAGCCAAGGGUCUCUAGUUUGGCUUUCGAUUCAAUAUUUAUGGUCUUAAAUGAAUUAAGUUCUAUAUUCAUACAUGAUAAGAGAAAUUUAUCUCCAUAUUUAUUGGGUAUUUCUAAUUUAAUCCAAAUGAAGAAAAUUUAGUAGACUCCAUAUUUAUUGGAUAUUUUUUAUUUAAUCUAUACAGAUUUGUUUUUCUACAGUUGCAAUAGACAUUUCUCAUAUGACAUGUUAUGUUUCCUGCAAUUGAGACAACUUGAACCCGUGACCAUGGGUUACUUCCUUAACUAGAAUAGUCCUUGAACCAUUGGACUAAAGCCUAUGACUUGUUAGAGAUUGCCUCCUCUAAACUUAAAUGUUGGCUCCGUUAUUGUGAAAAACUUGUAUAAAUUAUUUUUAUAAAGUAGUAUUUAGAAACACUACUUAUAUUUGUUUACCAUUGAUUUGGUAAUUUUUUUGAUGUCAUACUGAGGUAACAUUUGAUUAAUUAAGUAAUAGCCACAACAUUCUUGAUUAUGAUAAUGUUAAGUGACAAAAGAAAGUUUCAUUUUUGUCACAUUAAAUUAAUGACAUCAAUAUUUGUAAAUAAUCAUAAAAAAUAAUAAUUUUACCCCACAGGGUAAUUAUUAUGUUUUGUGUUUAUUUAGGAUGGGAUGGUAAAAAAAAAAUAUGUUGCCCAUAGGCCUAAAAUUACUAGUUCCAUUAUAAAGUAAUUAAAAAAAAAACAUUUGCAUGUUGUAUUCUGUUUCCACAGGAAAGUUUAUGAUCACGUGUUGAUUUUUUGUUGAUUGAAUUAAUUUACAUGAGUAAAUUUUGUUUUUUGCUUCAUGGCAUAUUAGUAAGCUUUGUCAUUUAUUUUGUAGUUCAAUCUAUAUAUGUUCCAAAUUUUGAUUCAUCUCGUAUACCUUUCUUGAAUGGUGAUAAUUAUGCUAAUUGGUAGGAGAAAAUUCUCCUUACAUUGGGGUGCAUGGACCUUGAUUUAGCACUUUGUGUGGAUGAGCCAUUGGUUCCUAUGGAAUCAAGUACCCAAACUGAGAAAGCAUCAUAUGAACGUUGGGAGCGAUCUAAUUGCUUAAGUUUGAUGUUUAUCAAGUCUAGUAUUGGGAAAAGUAUUCGUGGUUCAAUUUCUGAAUGUGCUAAGGUGAAAGAAUAUCUCAAGGCUAUUGAGCAACAGUUUGAGGCUUCUGACAAGGCUUUGGCUAGCACCUUAAUGACAAAGAUGUGUUAGAUGAAGUUUAAUGGCACCAAAGGAGUACGUGAGCACAUAAUGGAAAUGAGAGAUAUUGCUACUCAACUUAAGUCAUUAGAGAUUGAGAUGUCUGAGUCAUUUCUGAUUCACUUCAUUCUUAAUUCUUUUCCAUCUGAGUAUGGACCUUUUAAGAUUUCAUACAACACACAUAAGGAAAAAUGGUCUAUUAAUGAACUUUUGACCAUGUGUGUGCAAGAAGAAGGAAGACUAAAUCAAGAAAGGAUUGAAAGUGCCCAUUUGGUGACUUAAGAAAAGAAACCAGGCAAGAAAGGUAAAAGAAAGCAAAAGACAUCUCUUAAUCAAGUUAAUAAGAGCGAUAUCAAGUGCUUCUUUUGCAAGAAGAAAGGACACAUUAAGAAGUGUUGUCCCAAAUUUAAAGCUUGGCUUGAAAAUAAAGGUAAUCUUAUCUCUUUAGUGUGUUAUGGAUCUAAUAUGGUUCAUAUUUCUUACAACACUUGGUGGAUUGAUUCUGGUACUAAAAUUCAUGUUGCCAAUACCAUGCAGGGCUUCUUAAACCAAAGGAAACCAACAGAAAGUGAAUGCUCUAUCUAUUCAGGAAAUCGGAUAAGUUCACAUGUGGAAGCGGUUGGGACCUACAGACUUGUUCUUAGAUCUGGUUUUGUUUUAAACCUUGAAAACUCUUUUUUUGUUCCAUCAUUUUCUAGGAAUCUUAUUUCAGUUUCGAGACUUUUACCAUAUGGUUUUAGUUUUAAAUUUGUUGUUAUUUCAUUUCAUUUGAUAAAAGACAAUGUCGUUGUUGGUGAUGGUAUUUUGGAUAAUGGUUUAUUCAAACUCAAUUUAAAUCCAAGUUUUAAUCAUAGACUUACAACUAUGCAUGGAAAUGUUGGCAUUAAGUGUGGUGUUAUAAAUAAGAAAUCUUCCACAUUAUGGCACAAGAGAUUAGAUCAUAUCUCUAUUGAAAUAAUUAAAAGAUUGGUAAAUGAUGGAGUCCUUGAGGCUCUUGAUUUUACUGAUUUUGAUAUUUGUGUGGGUUGCAUUAAGGGAAAGCAAACCAACAUGACUAAGAAUCAAAGUGCUAGGAGGACUUCUAAUGUUUUAGAAAUCAUACACACUGACAUUAGUGGUCUUUAUAAUAUGUGCUUAAAUGGUCAAAUAUAUUUUAACACUUUUAUCGAUGACUACUCACGAUAUAUGUAUCUUUUUUUGCUUUAUGAUAAGUGUGAAGCACUAGAUGCUUUCAAAAUCUAUAAUGCAGAGGUAGAGAAACAAUUGGGUAAACAAAUUAAGAUUGUGAAGUCAGAUAGAGUUGGUGAAUAUUAUGGUAGGUACACUGAAAAAGGACAAUUAUCUGGUCCAUUUGCAAGGUUUCUACAGGAACAUGGCAUUGUUGCCCAAUACACAAUGCCUUGCUCACCAUCCCAAAAUGGUGUGGCUGAAAGAUGAAACCAAACCCUAAAGGACAUGGUUAGUAACUCCAACCUCCUAUUAUCCUUGUGGAGUGAGGCCAUAAAGACAACAACAUAUUGAUUACUAUUCAAAAAGUGCUGUUUUGUAGCUUGUAAUUAACUCUUUUAAACACUUUUGAGUAGUAGUUAUUACCUUUUAACUCAAUUGGCAUGUUAAGGACCCUUGCAAUCGUUUCUAAUCAAAUUGUGUUAAGUUUUAGUGUUUUUGAUAUCUUUUUUAUCACCAAAGCAAUCUAAGAUGAGGGAGAGCUUUAUAUAAUCCAUGGCAAAGAAAAUAAAAGCUCAUUUACAAGAAGAAUCCAAGCUUUGGAGCUUUGAAGUCCUUUGCCAAAAGCAAAUCAUGAAUGCAAUGAGGGAAAGCAAAGAGAGAAAUCUAACAUGAAGAAUUCAAGAGGACAGCAACUGUUGAAGACAUUUUGAGUACUUCCUGAAGUCCAUUUCAUGCAUACUAUAUGUCGUUUCGAAGAUCGGGAAGUCAGAAGCCCAACGCUUCAAACGGUACAUGAAUUGGAGUUGAAAAGAAGAAGUUAUGGCCAUUUGAAGACAACCGCACAAAGUUGAGCGAAAAUUUCAUGGCCCAAAGCCCAUUUCGUACCUGCGAAAUAAGCUGCGAAAUGAAACCCACUUGCGAAAUUUUGUAAGGUGUUUUGCAGCUGCGAAACCACCUCCAAGCACACGUGUGCCACUUCGCAAGUUGAAACUCCAUCUUCGCAACUGCGAACCACGUUGCGAAAUCACCUCCAAGCUGCGAAACAAGUUGCAAAUCAUCUCCAAGUUGCGGAAUCACCUCCAAGUUGCAAAAUCACAAAUUCAACUUGCAAAAUCAAAGUUCAAACUUGCAAAAUGGACAAUUCAAAGUGUGAAAUCCACCUGUGCAAUCUCAGAUAUUUGCAACCGACUCAGUUAGAUUUUUUCUCAAGAUAUUUUGUAAAUUUCUAUUUUCUCCUUGUAAUCAGUCAAAGAUAUUAUUGGGAUAUUUCUUAGAAAAUAUCUUCUCUAUAUAUAUCUUUGAACCAAUGUAAAUAAUACGGAUAUAUCAUGUAGAUCAUAGAUCAUGGAUGUAAUUGACGAUAGUAAGAAAUAUAUUUUUACAGAGCACUUGCUCUGUUUUUCCUUCAUAUUUUUGUUUUCUCGUUAUUUUUAUUUCUAGCAAAUCAAACUCUGAGGAUGUUUCCUUAGAGGAUGAGUGGCUUGGCUCUUUGUCUCUUGGAGUGAAGAAAGCCAAGUAAGUUUCCAUAUGCAAAAAUUAGAAGUUUUGUUGUUUCAGUUUUUAAUGAAGAGAAAGUGUGACUCGUUAAUGGUUUUUAUCUUUUUAGUUAACUUAAAACGCCUUUAAGUUACCUAGGCUAACACUUGGUAAGGCAAGUGAUCUCCGUCCAUUGAGAUGCACUAGUUUACCUCUUGCGAGCCUUUGGGAGGUGACUUGAAGGUAGGAUUUUCUAGAAUAGCCAACACUUGGUAAGCUUUUGGACUCUAAGGAGACAUCCAUUAGUUAUCUCUUGCGAGCUUUUAAAGGGUAAUCCAAGGUUAAGGAUCACCUUGAAUGGCAAAUUCUAGGUGAGAGGCAUGAGCCAUUGCAAGAUGCAUCAGUGAGAGAGAUUUAGUGUUUGAACCCAUUAAGGGGAAACAUCUAUACCACAUCGAUUCGGGAAAUAACUAUAUGUUAAAUCCCCAAUGCGAGGAAAAGAUUCAAGUGACCAGAACUCCCUUUUUGUAUAAGGAACCUAAGCCUAGUGAUCUGAAACUCCAAGAAACAUUUUUCUUUGUAAUUAAAAUCAGUUACUAUUUUUGGUUAGCUUAAAACCAACCUUUUCAAACAUCUUUAUAUUUUCUUUUAGAGCUAACCUUGAAAUGAAAAAACACCAAUUCAGCUUUGAAUUAAUAUCAAUUGUGAAGUGAAAACCCAUCCCAGUGAACGAUCCUAGAGCCACUAUGCUAUGCUAGCUGAGGCUAUCCUAGUACAUGGUGUAAUAGGUUAUAAAUUUUGUUGAUUACUCCCGUCUGAGGACCACAAUCAAGGAAUACCAGCUGGACACGAAUCAAAUGACACCGUUGUUGGGGACCAUUGAGAGGACAUGAAUCAGCUGAUACACCAAUUGGGAAUGAAUCACAUAUGUACUAAACCGGGUUCCAACCAAGGUAGUUCCUAAAACGCCUUUUGAGUUAUGGAAAUGUUGCAAACCCAGUCUAAGGCAUGUACAUGUAUGGGGUUGCCUAGUUGAGGUUAGAAUUUAUAAUCCACAAGAGAAAAAGUUAGACUCAAGAAUAGUCAGUGGAUAUUUCAUUGGCUACAUAGAAAAGUCUAAGGAUACAAAUUUUUAUUAUCCUUCUUGUGCUACGAAAAUUGUAGAAUCUCAUAAUGCAAGGUUUUUGGAGAAUGAUGUGAUUAGUGGGAGCAAUGAAUCUUGACACUUAGUGUUUGAGGAACGCCACAAUAUUGAACCCACUCUUGAGUCUUCAAGUGGAUUAAUUAUUUUCCUGGAUAGUCAUCAAGAUUUGACAAUCCAAGAAACACCAGUUGUUAAUGAACCACAUCAUGAGGAUAUUCUGAUGGAUUUAGUUAUUCAACAUCCUCAACAAGGGAAUGUUGAUAUAACAUUAAGAAGAUCUACUACAGAAAGGAGGUCUACAAUUUCUUUUGAUUAUGUUGUGUACUUACAAGAAUAUGACAUUGAUAUUGGUGUUGAAGAUGACCCCAUUACGUUUUCACAAGCCGUGGGUGGAAGUGAAAAGAUGAGAUGAAUUCAAUGGCUAAUAAUCAAGUCUGGGAUCUUGUUGAGUUGCCUAAAGGUGCAAAGGUAAUUGGUUGUAAAUGGGUUUUUAAGACUAAAAGGGGUUCUUUGGGCAAUAUUGAAAGAUAUAAGGCAAGACUUGUAGCUAAAGGAUUCACUCAACAAGAAGGAAUUGAUUAUCAUGAUACCUUCUCUCCUAUUUCCAAGAAGGAUUUAUUUUGGAUAAUCAUGGCAUUGGUAGCUCAUUUUGAUAUGGAGUUACAUCAAAUGGAUGUGAAAACAGCAUUCCUUAAUGGGGAUUUAGAGGAAAAGGUUUACAUGAAACAACCAGAAUGGUUCAUCACAAAUGGAAAUGAUCACAUUGUUUGCAAGCUUAAAAAAUCUAUAUAUGGACUAAAACAAGCAUUCCGUCAAUGGUAUUUAAAGUUCCAUGAUGUUAUUUCUUCAUUUGGUUUUAUAGAAAAUGUUAUGGAUCAAUGUAUGUACCAUAAGGUUAGUAGGAGCAAAAUGAAUUUCUUAGUCUCAUAUGUGGAUGAUAUUUUGCUUGCUUCAAAUGAUUUGGGCUUACUUCAUGAGGUGAGGUGAGGCGAUUUCUCUUGCAACAAUUUGAUAUGAAAGAUAUGGGUGAAGCUUCUUAUGUCAUUGGCAUAAAGAUUGAGAGAGAGAGAUCUCAACGGAUAUUAGGAUUGUCUCAAGAAACCUAUAUCAAUAAAGUGCUUGAGAGAUUUCGCAUGAAGGAUUGUUCACCUGGUAUUGCACCGAUUGUCAAAGGUGACAAAUUUAGUUUGAACCAAUGCCUCAGUAAUGAUUUGGAAAAUAAAGAGAUGAAAAAUAUUCCUUAUGCUUUUUCAGUUGGGAGUUUAAUGUAUGCUCAGGUUAAUACAAGACCUGACAUUUCUUAUGCAGUUGGAAUGUUGGGCAGAUAUCAAAGUAAUCGAGGUCUGGAACACUAAAAAGCUGCAAAGAAAGUCAUGUGAUACUUUAAGGGGACUAGGGACUACAAACUUACAUACAUGCGAUCUGAUUAUUUGGAUGUGGUUGGAUAUUUGGAUUCUAACUUUGCUAGCUGCCUUGAUUCUAGAAAGUUGACAUCUGGAUAUGUCUUCUUAUUAGCUGGAGGGGCCAUUUCAUGGAAAAGUGCAAAACAAACAUUGGUUGCUACUUCGACCACAGAAGCGAAAUUUGUUUCAUGUUUUGAAGCAACGUCACAUGCUAUUUGGCUGAGGAGUUUUAUUUCAGGGCUUCAAGUUGUUGACUUAAUUUCUAAGCCAUUGAGGAUUUACUGUGAUAACUCUACCAUAGUGUUUUUAGCUAAGAAUAAUAAGAGUGGAAGUCAUAGUAAACACAUUGACAUAAAGUACUUAUCUAUUAGGGAACAUGUUAAGUCAAACAAGGUGGCUAUUGAGCAUAUUAGUACUGGAUUGAUGAUUGCGGAUCCUUUGACGAAAGGAUUGCCACCUAAGGCUUAUAAGGAACAGGUUGAACAUAUGGGACUCAAUUCUAUUUUUUAAAUUUUGUGUAAUUGAGACAUCUUUUGUGUUUCAUCGCAUUUUUUGGUUGAUAUGAAAACUCCAAUUAUUUCAAUCUUGUCUUCUCAUUUGGUUAUAUACAUAAAGUUUAGAGAAUGAAAAUAUGCAUGUUAUGAAUGUUAAGUAGACCUUGAAUGAGAAUUUUGGAAACUCAUUCAUAAAGGAAUGACUCACGUAUUGUUCUUAUUCAAAAGAGAAAGUUGCAUUGUAAUACAUGGAAGGUAAUACUUGUUCUUAGAGGACUUACUGACAUGAUUUAUGUGCUUUAAAUUCUUUUGAUUAAGUAUAAGGAUUUAGGGAAAAAUAUGUUAUGUAUUAAUUUAAUUAAUACAUAUUAAGUAAUUUUUAUGGGCUAAGUGGGAGAAAUGUUGGAAACCGUUUUGCAUUUUUAAUAAAAUAAAAAUAUUUUAAAUUGUGGCCCAUUUAAAUAUUAUUUUCCCUAAAAUAAAUGAAACGUGGGGGCACAUCUCUUAUGGAGUAACCACCCAUGUCUACAGACGUGAGACAUAUUACUCGGUUGAAAACUACCCGAAGUCUUCUUUGAUGGGAAGAAGAGAAAAUAAAUAGAUAGAUACAGGAUUAAUUCCAAAAGAGGGAAAAAGAGUCUCUGAUCUACAAGAAUAAGUCUAUGAGUUCCAUCGGUGCAUGGACAUAAGGUCUUGUAAGGACUAGCCAACUAAUCCCUAUUUUGUGUGAAUUUGAUUGCCAUGGCUGGAGGUAUGAUCUUGGAUUUUCAUUUUAUUACUUGUAAUUAUCAGAGAUAUUUAUCUAACAUUUAAGAGUUAAGCAUGAUCACAUUGUGAUUUAUUAUGAUAAUGGGAGUGCCCUACAUUUAUUUAAGAAUAAAGUUCAUCACUCAUUGGUAAGGCAUAUUGAUGUCUAAUUUCAUUUUAUUUAAGAGAUUCUAGAAGAAAGUCAUAUCUUGUUUUAGAAAGAUUGCUAAUGUUAAUGAGGUAGGUCAUAUUUUAAGAAAGAUUUUUCCUAAAGUCAAGUUUAGCCAUUGUUUAAAUGUGAUCCAUGUAGAAAGGAUCAAUGUACCUUUAGGUGUGUAGUAGCAAAAUCCUUAAAGAUUGUUUGGUUAGCUUCAUUUACAUUACUUAGUUAAAUAUUACAUAGUCAAUUACAUAGUCCUUUAUUAUUAUUUUUCAUUCUUAGUUGGUUUUUGUCUUGAAUUUAGAGUGAAGAAGAUGUAAUCAAUGAGUAGGGAAAGAGGAACAAAAAUGAAAAUAACAUUAGAACUAGGAAUUGGAGAAGAGGAAGAAGAUGAGGACAUUUCUAGCAAUGUUGCAUGUCAAUUUUUUGUUUAAUGAUUUCCUUAUAAUAGUUUUCAUAUUUCAUUAUCUCUCUCUAAACUAAACAACAUAUUUCUUAAAUAUUUUGAAUUCUUAUUUAUUUUUAAACUCUUUCAUUCUCUACCCUUUCACCAUUUUCACAUACCUAAAAUUUGCUCUCAAUUUAUUUCAAUAAUGUUGACAUAAAAGUAAAUAGCUAAAAUAGAUAAGUUAACCUUCAACCUAUUUUUUAUUUAUUUAUUUAUUUACAAACCAAAAUCUAGUAUUUUUGUUUAGAAACUAAAAUUGAACAAAAAUGUAUAAACUAAGAGAAAGAAAAAGUAAAAACUAGAGACUUGUAAUUAUAUAAAUGUUAAGAUUUCAAGUUAGUAAUUUAUGUUAGUAUUUGUAUUUUUUUCUUUUUUUUUUCUUGAUUUUUAUAUACCAUUUUAAUUAAUAUUUUCAAUUUUGUGAUUGAAGUCUCAAAUUUUUUAAUUUGUGUUAUGCUUAUUUUAUUGUUUCCAUGUUAAAAACCAAUGUGCAAUUAGUAUGACAUGUACACUUAUUAUUUCGAAGUGUAAUGUUGAUAUCUUAUUUUGUAAAGCCCAUGGCGAUCAAUCAUUGUCUCUCAUGUGUCUCAUUGAUGAUGUGUGAGUUUGACUAAUUAUUUAGCAUCAUGCCUCAAAGAUUAAUGUUACAUAUCGAAGACAUCUCUCUAAUAAACAUGACAUUCAAUACACUUUUCUUGGCCUUAAUCUUUGAUACAUGAUAGGUCCAUGUUCUACCUUCAUAUCUCCUAUGCCAUAGUGCUACAUUAUUUGAAAAUGAAUAUUUAUCUUCAAUAAGACCCUAAGUCACAUGGAUGCCUAUGAAGCAUGGAUGUUGCCCAUAGUGAAUGCCAGGGAGGGGGGUAAAGGUGUUUCUUACUCUAUUCUUCCUUAAGAUGGUAUCAUGUGCUUCUGAUAAUUGUUUUAUUCUUAUUCUAGAAAAUACAUGCUUCCUAAAAACUAAUAGUUUUUAUUGGUUUAUGAUCUUUUAUACCUCCUUCUAAUGUGUCAGCCUUACCAUAAUGCCUUGAUGUUAAUAAAUCUACCUAGUUCAUGAGCAAAGCUCAAGGUUUUGGAAUGGACUUUGUGUCCUUAGUGGUAAAUCUAGUUUCCCUACCCAUUAGCAUUUCAAGAUUAGUUUGAGCAUCUUGGUUUAGCAAUUAGAUCUUAUACUUACCAAGGUUGGAUUAACACACAUUGAUCUCAUUUUAGCUUAAAUGAAAGAGGUGACAAGUGUGUCUUCAUUAUAGGUGUCAUAUGAAGAAGUUUGUAUAUCCUUAUAGAAUAACUAAUAUUCAAAAUACUAUUUUAGAGCAUCAAUAAAAACUUCAUUUCUAUCCAAAUGAAAAAAAGAAGUGAUAUUGUUGUUCUCCUUGAUCUUACUGCCACCAUCUCUACCCAAUCAUCUACUCUCACUUUGUUUUGCUCUCAUUUUAAACUCUUGGGACAUUUAAAACUUUUAAGUUUUAGUUGUAAACUUAUAGAUACUUUUUUAGGAAAAAAAAAAUGGAAGUGAGAUCUAAGAUUUUGUUUUGAGAAAAGUAUUGAAAAAGCCCCAGGCUUAGAAACUUUUAUUUGCCUAUGUCUAAUAUGAACUUUUGAAUGAAAAAAACAAUGUUAUAUAAUUUAAUACUUGAAAGGAGUUAGAAGGUUUUUUCUAAUUUUGGAGCAUGAUGUACAUUAUGAGCCUAAAUCAUGACAACUUAAGUUGUUAGGAAGAUCAGUUGCUUAACAUGCCAAUAGUGUCUUGUUUAGUGGGGGGUUGUGUGUUUGAAUCUCACCUCAUUAUUUCCAUGAUUUACUAAAAUGAGGUUAGUUGCAUAGGAAAAUUUUUCUCUUCAUACGUGGGUAUGGGGUUGCAGUGAAAGAGAGUGUUAAAGAAUGGGAUCAAAUCUUAAUAGUUUAAGCUUUUAGAAAAAUCAAAAGUUCAAUAUGGCAUUAGAGUCUUAUUUAUUCGAAGGUUAUUAGUUUGGACCUAAAGACAUUAUUUCCCUAAUUUAUUGAGUAAAAAAAAGGCUAGAUAUGAGGUUGCUAAUGAGAAGUUAAUAGGGGUCCUGAGUCCAAGUCCUUCCCUCAUUAUUUAUCUAUCUAAUUAUUUAUGACCAUAAAGUGCUCCCCAUGAUAGGUAUGGGCUCACAUAUGAGGAGAGGAGGGGUGUUGGACCAUUAUAUAUGUUAUGUGCUCAAAUUCUAACAACUUAAUUAAGCUUUUAGGAAAAUUUAUUAUUUAACAUUAAUAUUGUUUUGUAAUCAAAGUAAAAUCUGUUGAGGAGAAGAAAAAUGGUAUUCUUCUAUAUAUUGAAAGAUACAGCAGAUGAGGGUUAUAUAUAACCUGUACAUGAAGUUAAUUUGGAAGAAACUAAUCACACUAAUCUAGGCUACAAUCUUGGAUGAUUUACAAUCAAAUAAAACUAACUUGGUAACUAGAAUAUUUUUAUUUCUAUAAUUGCUCCUUCAACAACUCACGUCAAUACUCCCCCUCAAGUUGGUGCAUAGAUAUCAUCAAUGCCCAAUUUGUCAAGUGAGUUGUGAAAUAUUUUGCUAGAGACAGCCUUUGUAAGAAUAUUUGCUAGUUGAUCUUCUGACUUCACAAAAGGAAAUUGAAUGACCUUGUCUUCGAGCUUCUGCUUGAUAAAAUGUCGAUCCACUUCAACAUGUUUGGUGCGGUCAUGUUGAACUGGGUUAUGCGCGAUUGCUAUGGCUGCCUUAUUAUCACAAAACAAGUUCAUUGUAUUCUGAGAUGAACACUUAAUUUCCUCUAAUAAUCUUUUUAACCAAAGUAGCUCACACAAUCCUUUAGUCAUGCCUCUAAACUCAGCCUCUGCACUAGAUAAAGCAACUACCUUAUGUUUUUUACUCCUCCAAGUGACCAGAUUGCCUCCCACAAAUGUGAAGUAGCCCGAUGUGGAUUUUCUAUCAGUAAUGUUCCAUGCCCAGUCUGCGUCCGUAUAACCGUCAAUGUGCAGAUGUUGGUUUUUCGUGAACAUCAGUCCUCUUCUUGGAGAAGACUUCAAGUACCGUAAAAUACGAACCACUGCACUCAUAUGAUCUUCGCUAGGACAAUGCAUGAAUUGACUCACCAAGCUCACCGCAUAAGCAAUAUCAGGUCGUGUGUGAGAUAAGUAUAUCAGCUUUCCCACAAGGCGUUGAUACCUUUCUUUAUUGGUAGGGGUCUGGUUAGGAAAUUCUCCCAAGCCAUGGUUUUGAACAACUGGUGUAUCAGCAGGUCUACAAUCAAGCAUUCCUAUUUCAGACAACAAGUCAAGCACGUACUUCCUUUGGGAUAGAAAUAUGCCUUGUUUUGAUCGAGCUACUUCAAUCCCCAAAAAAUACUUCAACCCUCCAAGAUUUUUCAUCUCAAAUUCAAUUGCUAAAUGCUCUUGUAAUUUAGAGAUUUCUUCCUCGUCAUUUCUUGUAAUUAUCAUAUCAUCAACAUAGAUUAUUAGAGUUGUUACCUUCCCCCGUUGGUGCUUUAAGAAGAGAGUAUGAUCUAAAUUACUUUGCUUGAAACCGUGCUUUCUCAUGGCAAGGCUAAAUCGUCCAAACCAUGCUCUAGAAGACUGUUUCAAUCCGUAUAAUGCCUUUUGUAACUUGCAAACAUCCUUCCCCUGUGUCGAAGAAACAAAACCCGGUGGAAUGUCCAUGUACACCUCCUUUUUAAGAUCCCUAUGGAGAAAGGCAUUUUUGACGUCAAAUUGGUGCAAUGGCCAGUCCAAGUUUGCAGCAAGAGAGAUUAGUACUCUCACAGUAUUUAAUUUUGCUAUAGGUGAAAAAGUUUCUUGAUAAUCUACCCCAUAUGUCUGAGUAUAUCCCUUCGCAACGAGCCUUGCUUUAUAUCUUUCAACUGAUCCAUCUACUUUGUGUUUGAUAGAGAACACCCAUCGACAUCCCACAGUUUUCUUUCCCUUAGGCAAUGGCACAAGCGCCCAAGUAUCAUUUUUUUGUAAUGCUUUCAUCUCUUCCUCUAUCACUUGGAUCCAUUUGGGAUUAUUCAUGGCUUCACUCACUGUAUCAGGAACACUAUCUGCAGAUAAUUUAUGAACCAAUGCCUUGAGAGGUUCAGACAAUUUUUGAGUUGAGAUAUGGUUGGCAAUUGGGUACUUUGACUUGCUCGUUCCAUGAUCGGGUGAAUAGCGGUUUGGUGGUUGCCCGCGGUUAUGCCUGAAAGGUAGUUUAUAGCCAGAAAAAAUAUUGUGAGGAGAGUUUAGAACUUGUACCUCAGGAAUAUUCUCAAGAGAUUGGUCUAAUUGUGGUACUGUCAAGUCAUGGAAGGGUUGUUCACUUUCAAUUUCCCUAACUUCUCCAUUUUGAUAUACUCUUGUUGGUUGUUGUUCGAUCUCUGCUUCGACAUGCUCAACAUUUUCAACUUCUCCUCUUUGAUCUAUCAGUAUUGCCAUUGGUUCUCUUGGCUGAACCUCCCUUAUAUCAUUUGAAGUUUCUUCGAAGCCUGGCCAAUUUUCCCAAUUCUGCUCUUCACUCGUCAUCUCCCCCUGAAGAGAGAAGUGGGAAGAUUGAGAAGUGAAGAAAUUCUCCUAUUCAAUAAAGGUGACAUCCAUGGUGGUAUAGAGUCGCCUUGUAGCUGGAUCAUAACAUCGGUAUCCUUUCUUGUGAGUUGCAUAGCCAAGAAAAACACAAUGGACAGCACAUGGAUCAAGCUUUGUCCGUUGAUUCUUGUGUAGAUGAACAUAUGUAACACAACCAAACUUUCUUGGAGGAAGCAUUAGAACUGAUGGUAAUGUCACAUGUUGUGCGAGAACUUGAAGAGGGGUUUUGUAGUGCAAAACUCGUGAUGGCAAUCGAUUCAUUAAGUAUACAGCAGUCAUUAUUGCAUCUAGCCAAAAUCGUUUAGGAACAUAAGCAGCAGUCAAGAAAGCUCGAGUGAUUUCCAAGAUAUGUCUAUUCUUGCGCUCUGCAACACCGUUCUGUUGCGGUGUUUGAGAACAAGAUGUCUCAUGAUGCAAACCAUGUUCCUGAAAGUAUCUGUGAAAUUGUGCAUUAUCAUAUUCCCCACCAUUAUCAGAUCAAAGAAUUUGAAGUUUAGCAGAAAAUUGUGUUCGAAUCAUAUUAUGAAAUGAUCGAAAUAUUUCAAACACUUCAUGUUUAUUUUUCAUCACAUAAAGCCAAGUCAUUCGUGUACAAUCAUCGACAAAGGUUACAAACCAACGAACACUAGAAGAAAUAGUAAUAGGAGCAGGGCCCCAAACGUCAGAAUGAACAAUCAAAAAAUGAGUGUCACAUUUAUUCAAACUGAUUGAAUAAGGUACCUGAUGACUCUUAGCCUGAAUACAAGCUUCACACUUAAAAUCUGACUCAUUAAACUUCGUAAAUAAAUCUAGAAAUAAACAUCUCAAAUACCGAAAUGAGGGAUGCCCCAACCGAUUAUGCCAUAACCAUAUCUGUCUUUCCUUAACUCCAGCAGAAUGCAUAUUAUUUGCUCGACCAUAACUAAAAUCAUCCAUGUAAUACAACCCUUCCCUUUUAGUACCACGACCAAUAAUCUCCUUGGUGAGAAUAUCCUUAAACAAACAAAAGUUAGGGUACAUUAGAGCAUAACAAUUCAAUUCCUCAGUCACUUGUCCAAUAGAUAACAAUUAAUUGGAAAGUGAUGGAACUAGUAAGGUAUUUGGUAAUGUAAAAGAAGGAGAAAGAGCCACUGUUCCAACCCCUGUUACUGGAUAUGUUACUCCAUUAGCAUUGGCAAUGCAUAUUCGUUUUGGUUGGGUGGCUUUAGAGAAGUCACAAGGGUCAAAGGUCAUGUGGUCUGUUGCCCCAAAGUCAAUGAUCCAGCCAUCAUGGUUCCCCGUUUUCGAGCAAGAAAAAACAUAACCUUGGUUACCUGAGUCAUUCUGAGCAAUCUGUUCACUAGUGGAGAUAGAAUAUUCUUGUUGUGGUACGAGAGAUAGUUGAGGCUCUACGCUCAUAAGAGCUGCACAACCAAGAUUGUCGCCUCCACUUGCUUCACGCUUUUUCUUUGCCUUGAGUUCAUGCCACCAAUCUGGAUAACCAUGUAGUUUGAAGCAUGUUUCUUUGGUGUGUUUUGUAUUCCCACAAUGUGUGCAGCCUCCUCCUUCCCCUUUUGGUUUUGUGGUUGUGUUAGGCUUUCCAUUUGAUGGCGUUUGAAAAGAUAAUUGGUGUUGAGGUUUAUGUUCUCCUCUUGAAAGCAUAGCACCACCAGAUAUGGUAUCUUCAUUCAUCAUCAUUACGGAUUGCCUCAAAUCCUCUAUUCAAACUUGCGCAUAAGCUUGUUCCACUGUUGGGAAUGGUUGUAUCUACAGCACAUCUGCUCAGAUCUUGUCAAGCCGAUCAUCAAGUCCGUCUACGAAAGUGUAGACUCUAUCCUCCUAUAAAAUAGAGUUAUAUUUUUGUAUAUUAAUAUCACAUUCCAUAGGAUUUGGUCAACGAAAGUCGAUUUCCCUCCACAAGCCUUGCAGAUUGUUGUAGUGUGUCUCGAUAGAUCCUCCUUCUUGUUUGAAUCUGGUUACUCUUCUUUUGAGAUCAUAUACUUGUGAUGUAUCAGUGCCAUCAAAGUACGUAAUAGCAAUAUUAUCCCAAACAGCCUUAGCCAUUGAGAAUUUGAUAAAGUUACUGACUAACUUUGGAUCCAUAGAAUUGAUUAGCCAUCCCUUCACCACUGCGUUUUCGGUUCUCCAUUUUCUGAAUGCAGGAUCUGUUUGCAGGGGCUGUGGAAAAUCUCCAUUUAUGUAUCCCAACUUGUCUUUACCUGAGAUAUACAUCUCGACAAUUUGGGACCAUAGUGCAUAAUUGGUACCAUCUAACUUGAUUCCAAUCUGUGUAGCAGGUUCAUGACUUGUGAUAUGGUUCUGAGUUUGGUUGUGGUUCAGUACUUGUGUCAUUCUUGUCAUAAGAUCUGCGAGAAUUGAACUCUCCCCUUCGUGUUUUUCCACCCUAAUAGGAGGUGUUUCCAUUUUCCUCUUUCUGUUUUUUUUUUUUUUCUGAAAUUCUAUGGCCCUAGAAUCUCUGCUCUGAUACCAUGUUGAAGAGAAGAAAAAUGGUAUUCUUCUAUAUAUUGAAAGAUACAGCAGAUGAGGGCUAUAUAUAACCUAUACAUGAAGUUAAUUUGGAAGAAACUAAUCACACUAAUCUAGGCUACAAUCUUGGAUGAUUUACAAUAAAAUAAAACUAACUUGGUAACUAGAAUAUUUUUAUUUCUAUAAUUGCUCAUUCAACAACUCACGUCAAUAAAAUCAACCCUAGUUAUUCAACAUAAUAAAAAACAUUAGUUUCCUUAUUGAAAAUGGUAAGGACUAAGUAAAUUGAUAUAAAAUAGAAUGCUUUAUAGUUUAUGAGGUGAAGUAUUAGCACUAUAAAGUUAAGUAACUAAUUUGCUAAAAUUACUAGCUAAAACUUGAAAAAUCUUAUCUAAGUGAAAAAUAAAAUAAAAUAAAACUCUUUAUUUUACAUAAUAGCAUAUCUAUAUCCCCUUAAAUUAUGAAAUUCAUGUUGUUUUUUCAACAAAAAAAAAAAAGAUAGAAAAAGAAAAAGAAAAAACCUAGAAAUGCCUACUCAAAAAGAAUAGAUUGAUACACUCCCUAACCAUAAAAUUGAGUUGUAAAUAUAAAUUAUAGUUCAUCCAAGUCUAUAUGCGACUUUUAGAAAUCAAUAGCUAGUUUCAUUUACACCAUUGGUUCGCAUUUUUUUAUUCCAUUGAAAAGAAAGCAAUAAAAAUGAAUUGAGACAAAAAUGAUAAUACAAUCCAUAAAACAUCAAUAGAUUUGUAAACUCAUUAUAAAGUUCAUAAAUUUUUAGAUAAAAAGAAAAACAAUAUAAAGAGGAAAAAAAAUUAGGAACUAUCAAGUUCAAAAAUAGAAUUUAUGGUAAAAAAUAAAAAAUAAAAAGAUAUAACAAACAACAUUUUAAAGUAAGGGUACAAUAGUUAUUAAAAAGAAUCUCAAUAAAAGUUUUCUAAAAAUUGAAAAGAGAGAGAAAAAGUUUUUGGUAUGCUUUUAUGGUUUAGGGGGUAAAAGUUCAUAAUACUCGUCAUUUUAUCAUCUUUAUAGGAAAAAAAAAUUAGACUCAACUUUAUCACAACUCAUAUGAGUUAAAAAUCUCUUGAAUGUAUUUUCUCUCAAGUUUCUAAUGGAUACCCCUUUAUCAAAGGUAUGGACAUUGAGCUAAAUUCACCAUUAAAAUUCAUCAAGUUCCUUUUUUCCUUUUCCUAAUUCAUCAAGCUAUAUUUAUGAAAUAUCCUAAUUAUUCACUUGUAAUAUCAUAUUGUCAACAAAUCCCUUAACAGAUCUACACCUAUCACUAGUUAAUAGAUAAAAUAACUUAAUAAUUAGUUUUAAGUUUUAAGGACUUUACAAGACAAGCCAAGAACCUCAGAUUGCUUGCACACAAUUGACAAAUUGAUUUGUUUUAAAAAGUCAAAUGCUAAAGAAAAUCCACAACACAUAUUGUUUUAAAAAUAUUUGUAUUUAUAUGACAAAAAAAAAAAAAAAACCAAUAGUUUAAAUUGGAAAAGUUUAUGCAAAUUAGAUGAGGAAAAUGCAAGCCAUAAAAUAACAUUAAACUGUUAUCAUUCUCUAAGAAACAUCAAGAACAUAUUGAGAGAACCAUUGCUUGACAUAAUAAAUUGGUCUUGAAAGGAAAAGAAAAUCAUCAAAGCAAUUAUAUUUGUGAUGCAUUCCUAUUUGCAAUAGGUUCCAAUAUUUGAAGCUCACAAAUUCUUCACAUUUGGAUGAACCUUUUUAUUGCAAACAUAGAUCAACCUUGUGGUGCUUACCAAUGGGAAAACAAUUAUAGUAAGAUAUGUAUUGCAAAUGGUGCAUGCUUGCUGUAAAAAUAAAAAAUAAACAAUGAUGAUUGGAUAAGGGAUAGAAAUGGAACAAAAGACAUUGAAUUGUUAUAUGAAUUAAUAUAUUUUAUGUACUCAAAUACAAAAGCAUAUUAUAAUAAUAUUCAUAAGGCAAAAACCACUAUUUUUUUUAUUGGGAAACCCAUAUGAGAACAUGGCAUGGGGCUCAUCAUUGCACACACCACAUUCUCCACAAAAAACCAUAGGACUAACACCAUGAAAACCCAUCAUUGGCACCAUCCUCUUGACUCUCAAUCCCUUAACCCUACACAUUUUCAAACCAAUGUCAUCAACCACUCAUAUCACACAACUCAUAACCCAUCUCUAAUUCCACAACUUUCACCACUGUUGUACUACCAUUCACAUCAUCUCUAUCUCUAAAAACCUACACUCACACCUCUACAAAAUGUCACACUUCCUCACCUUAUACAACACCACCGCCUUAUUAAUUCAUCCAUGCCUAUGGCUAACAUAAAAAAACCCACCAGCACCCUCAUAAAAAAACAAUACUAUUUCAAAGUUACACCACAUUAAUGUCACCAUGCACCUUUCCCUCCAUUGAAUAUCCCAUACAAUCUCUCAUUAUCACCCUCGUCAAAUUCGCAAUGUCUCUCCUAAAUCCUGUAUGACUCUUAGUUUUACCAUUUAUUAGGUUAGCGUCCUCUAGUUCUAAUCGCAACCACUCUAACUUCCAAAGAAAUAAAAUGAUAAAUGAGCAAGUCAUGGAGAUUUCUCUUCCUUACAACCUUUUGCUCCAAGUGUUUUGGUACCCUACUAUUUGCACAUAUAUGUCUUGACAUUAACUUCUACUCAAAUAUAAUCUCUUCUUGUUUUCAUGCUUACCUAUUUUAUACAUCUUUUUUUGUAGAUUUUUUAAUUAUUUAACAUCUUAAGGUUUGCUUUGGUCAUGUUGUAUUGUUUACUUUGCACACUAACCAAAUGUCAAGGCCCUUUUACAUACAACUGGUUCUACCUUAGUCUUUGCAAUACCUUCCUAAGGUAGACCAAGUGAUCUUGUAGAGUGUAGUUGUAGAUCACUAUAUCGUCCAAAUAAUACACCACAAACGAGUCUAGGAAGUCAAAUAAGAUGUUGUUUAUGAGGUUGCAGAAAGCGGCAAGGGCAUUAAUCAACCCGCAAUGCAUGACCAAGAAUUCAUAGCUACCAUACCAAGUCAAACAAGUUGUCUUUGCAUCAUCUCUUUAAGCAAUGAAAACCUGUCAAUACCCUAAUCAUAGGUUUAUCUUGGUAAAAUACUCCACUUCACAAAUUGAAGAAGUUUGUGUGUGUGUGUGUGUGUUUGUAUAUAUAUAUAUAUUAUGCCAUAGCUUUACAUGCCAUCUACUUGUCUCCAUUUCAACAUUUGAUCAUCACCCAUGGAUGCAUUAUUCUAACUAAAUCCACUUCUCCUUCUUUCAUCCUCUUUCCAUUUUGCAUUAGAAUUAAUCCAAUUAACACCACAUAUUGCUUCUCCGUUACCCCACAUUGGUAUAUAUGCAAUGAACUUUUUGGUUUUAGCUCCAAUGUUUUAGCUACAAUUAGGGCCAACUUUAUAUUAUUAUGUACCUCAAAAUUAAGCAUUGAAUAAUGCACCCUACUCAUCUCCAUUUGGUUCAAAUGGCUUGUUGUUGUUCAAAUUCAUAGUCUCUUCAAUAUCUUGUAGUUUUCAUGAAUUCCAUUUGGAAGACCAAACUACACAUGUAUUUUACAAAUAGUAAGCCUGAAUUUACAACCAACGAUCUAACAACUACACAAAGAUUUAUAAUUUCAAUAAAAUCACACAAUAUUUAUGCCACCUAAUUCAAUAUUUUGAGCACCAGGGAGUGAGAAUUAAUGGUAUUAGAAUAUUUAGGUAUCUUGCAGUAUGGUUACAAGUUAGUUAAAUAAUUGUUAGCUUGUUAAAUAAUCGUUAGUUGCUUUUUCUAUUUUUUUUUUUUUUGUUUGCAACUGGUAAACUAGUAGGUUGUGAUAGCUUUUUUACCAAUCUUUAUUAUAAAGGCUUUCUUUGUAUUACUAAAACAUCAAGUGAGAAUAUUCUAAAAUUAUCAGAGAACUCAUUUUCUCUUCUUUCCUUUCUCUAGUCAAUUUUCUAAUAUGGUAUUAGAGUCAUUUCUUUUGUCUCUGUGACUUCUCUAACUUUCCCCUCCCAUUUAUCUAAUGGCUUGCGGUGGUGGCAAUGUUAAUGCCAAUCGAGCAGUAGUUAGUACUCCUAAUUCCUCUAUAAUGGAAUAUUCGAGCAGUCCAUUUUUCAUCCAUAGUAAAUAUCACCAAGGCUUGGUUCUUGUCUCAUAUCAACUUACUGGAGCUAACUAUAAUUCCUAGAGUAGAUCUAAGCACAUGGCUCUUAUAGCUAAGAACAAGAUCAGCUUGGUUGAUGACGCUUUUCUUCAACCUCCAACAGACAAUCUCAUUUCCUUUGUUUGAAUCCAUUGUGAUAGUAUGGUUACAUUUUAGAUCUUGAACUCUAUUUUUAAAGAUAUUGUUGAUAGUCUUCUCUAUGCUAAUAGCACUUUUAAUGCUUGGGUUGAUCUUUAUGAUUGAUUCCACCAAAGCAAUGUCCCACAAAUCUUCUAAAUCAAGAAGCACGUAGUUGUUCUUGAGCAAAGAUCUAUGGAUGUCAACACAUACUACACUAAGCUCAAGGUCCUCUAGGAUGAGCUCAAAAAUUAUCAACCCAUUCUUGUCUAUCACUAUGGAGGCACAAAGUCUUGGUUAGACACCAACAAUAGGAGUACAUCAUGCAAUUUCUUAUGGGUUUGAUUGAGUCAAAUGCUCAAACUUGAACACAGAUCUUAAUGAUGUCUUUGCAUUAGUUGUUCAAGAAGAAUGCCAAUGUACUAUCAAUUAAGGCUUUUUUUUACUUACCGAUUCUCUUAUUCCCAACAUUUCAAAUUCCUUUACUUUUGUUGCAACAACAAAUUUUUCUCGAAAUUCAACUUUAAAACCUAAGCGUGAGUGACCCUAAUGUUCCCAUUGUGGCUUGCAAGGACAUAUUGUAAAUAAAUGCUAUUAGUUACAUGGCUAUCAUCCUGGCUAUAAGUCAAAAUCAAAGAAACCUGAAGUAAAAAAUUCAAGCCACCUAGGCCAAUGCAACUAUUAAUGAGACUAUUAACUUUGAUUCAUCCCUUGGAUCUCUUACUUUAGCUCAGUGUCAUCAAUUGCUUGCAUUCUUGAGCUCUCAACUUCAUACCAACUUUCUUAUUAUGCUAGAAUCUCAAUAGCUAGAACCCUUUGUUUCCCAGUUCAAUGGUAUACUAUCUUUUUCUUCUAUAUCAUAAUUUUCCAAUUUCUUUUUCCAUCUGGAUUUUGGACAUAGAAGUCGCACAUCAUGUUUGUUGUUACUUAAGCACAUUUACACAAUCUACUCCAGCACAAAAUUCUUUUGUAACUUUGCCUAAUAGUCAAUCUGUUGUUAUUAAUCGUAUUGGUUAUGUAUUUUUGUCUCCUGAUCUCAUCCUUAAUAAUGUCAUGUUUGUUCCUAAUUUCCAUUUCAAUCUUCUCUCUAUUAGUUCUCUCACUCAGAGUUAUAAAUCUUCUAUUAAUUUUAUGGUUGAUUCUUGUACUAAAGGCCAUACAUGGACCAAAACGAUUGGGAUGAGUAGAAGACAUGGCAGCCUAUACUUCUUAAAUAUAGUCAAUUUUCAUGCCACUACACCACAAAUUUUCAGUCCUUGUAAUAAUGUUUCUUUGUCUCAAAAUGAAAUUUGGCUUUACUGUUUAGGUCACCUUUCUUAUGUAACGUUACAAACACUCAAAGAUGAAAUAGAAGUUAAACCAAAUUUUGGUGAUUCAAGUCAUUGUUUAGUUUUGCAUUUAGUCAAACAAUGCAAAUUACAUUUAUUUCUCACAAUUAUUUGUCUGUUUUGCCUUUUCAACUCAUACAUUGUGAUGUUUAGGGUCUCCUUCACACAUUUACCAUUGAAGGUUAUAGAUAUUUUUUACUAUUGUUAAUGAUUGUACUCAUUUUAUUUGGGUGUAUCUUUUGCGUGCUAAGCCUGAUGUUACCGAAGUUAUUCCUAAUUUUUUUUUUCUCAUUGAUUCAAACUCAGUUUAGAACACAAAUAAAAUUAGUUCACUCAGAUAAUGCUCCUGAAUUGGCAUUUUUUUUACUUCUUUCAUUCAAAAUGAGUCAUCUCAUUUCAUUCUUGUGUUGAUUAGCCUCAACGGAAUUCAAUAGCAGAAAGAAAGCAUCAACAUAUCUUAAAUGUUGUAUGGUAUUUAUGUUUCCAAUCGCAUAUUCCAUUGGUUUAUUAGGGGGAUUGCAUUCUUAUUAUUGUACACUUAAUAAAUAAAACUCCAUUCCCACUUUUGUCCAACAAAACAACAUUUGAACUUCUUUGGAAAAAGAAGCUUGCAUAUUCACAUCUUCGUAAUUUUGGUUGCCUAUGUUAUGCAUCUACUUUAGAUCGUCAUAGGACAAAUUUCUCACCUCAUGUCAUUCCUUUUGUCUUUCUUAGGUACCCACCUGGUUAUAAAGAAUACAAAUUAUUGAAUCUAGUCACUAAUUCUGUGUUUAUCUCCCAUAAUGUGGUAUUUCAUGAGUCUAUAUUUUCUUUCAAAACUACUCAAACUUAUUCUCCUCUUCCAGAUAUUUUCUCCGGCUAUUGGGUGCAAAUAGGUGUACAAAAAUAAGUAUAGAGUUGAUGGAACUAUUGAACAAUACAAAGCUCACCUUGUAGCUAAAGGCUGCACACAACAAGAGGGCAUAGACUAUCUAGGUACCUUCUCUCAUGUUGUCAAAUUGGUUACUGUUAAGGUUUUGCUUGCUUUGGCUACCAUUAAUGGUUGGAGUCUUCCUUAGUUGGAUGUCAAUAAUGCGUUCUUACAUGGUGAUCUUUUUAAGGAAGUUUAUAUGACUAUGCCUCCUAGUUAUCACUUAAAGGAAAAUCAUUAUCCUCACACUCUGUUUACAAAAUUCAGAAGUCCUUGUAUGGCUUGAAACAAGCAUCACGACAAUGGUUUUCCAAACUCUCCAAUUUCUUACUUGUUAAAGGUUUUUAAACAUUCUAAUGCAAAUCACUCUCUUUUUGUCAAAGUUGUUAGUACUUACUUCAUUGCUCUAUUAGUUUAUGUGGAUGACAUUGUCAUUGUUAGUAAUAGUGAUGAGCAAGUUGAGAAAUUAAAAGUUCUAUUUAGGAAAGCUUAAAUACUUCUAGGGCCUUGAGGUGGUGAGGUUUAAUAAGGGAAUUUCCCUUAGUUAGCACCAUUAUGCCUUACAAUUACUAUCAGAUGUAGGCUAUGUUGGUUGUAAAACAAGGAAAACACUUAUAAAUCCAUAGAAGAUCUUUUAUUUUACGGAAGAAUGAUAGGCAAAUUGGUUUAUCUAACCAUAGCAAACCCAGAUUUAUCAUUUUCAGUACAUAAAUUCAAUCAAUUUCUUGCAAAGCCUAGAGUUCUUCAUAUGUGGGCAAUACAACAUGUGCUUCAGUACUUGAAAGCAUGGUUUGAAAUAUUGGUAAACACGGAUAUAUCGAUACUUGGAUUUUAUGGAUAUAUUGGAAAUAUUGGUAAAAUAUCGGUAAAUAUUAAUAAAAUAUCGGUAAAUAUUGGUAAAAUAUCGGUGGAUAUUUUGACAAAAAUAUUAGUGAAACAAAAAUUAUUCAAAAUUCAUGGAAAUGUUUGGAAAACUCUAAAAAAAAAAUGAUAAAAUAAGCAAGAAUACAUAUGUUAAAGUUAUUGUAAGUGGAAUUGACAUAAGUAUGGUCAAUGAGAAAAAUAUUGAGGGAUAUAUCAGUCUUAAUAAUUUAUUAUUUAUCUUAUCAAAUUAAUUUUAUUUUAUAAAAUAUUAGAAGUUCAUUAUUUUUUUAUUUUAGUAAUUUUUUGAAUAAAUUUAUAUUUUUAAUAUUUUUAAAAUAAAAAAAUUCAAAAUCAAUAAAAUUAAAAGGAUAAACAUAAAAAAAAAAAAAAGUGAAAUGAUAGUAAUUUCUAAAAAUAAGAUUAAUGAGAUAAAUGAUGAUACAUUUAAUAUUAAAACUAUAAUUUAUUUAAUUCAAAUACAUUCAACAAUGUAAAAUAAAUUAUGAUGCAUAUAUAAUUUUUUUUAUAUUUAUAUUUAUUUUUAUAUAAUUGUCAUAUAAAUGAUAUAAAAUAAAAUAAAAUAAAAGACUUAUUAAGAAAAUUAUAAUGAUGGUUUUAUACUUUUAUCAAUUAAUUAAAUUAAAUAAUUAGAAUUAAUUUAUUUAUUCUUUUAAUGAUGAAUUUUAACAUAUUUAUUGUGAACAUAUAUUUACAUAUGUGGACUUGGCCCAAUAGUAGCCAGGCUUCACCCAAGCCUUUUGGCCUGGGUUUGAAUCCCCUUGGAUGCAAUAGAAAAAAAUUUGAAGGAAUUUACACGAAUAUCGGCAUCUUUUCGAUAAAGUCGAUUGACUUUCAGUGUGCAAUAUCAUGUCAACUCUCCUUGAUAUUUUGACGAUUGACUUUCAGUGUGGAAUAUCUUGUUAGCUCUCCCUAAUAAGCAAAAUAUCGACAAUAUUUCACCAAAAUUUUGCAACAUUUCAAUGUGGAAUAUCAUGUUGACUCUCCCCAAUAUUUCAACAAUUGACUUUCAGUGUGAAAUAUUGUGUUAGCUCUCCCUGAUAAGCAAAAUAUCGACAAUAUUUCACCAAAAUUUUACAACAUUUCAAACCGUGCUUGAAAGUUAUGCAGGACAAGGUUUAUUUUAUUUUAUUUAUUUAUUUUUUUCAUUAAUAGAGUUGAAAGGGUUUGUUGAUUCAAAUUGGGCAACUUGUGUGGUCUGUUAGUGGGUUUUGCUUUUUUUUUUUUUUUUUUUUUAAUUAUUGGUGAUUCCUUAAUUUCCCAGAAAUAAAAAGGCAGCAUAUAGUUUCAAGAUCUUUUGUUGAAGUUGAGGACAGAUUUAUGGCAAAUGCAACAUGUGAAUUGAUGUGAUUACUUUCUUUAUUUAGAGAUUUGCAUGUAUCUCAUCCUAAGCCUGCCUUGCUAUUUUGCAACAAUCAAGCAACUCUUUAUAUUGUAGCUAAUCCAAUUUUUCACAAGCACACUAAGCACAUUGAGAUCGAUUAUCACUUGGUUAGAAAGAAACUGUAAAAUGGAAGCUUGAAGACACUACAUAUUUCAUUUAAACAUCAAGUGGGGGACUUGUUGACCAAACCUUUUUCUUCACCUCAAUUUCAUUUUCUUCUUAGUAAAAUGGGAAUUCACAACAUUCAUUCUCCAUUUUGAGGGGGAGUAUUAGAAUAUUUGGGUAUCUUGCAGUAUGGUUACAAGUUAAGUAAAUAAUUGUUAGUUUGCUAAAUAAUUGUUAGCUUCUUUUUCUAUUUUUUUUUUGUUUGCAACUAGAUGUGUCUAUUCAAUAACUUCAUAUGGUUAUAGUUAAUUAAGAAUCCUUUACGUAAUAACUAUUAAAAUAAUUUGUUUCCAACUUUCCUAUUAAAUUUUCUUCUGCUUAGUAUUUCAAAAAUUAUAGUUCAAGAAAGCUCUUUCGAUUUCUAUGUUGCACUGUAUCUUCUUAUAUGUUAGUACAAAUCAUACUCCUCUUUUUACCUCUUCAAUGAAUCCUUUUAGGAGUAAGACCACCAAGUGAGCACCCUUAUAUCGAUCCACAAGCUUUUUAUUACAUAUUUUUGGUUUGUGCACACCACCUCAAAUUUAAGUGGCCCAUAAAUUUUAUACUUUGGAUACCUUACCAUCCAAUCAUAAGCAUAAACUAAAUUUGAAAGGAUAAGUUUAGUUUAUUUUAGAGAAACUGAGCUCCAAGUCCCCUAGCCAAACAUGAAGUUUUGAAGCAUGAAAUUUUUGUGAUGGAACAUAUUUGCAAUCCUUAUUAAAUUGACCAAUUGUGUUAUGCUAAGAAUGCAAAUUAUGCAUGGCAAAGUGGUUAGAAAGUGUACAAAUGCACCAUCUUUUUACUUGUUUUUUUACUCAAAUUUCUCUGUCAAUUUUUUUUUCAUUCUUAUCCUUCUUAAUUGAGGCAAACAUGUUUUGGCUAGUGCUUUCAAAUGCCUUAAAUAUAUUCUUUUCAAUAUUGUAAACAUUUGGCUUGGUCAUUGUUAUAGUUAUCAAUUGUGUCAACUUUUACUUUCUCUCAUCCCCAAUUACAUAUGCACUUUGUAGUUUUAAAUUUUUUUUAGUGAUUAAUCUUAGUUUUUAUCUAAUUGUUUGCCCUAUAGUCUCUGACAUAACUAUAAGUGGAACAUGCACCUCUCACAAACCAAAAGACAUCACUUGUCUUCUUUAAUUUAAACAUUUUUGCAUCUGUGUAAGAUUUGAAACUAGAAUUUCACAAUAUCUCAUAGUCAUCUUCUCUAGUUGUUUCUCAAAGCUCUCUUCAAGAUUUAGUUCAUGUUCAAUUACCAACUUUGAGUUUUCAAUUUUAUUUUAUUUUUUCCUACAAGUCAUGAGGAAAUGAAUUUCAACUGUGUUUCAUCUAUCCAUCUCUCUUAAAUUGUUUUAUUCAAUAGUUACCAAUUGUAGAAUUGUUUUUAUAUAUUCUUUUCAUAGAUAUUGUUAAUAAAUUAUGCUAAAUGAGUAGCUUCCUGAUGUGGUGAGAGCUAAUUUUAUUAUUGCUAGGAUAAUAUAUUUUUAACUUUCUUGACUUUUUCCGAAUUAUAAACCACUCAUGCUUUGACCAAUCUCCAUGUGUUUUUCAUUUGUUUGGAUUUAUGGGCUUUUGAUUCUAUUUAGUGAAUAGAUAAUAAGGAAUUAAGGAUCUGAGAUUGACAUUAUUUUAAGGAUGUUUGAAGAUGGCAUAGUGAAGUAUAGAAUAUUGUUUUGGGUUGUAUCUCCUCGUUUCUCAUACUUAUGGUGGACAUUGAUGAGUUGGAUUAUUUGAAUGAAAUGAGCUUUGGAAAAAUACUAGUAAUUACAUGAAUUGUUGCAAUAUAUUUGAGUGAAAAUAUUAUGUUAGUGUCUCUCCAUGUCACUAAUUCAAACCUGUGACUUUCCAUUGUAAGUGGUAGAAAUAUAUCUUUUAUUUUCUAGAAAACAUUACUCUAACUUGUGAAAAAGGUUCUUAUGCCUCCAUGUUAAAUGUUAUAUGAUGGAAAAAACCUGAAUCUCUCUGUUUCCUCAAUCUGGAUCAAGUUAGGAAUAUGCAUAACUAUCCUAGGCUUUUUCUAAAUUCUAUGCACAACAAAAAAUUAAUUUUUUUUUAUACUUUAUAAGGAUCUAGAAAGUGCUAACGAAAACUAUACCUCAAAUUCGAAUGUUCCCGAGUCUUUCGCCCGAUGACUCAAACCUUGAUCUUGGCACACUUCUAAUGGGGAGGAAAUAAGGGUGGAGGCUAUAGUUCUCUAUCUCUCUGGAUGGUGGAAGAUAAAAUCCAUGGAAACCCUAACCUCUAGGGGGUAUUUAUAGGGUUCCUAAGUUGGCUUAAGUGACUUGAGCCCAUACAGACUUAGGUCACUUAAUCUAACCAAAAAUGAGUUCUAAUUAAUUAAUUAACCCAAUAAGGCCUACUAAUUAAUCAAUUAGCCCAAUCAAGAGACCUUGUUCACUUACCCCUAUACAACCUUGCGUAAUUAUCAAAAUGCCCUUAUACACAAAAGUGAACUUAGAGUCAAUUCAACCCUCAUAACCCAUGCUAACAAGGUGUAUGAGUUCAAAGCGGGGACCAUUGGGACCCAUAGAAAUACUGACUCCCUCAAAAUCCAAUUCUAAAGUUGAUUCAAUAUCACACUACAGAGAAUCAACUAAACUUCAAUAUCCUAUGUAAAUAACAACGAGACACUAAGUGAUCGGGUCUAUGACUUGCUAUCCAUUGUGUUCAGUCUCCCCAUGAACUAAUGUCUGUCGUUUAAUAAGGUGAAAGCUAUUAGUCUUUCAAGACUACCUCUACCUCCUAUUUUGUGUUCAAUUGACAUAUCUUAGUUCUCAAAUUGCCUAUGUCAAGUUCCAUUUAAUGAACUACAUGACCAUAGUUUCCAUGAAUAUACCUCCUUAAGAUCACCCAAGGGGACACACUGUCUCAAUCCCAAGAGAUAUCAUAGUGCCUCUAUUGAAAAUACCUAUUACUACCAGCUUCUACCAAUAAUGAUCUAAUCCAUAUGGAAUAUAUGAUCAACUUCCGAUUUCACCCGUAGGUCAAAGUCAUUGCCAACUUUAGCACAAGCUCAAUAUUCUCUCAAGGUUGAGAGACAACACAAUGAAACAGCUUGGUGAGGUCAUGACUCAAUAAUAGCCUUAAGUCAUGACUCACCAUAGGUCUUGUCCAAUGUGUAACCAUACACACUAGUGCACUCACCAUAGGAAACCCAUCCCGAUAACCAAGACCAGUGAUCCCUCCAAUUAGGAGGUGGUGCACUACAACCUUUAAUGGGUUGCCUAGACCCAUGAACCAGUUGUGAACAAGUCAUCUAUUUGCAAAGAACCCAUGACUUAGAUCUCCUGUGCAACUCCUAAUGCACCUAAGUCACGUACAAUAGAAAAAAUGCAGACAAAAAGGCUCAUAAAGUAUAAUAUAUGGAAUAAGAAUAUAUAAAAGUGAAACUGGAACAUCAUUAAAUAAAUAAUGAAUUCUAAGUUUAUUACAUCAUGUCAUGCUUUUAAGGGCUUUAUCCUAACAUUAUGUAUUUGAGAUAAACAUGAUAUAAUGAGAUUUAUAUUUCUCUGUUAUAAUAUUUCAAUAAGUAAUUGUGUUUUAAUUUUAAUAAACUAUGCUUGCAUGAAACAAUUCAAGUAUCAUUGGCAUCAUUGUGAGACAAAAGUUUCUCUUAUUACAUAUUAAAGAGAUUUAAGUUAUCAAAAAGUGAAAACGGUUUUAUCUAGGCUAGUUUCAAGUUGACAACUUUUAAAUUGUUUAUCAUGUGAUAAAGAACUUUUCCCCACAAAUGAUACUUGAAUUGUCUAAUUAAACAGUGUAGGAAAACAUAAUAUCUAUGAAGUUAAUUGUUUGUUCUUAAUUCAAUUUUUAUAAAUUUUGGUAGUCUUUUCUCUUAUUCUCUGGGUGCAUAUUUGGAUAAAGUUGCAUAGUAUGUCUUGUCCAUUUUACAUACUUAGAGAACUAUAGGGAAAUUCUACUAAAAUUUCUUUAAAAUGAAAUUGACCACAUUGGUCAUUGACACAUAGAGAUUAUGUAUUUCUAUAUGGGAUAGGAACUACUACUGAAUUUAGGAUGUUGGAGAUGUUAGAAUGCAUAAAACAUGCAUCGAAAUUUGACAUACUCAAAUGAUUUUCUUGUGUUGCUUAAGGAGUUUAUUGAGAAAAUUGGUAUAGACAAUGUUUGAUGCAAAGGUCAUGGACAAACCCAAUAUAAUAAUAUUAAUAUGAACUAGUUUUAUUGAGGUUAUACAUCCCUUUUAAUGCAAGUAUUCAUGGUCAACAACAUUUAUAACUUAUUAGUCACUACUACAAAUAAGAUAUACCAUGACCUUGUUUUUUCCCUGGCACUUUUAAAAAUGUUAAUAAUUAGCGUGAUAUUUGAAAAGUGUAGAUCUAUCUUCAUAGAUCAAAAUGGUUAGAACAAUGCUUACUCUUUUUCUUUUAAAUUUGGCAUCUUAACAAAUGUUAAACUACAUUUUCUUGAUUAUUAUUUGAACAAAAAAAAAAAAAGAGGUUGUUAAACGAAUAGCAUAGAAAAUGUUGUUAUUUUCUUCAAUUUGAAGUUUGAUCACUAUUGAAAGUUUGUUCUUAAAAAAUGGAUCGUUUGUGGAUUUCAAAUGAUAGAGGAUUAAAGGAGUAUGAGGAUGGGGUAGAACAUUUUUAUCACAUUUGCAAUAUAAAAUUCUGCAUAUAAAAACUCCAUUAAGUGUCCAUGCUUGUAGAGUGGUAAUAUGAUAUUUCAUACUCCUCAAAGAUUUCCUCAAAAGAUUAGAGAGCAUAUGUUUUUCUAUAGAAUUAAUUAGAAUUACCAUAUAUGGUAUUGGCAUGGGGAAGCAACUCCAAGUGAACCGCCAACUAGAAGGGUAGAACAUUAUAAUAUGGUUCAAUUUAAUGAUGUAGAUAGUACAAUAGAAAUGGUUGAAGUUGUACAAGUUGAAUGUCAAAAUGACCUAAAAUUGCUUAAAAGAUUACUUCAAAUUGUUGAAAAACCUUUUUAUAUCAUAGUUGUAGAAAAUUCACACAAUUGUUUGCAUUGGUUAAAUUAUACAACUUGAAAACACACUAUGAGUAGUCUGCUAAAAGUUUUUCAGAGCUUUUAAAAAUGCGUAGAUAUAUGCUGCCUCUAAAUAAUGAGUUACCCUUAUCUAUGUAUGAGGCAAAAAUGGCAUUGAAUACAUUAGGAAUGGAAUAUGAAAAAAUACACACAUGCCCCAUGAUUGUAUACUUUAUAAGAAUAAGUUGAAAGAUGCAUUUCAUGUCCUAUCUAUGGAACUUCAAGGUGAAAGGUAGAUAAUAUAGGAACUAAAAAAAUGACGAGAGCUCCUGGGAAAGUAAUGUGGUAUUUUCUUCCAAUUCCAAGAUUUAUAAGAAGGUUUCAAUCAUCAAAAAUCGUAAAAGACCUCUUAUGGCAUACCUAAGGAAGAGAUUUAGAUGACAAAAUGUGUCAUCCGGCUGACUCUCUAUCAUGGCUAAUUGACCAUAAAUGGCCCAACUUUGUUUCAAAACCUAGAAACUUGAGACUUCCCAUUUUAGCAAAUGGUAUAAAUCCUCACAAUUCAUUGAUUAGCAAAUAUAGUUGUUUGUCCUAAAGAGCUUGAAGCAGUAACUAUGGACAAUGUUUUUUUUUUAUCAUAAAGAGCAAGUUAUGGGCUACACUAUGGCUGCAGAUAGAGGUAAAACCUUUAACUUGUUUUUAGUUUGAUUUUUGUUUUCUUUCAUAAUGGAAAUAGAAAAUCAUCUAAACGAAUAGGACCUUAAUAAUUUAUUUUUUAUUCUACAAUUUAUUUUUGAAUAAAAUAAUUUAAAAGAUUUCAUUCUUAUAUUUGUUAGACUUUUUUUUUAAUGAAGAAAAAAAUAGUCUCCCUUUUAGCAUAUAUAUUAUAUAUGAUUAACAAUGGGUAUAAUAAAAUUUAUUUAAUAAAUAAUUGAUGUGACAUUCUAAAUUGAAAGUCAUAAAUUAGCUCAUUUGUUUGAUGUUGUCCCUAAAACUACAAGACCUGAUUACAUACUUAGAUUUUGUUCUUGAAAUUUAAGAGAUAAUUGAUGUGACAUCUUGAAUUGAAAGUCAUAAAUUAGCUUAUUAGUUUGAUGUUGGCACUAAAACUACAAUUCCCAAUGACAUAAAUUUUGUUCUUGAGAAAUGUCAUUAUGGUUCAUAGUAAGGCUUAGUUUGGUGUGUCAGACCAUGCAUGCAUGAUAUCUUUUCACAUUCUCUUGCUUUUUGACAAACAUGCUACCAUACUCAAGGUGUUUGUCAAGGCUCAUCUUGGACUACUCAAAACUUUAGGGUCCUUUCUUUGAGUUCACAAGCUUCUUUCCCCUAGUGUUAACCCCAACUCCCAAAAUCCACUCCUUAUUAGUGCACUGACGAAAUCUACAAAUGCACCAUAAAGUGAGAAUGACAUCAUGAAAAUGUAUUAAUGCAUCUUAGAUAUGGGAACUUAAAAAAAAAAAAAAAAUCUAGAGUUUAGACUUGUUUCUGUUAAUUAGAAAUUACUAAGCAAUGAAUCUUGCUAGUGUGGAAAGCACCAAUAGAUUGACCAAGGAAGGUAUAUAUAAAAAAGAUUGACAUUGUCAAUUGGGAAAAUUCCUCUGCAAACGCCAAUCCUAUCUUUCUAACCAUCAUGGAUGUUGAGAAGUAGAUAUCGAUGACUAUGAUGAGGAUCACAAAGGAUUAUCAUACCAAGGAGUUAGACAUUUGUUGGGUUAUCAACAAUUUUAAUGAAGGUGGUAUUAACUAUUUGGUUGUUGAUAGUGUAUUGCGUAGUUCAACCAAGCCAAUCUGCUCCUACAUUGAGAUCAAUCUCGAUGAAAAGGUAGCAUAUAUUUUUCAUUUCCUAAUUAUAUCAACUGCUUCAUGGUGCCUUUGUCUGAUAAGCUUAACAGGUUCUUCUACAUUUCCACCCUCUAAUUCUCUAAAGUUCAUCAUGAUAGGGUUGAAAUUUCAUCAUCAAAUCAAAACACAUCCUCCUAUAAGAGGCCUUUGAAUUCUGAAAUAAUCAAUUCACUUGAUUCUCAUAUUGGCAAAGACAAGCUUACACUAUUGGAAAGACUACCCAUCACCUUUGCCUUCCCAAAUAGAAAAGAUGAGAGAUAACAUUUCACAAAAUCACAAGAAUUAUUCAAGUUUGGAAUUCAUAGGCAUUGUUAUUGAAUUUCAUUUGUAUAAAAUUGGUGUGUUGUGUUUAUUUUGUUGGUAUUAAAAUUGAAUUUUUUUAAUUGCAAAUUGAUGAUUUUUUUUUCUCACAUUUAUACCCAUUAGAGUUUCUUAUUAGGGUUUGUGUUUGAAAUUUGGAGAAAGUAUGGUGCAAUUGUUCACCAGUGUGGUGUACCAUUUUGUUUGUUGUAUCUGAUCUUUGGGUAUUUGAUUUAAUUUUAUUGUUGUUGAAAUUGAAAGUUGAAAUCCAAGUUAAAUGUUUAACUAGAUAUUUGUAGUUGACUUGUUUGCACCGAUCUUGAUUGCCCAUUUCAUGGGAAUAAUUCAUUCCAAUUUUCCUUCAUGAUUACUAAAAAUAUAUUGUAGGUGAAGGACUAUUAUGGAGUAUAUUUAAUUCACAAGAUUGAAUAUUGAACAAAGAUAUGCCUUAGGUCUAGCUUAUAUGGAAUAGCAUAUCUUACAUUUAGUUAAUUAAAUAUACUAUACAAAUUUUGGUUAUAUAUAAUAUCUAUGUUACAAAUUUGGAUAAUUCGAAGUCUAAGUGACUUCAUAUAAUUAUUGUUACAUCUUAAAAAUGAUUUCACAAAUUAGAAUUACAAUGACUCCUACAUAUCUUAGAUUCUAACUCAAAUUCUCACUUGAUUUUAUUUUAUUUUUAUUUUUUUGUUUUCAAUCAAUUAAUAAUAUGUUAUGGGCUAGUUUAGCUUAUAGUUGAGAUGAAUUUUAUCUAAGAGCACCUCAAUUUGAACCAAAUUGAAGAAAAAAAUGACUUAUUAUACCUUAUGAAAGAUAAUAUUAUUAAUUUCCAUGUUUUUUUUUCAAAUAACCUUUUCAUGACAUGAACUUAUAUGGAACAUUGUUGUAUUAAUUGAUUAGGAAAUCACUAAGCCUAAGAAAGUGAGAAAAUUUAAAAGGGAAGGAAUGUCACCAUUGCAUUUUAGCACAAAGGAAGAUGAUCUCUAGCUAUGACGAAAAUUCAAGAAAUGAACAAGUUCCAUUAAAGAUGAAGGCACAAUUGGGUGACAUUUAAAAAAAAUGUCAAAGGAAGUUAUUGUUUUAGCUACGGAUAUGUUCUUUUUUUUUUUUUUUUUUAGACUUCUUGUGUUACUCAUAUAUGUAAUAUGCAAUGUGAUUUCUCUUUUAUAUUAUAAAUUUAUUACUCUUAGCACUUCAUUUAUGGGAUAGAUGAAUAAUAAUUACUUUAAUUUUAUUUAAUUGUUGGAUAGUUGUUGGAUGGAUAAAUAAUUGUCAUUUCUUUAUAUUUGAGUUAUUUCAAUAUCAAAUGCCAAUUAAAAUAAAAGAGCAAUAGGUGAAGCUAAUUUUAGAUUGUCACAAUCCUUGGCACUUCCACUAAGUGUCAAGGUUUAGAGCAAUCAACAAUGGAAAAGGUGAACGAUGAUGCUUCCAAAAAGCGUCAAGGUUAUUUCAUCUUCAACAAUACCAGUUUUUGUAAGUGUCAUUAUUUACAAAAUCAACAAUAACAUUGGCAAAUUGGUACGCCUCAAUGCUUCUAAAAAACAUCAUUAUUUGUUCCAUAUUUACAAUGACGCUUUUAAAAGUGUCAACAUCGCUAAACACUCUUUACAAUGACACUCGAUUUCAUGGUGCUUUUAAGAAGUGUAAUUGUUUGUAAAAACUUAUUAUGACAAGCUAAGAGAUGACACUGCGGAGAAGUGUCAUUGUUUGUCUUUCUUGACAUUGUUUGUCUUUCUUAACAGGUAAAAAGUGUCAUUAUUGAUCGAUUUUUCUUAUAAUGAAUCCAAUUGGUUGUGAUUGAGUUAAUGAAAUGAUCACCAACUUUUUUGCAACCAUACAACACUACAUAACCUUAAUACCUAUUGUUCAUUAUGAUGUUGUAAGAACAUAUGCCUUUAUGUGACCUAUUAAAUAAACUGGUCUUAUCAACUGAAAAAUGUUCCUCUAGUUAGUAAAAACUUCAUUCAUGUGGUCAUUUAUUAGCAUCAUAAUAAUCCAUAUUACAAAUAUUUAAAAACAUUAAUGCACUAAAACAUUGAUUUCAUCAACAAAAAUACACUCAUUCUUUUAACUUAUAGCAUUCAAAGAUGUUUAAAAAUAUAUAUGUACAAUAAAACAUCAUCAAAUUUAUUAACAAUUAAACUUUUAACCCCAAAACAAUCCGUUACUUUAGUAGAUAAGACACUAUUUGGAAUAACAUUAUUUUUAGCUCAAGUUAGAAGUUAAAAUGAUAAGGUUAAAAGAACAAAACCAACAAAAAAAAAAGUUAUUUUUUGUCAAACUUGACACUAGUUCAAGUUAGAUAAUGUAGCUCAAUGCCCUAUUGAAUUGAGUCAUAUAACUAAACUCCCUAAUUAUUUAUUAUGAUACACACACAACCUUUGGUUUAGUAUACAUGAUUAAAUUAAAUGCCCAACCUAGUUUGCAAAGCUAAAUUGGAAUCCCAAAUCUAGUUCAUCAUAAAUACUCUUCAACUGACUUGCUAUGGCAUUCAAAUAAGACAAUGACAAUGAUAGAAAACCAAAAAAAAUACCUAAUAUAUAAUUGAAAACUCCUUCCUAAAGGAGGUAAAAAAAAAUCAUGAAGUAACUUUCUUCUAUUAAUAAAAAAUGGGAAUACAAUGAUCUAUAUAGUGUUUUAACUCGAAACUUAUGGUACUACAAAUAUUAAAGAAGAAAUUUAAAACACACACACACACAACAAGCAUGUUGUCAAGCUUAUAAAAGUUGGAGAAAUCUCUGCAUACAAGUGUUCAAAACAUGAUGGAGAGUAACCUUGAUAUUUAAGUCAACAAUAUACAAGGAAAGACAACCCAAAAAGGUACAACUUUGAGAACAAACUCUCCUUUUUGCUUUUUCACAUAACCCCUUCUUUUUUUCUUUUUGAAAACUUCUCUCAUUUCCUCUAAUUGUUACACUAUACAACAAUCCUAAAAAAAUAGAGUUUAAAGGUCUGUUUGAUAAUCGUUUUUAAAAAUAAUUCUGAAAAAUAGUUUUUGAAAAUUAUUCUCUAAUGUUUAAUUUGUAGAACAAAAGUUUGUUUGGAAACCUAAAAUAUUUUUAACAUGUUUUUAAUGUUGUUAAAUAUGUUUUAAAAAUAAUUUUAUGUCUAGUAUUUUAUUUUUAAUCAUUCUACAUGUUUAUAUAAUUAUUUUUUAAAACAACUCUAAAAAAAUAAGUGAAAAUAACAUAAAACAAUUAAAAGAUGUUAUCUGAAAACACCUUAUUUUAUUAUAACAAAAAAUAAAAAGCGGUUUUUGGUUGUCAAACAUGUUUUCUUAGUUUUUUAUUCUGAAGAAUAGAAAAUUGUUCUUGAAAAUAGUUGUAAAACAAGAAUCUUUUCAUAUUAGUCUAGGUAUCACAUUAGUUAUUGCCCAUUUUAUGAUUUUAAUUAUUGCUUAAAAACUAGUCUUUCAACUAAAAAAGAAGGUCCACUACUUAUGGGUCAAACCUUCAACUUUCAAACCCCAACACAAAGUUAUAGUCAAGACUAAUAUUCACAUAUUAGUAUUAAUAUAGUUCAUUAAAUAUGAAUUUCUAUAGAAGGCAAAAUCAAGUUUUUAGGGGAAGUAACAUUCACUUUCAUAUUAAGCACUUUUUAACUCAUAAGUUAGUACUUGUAACAAAAUUUCUUAAUAGAGACUUUAAUUGAGUUUUAAGAAAAAAAAAAUUGUUUGUAAAAAACCAAUUCAAACAAAAUCUAAAACUAAUAUUAUUAUCUAAAAGGCAUAAUGAACAAAAUAAACCAUAAACUAAAGUGGUAGUGACAACCAGUAUGUAGCGUCCAUGAAUAAUUGAAAAUAGCCUCAUUUUCUAAUGACCUCGGACCUAGAAGCUCUAAAAUCCUUGCCUAAUUCUUUGUGAUGACUUUAGUUUAACCUUAAUGGCGAGGGCAAAAUUCUAAAUAAUUUUUGUCACAACUCAUAAAUUUAGAAGAAAAAAAUGAGAAUAAAUGGAAUCCCAAACAAGAAAUUGUUAUUUUUCUCUUUUAUGACAAAAAUCUACUACUAUUAUUUAAUAACGUGGGAAUUGUUCUUUCAACUUUAAUACCAUGUAUGACAUAACUUUAACAACCUUAAUUUAUAAGAUUAUUGAAUUUAAAAGGAUAAAACAAUUACAUAUUCAUAAGAAUCACUUCUAUUUUUUAACAACAAUAAAUUUCAUUUUUUGGACAAAAAUACCCUCCAUUGUUUUUAUCAACAUUUCACAAUCGAACACUUAUUGGAAAAAAAAAAAGGUAUAAGGGUAGCUAUAUUAAAAUGAGGUUAUAAUUAUAAUACUCAAUAAGUGGAGAUUGUUUUUCCAAAUAUUGGGAUCAUCUUAUCCAUUUGACACAAAUAUUUCUAAUUUAUAUUAUAAUUACUCUUAUAGUAAGAGAAAAAGAGUAAUUUCACAUGAAAUGGACCCAUAAACAUAGAUUUAUUAUGAGGCAUGUUACUAUAAUAAUAAUAGGAAAUAAGACGAGACAUGUUACCAUAAUAAUAGAAAAUAAGAUAAGUAAUUCAAUACUUAAUAAAGGUCUAAAACAAUUAUGCUUCUCAUUAAAUGAUAUUAAUGAUGGAAAAAAACUAAGGGGUGGUUAAUAAAACUUAAUAUUUAUUACUUAAGGAUUUAAGUUGACUUUAAAUUAAAUUAUGCUUAAAUUGUUAAUUUAAAACUUAUUAAUUCUUAUUUUAAGUAUUAAGACUAUUUAAUAAAAUUAACUUGAAAUUUAUUAAGACUAUUUAAUAAAAUUAACUUAAAAUUUCUUUUAAAUUGUCAAAUCGAUAUAUUUAUUUUCUUAAAUUAUAAUUAAAGUAAAGGACAUCAAGUAACAAUGGAUGUCAUGGAAUAGUGAAAGAGAUCUUAGAGGUAACGAGACAAAUUAUGGUAAAAAAAUGUUAAAUAAAAAUAUGAACUUAAAAAUAAAUUAAUUAUUUAUAUUUAUUACUUAAAGUUGUUUUUUAUUUUAUAUUAUUAAAUUAUUAAAUUAUUUUACUAAAUGUGUUUAAUUUAUUUAAUGACUUACAUUAAAUUACUUUAGGCUAUUAAAUCGGUUUACAAAUAAUAUCGAGUAGGCCCACAGACUGGAGAAUAUUGCUAUCAUAUGUUUUAUCACUACUUUCAUGUAUUAAGGUGCCAAGAAUAAUUCACCACAAAAUAUAUGAUAAGUUGAUAGUAUAGGAUACAAUCUAAAAAAUGCACUUGAUUUCAUCAUCUAAAUAAAUGCUCUUGGCAAAAUGGAUCAUCCUAGCUGAAACCAGAGCACAAGCCGUCAUGGACAGGAGGCAACGGAGAAACCCUUCUGCUUCUUCUUCUGCCUUUUCAUCUCCAACUUCAUCCUCAUCGCGUUUCCGCUCAGAGAAAUUCUCCUCGAAUCCCCCAAAAACUAGUAACUCCCUGGAGGAUGCUCACCAAUUGAAAAGCAAAUGUGGGAAGCCACAAAGACCAGAGCAAGAGGAGGAAGGAGAGCAAGAUCCGAACAAUCUUCUCUCCUUAGUUGGAACUUGCCCAUUCAUGUGCCCUGGUAAAAAUGCGUGCUUAUUUUUCCAUUUUUUUUAAUUCUAUUUUCCUGUUAUUCUGUGUUUGGUUUCCGAGAAAUUGGAGGAAAACAGUAGAAAAGAGAAGUGAAUCUGGAAUUUCUGUGUCAUUUUUGUUGCUUUUACAUAAAUUUUACAAAUAAAAUUGAUAUUUCCCCCCUUUAUUAGAUACCAAUCUGAAGAAGACGUAGGAAUCCCAAAAAAAAAUUCGCUUUUGCCUUUACUUCCCCCAAAUCUUUCAUAAUGGAAAAUGGACUUACCACCUCUUUUAUCACUUUUCCUUUACCAUGUCAGGUUUACAUGUAAUCAAACACUGUAUUUGGAGUAGAGCAUUUAUUCUAAUGUCAAAUGGUGUUGAAAACUUGAAUUACUGGAUCUUAAGACUCCAGAAGAAAUUUGAUUGUUUAUGAUUAUUGCUCCAUGAGAAGGGAAAGGGAUUUCUUUUGUUUUUGCUCACAUACAUGGCCAAAUUGAUUUAUCUCCUUCUCAUACGAACAAAAUAAGGACAUUUCUUGUCUUGCUGCCUUUUAUGCCACCGGUUCCACAUGCUGAUGUGACAACCCUUGUGCUAUUCUGUACAAAUGGUAGGAAAAUUCUGGUAAGACUGGUGGCCAGCCUAUCAUGUUCAGAGAAUAAAUUCAUUGUAUAUCUGGAAUUCACUCUAUAUCAGCAUAGGGUGUUGAUAUUGAUUAUAAAUGACUAAAUUCAAUUUAUUAUCCUUACAUUAGGGAGUGCUAAAAGGAUGCAAAUUGUUCAUGUUAUACCCAAAGACAUACAAGUGAUGCUAGAGAUUUUCACAAUGUAGAUAAUCAUAGAGUAGAGAUGAACACUAUGGAGUCUUUUGGCAUGUGUUCAUUCCAUGUAUGGGAACAUGCAUUGGAAGAUUAUGUUUCCUCCUCCCUCCCCUCCCCUCCCCAAAGUAAGUACUAUGUUGUCAUGGCAAGAACUUUGGUGACAUGCUUCUGAGUGGAAUAGCCUCCUAGAAGUCCAUUUAUGUGGCAAUUGGCAAGUUCUUCCAGUCAAUGAGAACUUUGUGACUGUCUGAUUGUUGUACUAAUCAUCAUCAGAUUUUUUUUAAGUUCAAGUUGCAAAUAGCCUUUCACAGUUGAAGGUAGCAAUGAAGAGGCCUGUUGACAUAAUUAUUUCUUCUGCUUGAAUGGAUUAAAAUCAGAUACCACACCUUCAGCCUAGAAAACUAUGGACUUUCCUAUGUACCUGCAAUUGGCUGAAUACUGGUGUGACACUGACCAAAGGCUCUCUGAUGCUGUUAUUAAUUUCCCGAGCAAAUAAGAGAAAACAGAGAGGUCAUAAUGUGAAUCAGUUACCUCUUGAGUAGGGAUGAAGGCUUUUUAUACCUUUUUACUUUCUGGUUAGGCCUUGGAAGCACUUCUGUGAACCAUGAUUUUGUACUGUAAAAUUAGAUGGGAUGGAUAGGUCACCUUAACUCUACUUUUGGAAGUGAUUGGGGAGUGCAUGACCGUAUGAAUAUUGAUGUAUUCUCCCCAUACAGAGCCCAACUUCUUUUUGAACUAGGAAGCAUGAAGGGUGGGUGCAUGUGGGCUGAGGAAGGAAGAUUUGACUUGUGUGCUGCAGGCCUGCAGUACCAAUUUGUUCCAGAACUUGAUAAGGCCCAUAAACUGGUAGGCAAGUUUCAUUAUUUGGUCACCACUGAAUUUCGGCAGUAUGGCCACAAGGAAGGUAGGAAGGAGAGGGAGAAGAGAAAGCCCCAAUUGCCAAUUGCAAUCUUCCGGUUGGCACAGUGCUCAUUUGCUGACAUUUCCAUUUGAUUUUAACCUUGAAACAGAUACAGCUUAACGUGAUGGACCAGUUUUUCACAAUCUUGUGAUUCAUUACCCAACUUCUAGUAACAGUUUCUCAGCAGAUGACUCACCCAUGACAGGCUGAUGAUGUCUGCACACAACUUGAAAGGUAUUUAUGCCAAGGUGUGAAAGGUAAUAUUGUGACACCAUUUUUCCUAUUCCAGAAAAUGUACCAAAUGUAUGGCUGGUUCUUGACCAAAAAAUGCUGGCAUUGGUCACCAAGUGCUAGGGUGAUUCUUGACAAAAAAUGUCGUAUUGUUCAGAACAAUGAUUUACAACUUCAGAUUGGCCAUCCAGUUAAUGAUGAUAAGCACUUGUUUUACAAAGUUCAGUGUCAUAAAAGCAAAAUAAUUUUGUCAACAAAUAUGGGGAUAACUUUAUCAUAAUUACUACUUAUGGAAUUUAAGGAUAAGUUGGGUAAUGUGAGAAAGUUUUGGUCAGAGGAUAUGAGGAUAACUUUGUUGCAAUUGCUAAGCUACACGUCCUAGGACUACUAGGAGAAAAGUAUGAGCAACAGAAUGAAUUUACAGUCCAUCCCCACUAGCUGCAUGGAGAGGUUGGGCUUAUUGCUGCUAUGGUGGAGGUCACCUUCUUGUAGACUUUGAAAUGUGCAAAUGAAGAGGCAGAUUUCUUAGAAGAAUGGGUAGGAUUCAGCUUGUGGUAGAUAUUGAGCUUAUCGCCUCUAAUUUCAUGUCUUCUCAAUGUGGAUUUGAGGUUUAACGAGAUUUUUGGGAAAUCAUUAAGAUUAAAAGUAAUCGAAGACUUUCACAUUAAUGAGGUAAUGAAUAACCACUGAUACUUCUUCACCCCAAAGUUCCUUCACAAAAAUUUGGUGAGUGAAGAACUAUUACUGAGUUGUGAAGCACCAAUUCCAGCUUCAUUAUCUUGAUCUUCAGAAAGAGGGAUCCAACUUGAUUUGGGAUUUUAUACCUGUCAACCCAGUCACUGGUUUUUAGGAGAAUACUUCCAAUUUACCCUUGGGUUGCUUUAGAAAGUUUCUUAAUAGUGCCAUCUCUCUAGCUUAAGGGGCUUUUGUUAAUGGAAGGCAAAUUCUAGAUGUGGUUAUCAUUAGUAAUGAAAUCCUAGAUAAAAAAUUCUGUUCUAAGGACGAAGGGAUGGUUUUUAAAAUAGGUUUUGAGGAAGUUUAUGAUCACAUAGAUUGGGGUUUCAUGUAUGAUACAUACUUUGAAUAGGGAAGGCCCUUGAACCUGGAUGGCACAAAGGGACUGGAUAUUUUGAGGUUGUUUUUCAAACUGCAGACUCUUUAAUGGUUAUUGAAGCUGAGUGAUUAGCACUCGAGGAAGAUUCGGACAUGGUUGUUUGCCUGGAUGUAAUGAACCUCCAUAUUGAAGGGGAUUCCUUUGUUAUUGUCUUAGAACCUUCUUUGAAGGCAAAGGUCCUUAGUGGAUUGCUCAUCAGAUGGGGUGGCUUCAUAAUCAUGCUAGAGACAUUGCUUGUUCUUCUCUAUUGAGGCCCAGAUCAGCUAGCCAGGUGCAUGGCUAUAUUUUUCUUAUAGGGAUGCUAAUAUCUGAAAUUUUUUAUUGAGAACACUUACCGCUCUUUGAUUGGUUUGAGGCAUGGAGCGGCUUUUCUGUUCUCUUCUUGCCAUACAUGCAUAUCAUCCCUCUUUUUUUAUCUUGUUUAACUCAAUAAAUUCUCAUUUGUUAUAAGGAAAAAAAGAGAUAUUAUGUUACAUGAUGGAAGGACUUUAUUCUGUUAUGGAGUAUGCAAAACCUAGAUCUAUUAGCUAGAGCUAUACAGUAGGCUGUUGGGUUGUUCAGUAUUGUCUCUUUUUUGGAUAGGUUUGGCCAAUGCCCCUUGAUGUUACUUUUUGGUGAUGUAAUUUUCUUUGAUUUUUCUUGAAAAUUCCUCAUUUUUCAAGCUUGCUUGUAUAUCUUUUCUUCUUCCAUUAAUGAUUGUUUGAUUCCUUACUAAAAUAAAUAACAAAUUAUGAUGGAAAGGAUUAUGUUUAUGGAAAAUUUUGAGAUUUUCACCAGAUUAGAGUCUCCGAAGCUGGUAUUUGUCUUUACACAGAUAAUAGGAAUCAUUUUCCCCCCAAACUACAUAAGACAUGUCUGCUACUUGGUAAUGUUCCAUUGGCAGUUAUAAACUCUCCUGUCAAAUGUGAAUCUGUUGUAGCAUUCCGAAUGGUGUUGUGUCGUACAUAGAUUGGUAAUUGAGGACUUUAUUAUGGAUUUCGUCCUGUUUUGGUUGUGCCAACAAGUUCUAUCCUGUUCUUUGUCUUGCUGAUUUGCGUGGUUGUGCAUCAUGUUCCUACCAGCUGUAUAAUUAUGCUUCUGGAGCAUAGUUAUUCUGGUUUUACCAUCCAGAUGAUGGUACUAAAGUAUUUGUAUUCUAGAUUGCACAACUCCUUAUAUGGGAUAUUUUUGCAUCAAAUGCUUAGUGAUCAAGAGAACUCUCAUAUUAAACACAUUCAUCUUCUAUUAAACUAAAUUCCUUAAGUCUGCAGUCUCACAACUACAUCAUACCAUUCUUUUCCUUUUUUCUUCCUUUCUUGCUAUUACAGGUUGGUUGCCACUAAUAUAGUAGAAAGCAAAUUACACGACCCUGCUUCCAUAAGACCUUUCUUAUUCCAUAGGUUGAAAUAGAAAAAACACUCGAUGGGACUAAUGCUUCUCUUUGCAAGCAAGCAAAUUAAAAUGUUUUGAAACCCAUGCUGCCAUGAUCUAGCUAAUUUGCAUUUUAUAUGUCUACUCCUUUCUAUUUACUCAAAUUGUGUAUUUCUUUUGCUUGUAUUUAUUUCCUGAUGAGUUUAUUCUGAUUCUUUGAUCAGGAUUUCUGCAAUCACAUUGCUUGCUAUUGAAUUUUCAAGGGCUUAAUAUGAAUUAUUAAUAAAGAAGUUGUUUAAUUAUUUCAGCAGCUUAUACUUUGUAAUUUCUUUUAACAACUCUUAUCUCUGAUGUUCAUUUGUAAUAAAUAGCUGGAGAAAGGGCCCAACGUGAACGCCUUCGGGACUUAGCUGUGUUUGAGAGGUUACAUGGAAAUCCUGGGAAAACAUCUCCAAGCCUUGCUGUCAAAAAGGUAAACCCUACAUCUCAUGCCUCUAUACCGCAUCUUAGCUUCUCAUCUUGCAUCGGACAAUGAUACUCUUAUUGAAUCAUCUUUACCAUAUCAGCCAUCAACAUGUGCACUUAUUGAGCACUAAUUCAGGCACUGAUACUUGUGCUUUUGUUUUGUUUUAUCUUCUCUUGUCUUGUUUUGUUAUGGAUGUGAUUGUGUUGGAUGACCUGUAUCUGUGUUAGACACCAAAGCCUAUCUUAAUGGUACUGUAAAGUAAGACUAUGCUAAUAAGCUAUUGAUCUGUUACAGGGUUUAUGCCAAACUGAUUUUUUAGUUUCUCUAGUAGAAAACUUGUUUUUUCCCCUGUUAUAUCGGUGCUAUUGUUGGAUUUGUGUUUGUUGUUGAUCAAGCAUUUGCUGAAACUUUUUUUUUUUUUUUUUUUCCUUUGCUUCUUGAUGUGCAAAGCAUUAUUGUUUGAAUUUUAAUGAUCCCAUUUGAUUCACUAUUCAAUAUUUUUAUUUGAUAUUACAUCUAUCUCAUUUGUUUUCUUUUCUUAGUUUUUAUUUUUAUAUUUUAUAUUUUUAAUUUUUUUUUAAUUUUUUGAAUUAGUGACAUUUGAAUUUGAUGGAGCCACCAUUAAUUUAUUUUUCCUUAUUAUUGUGGGGUGUGCUUUAUUUUGUUCAAUUGUUGUUGCACUAUUAUUAUCAUGUAACUUUUUUUUUUCUUUUCUUUUUUUUUUGUUUAAUCUAUUGUUCCUAUGAGCAUUAAAUGCUCCUAAAAUGUAUGGAAUAGGCUAAACCUUUCUAUAGUUUUUUUAAAAAAACUCAUUUAUUAUCUAUUUUCUUGUGCUCAAAAAAUUAUAUUUUUUUAGUAAAAUUGAAAAUUUAGGGAGCGCUUAGGCCCCAGCGGCUCAACCCCUUGAGGGUUUAUGCCUAUUGUAGCAAGAUGUGGACCCCCUUGCCUCUUAUGCUUUUACCUUAUGAAACUAUACCAAGAAAAAAACGCCACAACUCCCUGCUGCCAUCAAAGGAUACUUCAAAUUUUGCUUGAUAUCAAUUUUAAGGCUAAUUAUCAUAGGCUUGUCAUCAUGUCACUAAAAUUGGUAUUGUAACCAAAGUCCUAUUGCGAAAUCUUCAAGUUGCAGCUCCUUUUUUUCUGUUGGCUCUUGUAUUGUUAGGUGGCCGCAACCUGUUGCUUUACUUAUGCUUUAUGAACUACUCCAGUUAAAAUAAUGCUUCGAGUAGAUGCUUUUUGGAUCUUGACUCUAGCAAGAGGCUUAUAUUGCAAAUUUUUUUUGUGGAGUCCUAGAUAGGUUAACUAGGAAGACAAUAGCUUGCUUAAAAGGAUUGCCACCUCUCCUGUUGGGUUUGUAAAAAUUUUGCUUCUCCCUUGACCUUGGGAGUCCUGUGGUUUCAAUUUUGGGUGUGCUCUAGGUUGUAGCCUGUGUUAUGCUUUCUAAAUGGUAAUCUUCUUGUUUUGGUUGGGAUGCUUUUGUUUAUUUUGCUUGUUUGCUUUCUUUGUUUCUUUAUAAUUGUGGCUAUAGGAUCACCAAUCAACUUUAUAUUUUUUGCAAAAACUGUUUAUGUUUCAUAACGAAAAAGGAAAAAACAAAGGCAAGUUAGCCUACAAUAGGUUCUAUCUUGUUUCUUCUUUUACCAUUAGUGUGGAUUCGAACUCAGGAAAAGGCCUUCAAGCAAGUGGCAUUUGUGUUUUUUAAACAUAUAUCUUUGUUCAAUCAUUGUUAAGUGUUUGUUGUCUUGUCUGUUCUUUUGGUUGUUUUUGUCUUUGUCAAAGUGUAUAACUGUAAUAUCCUACAUCGUAUAGAAGAAAAAGUUUCUAGUGCUAUAUAUGUAUGAAUUUCUUUUAAUCUUGUUGAUUCGUUUUUAAGCCGUGAGGGUCGCUUAGGCUCAAAACAAAUAAUAUCCACACAACUGGGAGCAGGUUGUUACAAAUGGUAUCAAAGUCAAUGCUCGACCUUGGUGGGAGAGUUUGUUUGGCCUGAAAUGGGUGUCCGUUUAUUUGACCCUACAAUCCUGUUGGACACAACAAGAACGUUGUGUCUGCAUGAGAGAGAGGGUGAUUGUAAUAUCUUACAUUAGAUAGGGGGAAAAGUUCCUAACGUUAUAUAUAUAUAUAUGUCUGUAUGUAUGUAUGUAUGUAUAUAGACUCCUUUUAACCUUGUAAACGUAUUUUAAAGUCAUGAAGGCCCCUUAAGUAUAAGGUGGAUAAUAUCUAUACGGUUGAGUGCAGGUUGUUAAAAUAAUUACUUUUAACUUUCCUUCCAUAUGUUUAAUUGCAUAACAUUAUUAUAGCAAAAUAUUAAUCUAUCAUAAUGCAACGUCUUGUAAAGCUUAUGUUAGGUGUCAUGAUUUUAUCUCUUGUCAUUUUUAUUAUUUUGAUUCAAUAUCAUCUUAGCUUAUAAUCAUUUAUACACUUGAUGCAUGAGAAAUGAAGAUGCUAUAAAUUGUAGGAUUCUUUUUCUCCAAUUUGUUCCUUGAUAUUUUAUAAUGCCAUGAAAUGUCUAUAUUUUGAUGCAGAAAGCCGUUCACCCUCCAUCUCUCUCACUAGUUUUGCAGAACCAUUGCCACUAAGCACAUGCAGGCGUCAGAUGUGCGGCCACUUCCAGUGUUGGAAGAGACUUUGAACUACCUAUUAAACCUGUUGGAUGCCACGGAACAUCCUUUUGAAGUGGUUCAUGAUUUCGUCUUUGAUAGGACAAGAUCAAUAAGACAAGAUCUUAGCAUGCAGAAUAUCGUUAAUGAUCAAACAAUUCAUAUGUAUGAAGAAAUGGUAUGAAUUUCUUGAAACAUAAUCUCAAUUACCUUUUUUUUCUGAGCAUUCAUCUCCUCAACAUACAAUAAGUUAGCCAACCCAUUGCUAAACACUCACCUAGUUGGAGAAAAUAAUCAAAGUAUACAAGAUAUAAAAUGUUGAAUAAUUGAGUCAUUAUCCUCUCCUUUUGCUUUAUUGAAUAAGAUAAUUUAUUCAGUGGAGUCCAAACGAGGUGAAACUGUGAUCACACUACUUGAAGCCUACUUUACAAUGGAUAAAUGAAUGGUCUGAUUCUAAAUCUUUCUUGGCACAUUAGUUAUUAUCCAAUCCGUUCUAAUUAAAUUAUCCACUAUUAAGUGUCUAUUUCCAGUCACCCUCCAAGUUAUGAAAGACCCAUAGAACCAAAGCAACUCACACCACAUGUGAUGGGAAUUGAUGCUCUCUUCCAUAAUGUCAAGUUUUCCAGUACACUUGCUGACUUUGUAGAAUAUGCCUACAAAAAGGGCUGCCACCUCCUAAUUCCCAAUCAUAGAAGUUUCUUAACCAUAUUUCAAAAGCUGUAUUUCCUGUUCCCCCUCUUAAAGUUUUUUAAACCUAUAUCUCUUUAUCCUAGUAAUUUGGAAAAAUGAGGAAAUUAUUUAACAAGAACUCCAUCAAUUUGUUCCUUAAAAUUUUCUAUAGUUUCUAUCUCUCUCACUUUUGAUUCAAAUUCUUGAAGCAAAGGAACAAAUUCAUGGCCAGUAACAAUUUUAGCCAAGCAAUAGAAUGCACAACAAACAUGCAUAUGAAUGACUUGUGUUUUUUUAUGAUAAUUGAUUAGAUAUUUUAAUCUCAUCCUAAAACCUUGGAGUUAGCUAAAAGCCGCAUCUUAUGUUCUGACUUGUGGUUUGUUUCAUAAUAUAGGUGAAAUUUCAUAUUAUAUCCCACCACAAGCUUCGCAGUUGUAGUAGCAAGCCAAAUUUUUCUUCAGUUCAUUACCUCAAUAUGGAGCAGCUGAAAAAGUGUCUGAUAUCUCUAUAUGCUCUAUACGAAGAAAAUCGAAAUUCAAAUUCUAUUUACAAGAAUGAACCUGAGUUUUGCUCAUUUCACGUUCUUCUUCAUCUUGGCUCUAACAACCAACCAUUGGUGGAUACUUGCUUCCAUUGUUUGUUUGAGUUCAUCUUUUUCAGUAUCUCUUGUAGCCUUGUACUGGUUUCUGAAUAUGUUACUAUUUCUGUUCUGAAGGGAGAGUCACUCUCUUUAUGGUUGGGUCGUGUACCUUCUCUCAUUUUGAAGUCAAAGGAAAUGUGUUUUGCCCGGAGACUUUUAAGGUGACCACAAAGCUAUUAUAGAUUCGAUUUUCAAUUGAUUUUUUUCUCUUCUUUUAGUACCCAAUGUUCAAAUUUUUGUUUUCAUGAACUGAAAGAUCUGUCUUUUCUUGUAACAGAUUAUUUCGGAUGGGCAAUUAUAAGCGUUUCCUUUGUACUACAGCAACUGAGGCAUCUUAUUUGCAGUACUACAUUAUUGAACCUUACAUCAAUGAGGUUGCUUAAAUAUGUUGAUUUUGCUAGAUUUUUCAGUUUGAAAAAUAUAUGCUUCUUUGUUCAUUUAUUGUUUUUCAGUUUCAUUUCUGAGAAUAUAUCUCAAAUCUAGACUCGAGUACUUGUGCUUUUGGGUUUUAUUUUUCUUUCAUUUUUGUUAGUAGUUGUACUUCAUUAUUCUUAAAUUUCUCACCAACUGUUUCUUUAUGUGGUUUAUUGCUCCUCACUUUCUUCAUUCAUCUGAAGUGUUCAAAUUCAAUUAGCUUGUUUCAUAAACUAGUUCUUAUUUAGAAGUUCUUCUCAACUGCCUUUUUUUAGUGCUUCUAAAAGACAUGCCUGAUUUAUAUACAUUUUUGUUGGUUUUCUUUUGACCGUAAAAGGUUCGAGCAUUGGCAUUGUCAUGUGUAAAUUAUUGUGGCUACAAACUUCAUCCAUAUCCAAUUGCACACUUGUCCAAACUCUUGAUGAUGAAGGUAUGAUUGCAUUUACUAGCAUUAAAUUGCUAAAAUUUGUCAUCCAAAGUUCCAAUUUCUUUUGAACCUUGAAGACUUCAUUUGCAUUCUUGUAGGAAUUAGAUGUGGAAUCAUUUUGCAAUGCUUGUGGUCUUGAGACCAGCACUGGUGAGCGGGGAAAUAAGUUCUUAUCAACCAAGCAAACAAACUUCCAUUAUCCCAAGGAAGUCUUUCCAAGCUACUGCCUUCUGAGUUUGGAACACUUUUAGAGGUAACAAUCAAUUGGAACUAGUUACUCUUUCAAACUUCUUAUUGUACAAAUAUAACCUGCAUGUGCAACCAUUUCUGAUCCCAUAAUUUCAAGAAUUUAUGACACCUUCUAGUGGUUAGUUUUUCUGGGAAUAGAGUAAAGCAAUCUAUUCACUCCCAGAAACUAUCGUCAGAGGAACAGUAGAUAACCCCGCAAGACCAAAUUUAUGUAUGUUGCAUGGAGAUGCAUGUUUUCUGCAUCCCAAUCAUGCAGUGUUGUGUCAAAUGGAAUAAUAGCAGGUGAUGAUAAGUGGUAUUUCUAAAAUCUUCUAAGAGUAUUCCAUCUAUUGUAAUAUUGUUUUACUUAAAAUUGUCUUUUUGAGUCUUAUGUGUAAAUAUUCGAGUUGACCUCUUGUAAGCUAUCAAUUGAUGUUGUAACUUAACUUGAAAGGGAAAUUCUAUAAAUUUAGCCUUGGUUUGGCUCUUGGAAAGCAAAGAAAAAUUAGGUUAGUGAGUUGAUUUCUUCCCUUCCCAUGGAUGUAAGCACAUUCUUGAAUCACGUUAAUUAUUUUUUGGUUUAUUUUGUUGUUUUGUUGUUUAUUGUUCAAUUGUCUCCGCAUAACAAGUGGUAUCAGAGUUGUUUCCGACACACUAGAUGAUUCUUGUGCUAACACAAUGUUUGAGGCUAAAUAUAAGAUAGUAAAAGUUUCUAAAAUAUUUCCCUAUGACAGCUGCCAAUAAAGAAUGUACUUAACAGGAAGUUUGUAAGGUGUUACAUGGCAUGUUGAACAAAAUAUCUGAAAUAUUUGGGGCCACCGAUCCAACAAUAGCAGAUUAUAACACAAGAAGAGACCCUCUAAUCACCAUUUUUGCUUUUGAUUCUUCUUUACAAAGCAUCAUCUACUUUAUACAAAAAGACAACCCAUGGCUGAGCCCACAUUAUUCUCUACAUAUCCCAAAAAAGCCUUACAAAUUUUAGGGCAUGACGCUCUUUUUGGGGGUAUUUUUGGUACUAAAUUUGUGGUAGUCUCUCCAAUACCUAAACUAACCUCCAGAUUUUAAGGCAUGGCCCACUCUUUAAGGUGGUGUUUUGGGUACUAAUUUUUGUUAGGAGAGGUUUUAGUGUGGAAACUGGAGGGCUUUAGACAUGUCGCAUGUAUUUUCUUUUGCAUGCAUUACACAUAGAUCGGAGUUUUUGCAGUUACUCACACUUUUUGUGCGUCCAACAACACUAUAGUGCCACGUCACCAUAUGAUGGGCUCUUUAGUCUUUUCAAACCCAAAAAAACACCAAAAAAAAAAAAAAAACGAAUACUAAAAGGAGUGCUAACUAGCUAUGUGAAGGUGAACUUUUAUAGCUAGCUUCUUAGAGGGACCAUGAUCGCUUAGGCCAAGGAAGUUUGAGGUGAUAAUAGGUCUGUGAUGCCAUUAGAUGUUUUAAGCACAUGUGCGUUACACUAAUGUAUUCAACGAGUCUAUAACCUUGACCGACAGGUCUGGGUAAUCUUUGAAAUUUCAUUGUGAUGGGAAGGUUCCAUGCGAACAACACUUGCACAUGGGUUAGUCAAUCUUAAGAGACGGGGGAAGCCCGUCUAACAACGCACAAUGUGCGAGCUUUGAAAGGCAAUCGGGUUAACAUUUCUGAAUUGGGACAUGACAAUGACAACAACAUUAGGUAGUCUAGAGAUGUUGUCAUAUUAAUUGUUAUCAAUAUUUUUAUUUAUUCAAUAGAAAUUGAGGAUUAAAAAAUACCACAAAAAUUAGAAAAAACAAAAUUAAUUACAUGGCUUACAUUUCAGAUAUUUAAUAAAAUAUUGUAUGAAAGUUGAAUAUCAUACACUAUUAAAUGGUUGGAUUCUCCUCUUUAUUUUUUUUAAUUGUCUCAUCCUAUUAAAUUACUCAUCUAAUAUUAAUUUAUUUUAAAGGUAAAAUUAAUUAUAUUGUAAAAACCUUUUAAUUUACUAGAGUUUGUGCACAACAUCUAAUAUAUACUUAAAUACUUUUCCAUGCUAUAAUCCUCCAACUAAGAAAUGAAAUCAAAACUUAAAAAUCAUUUAUAUAUAUAGAUAUAUGUGAGUAAGGGAGGAGAUCCAACGGAUCUGUGCGCGAGCGAUGGUGAGAAAGAUUUCGUUGGCCUGGAAGCUCGUACCAGCCGGUGGAAGAGAAGCUUCGAGGUGGAGUCGAAGACUUUUGAGAUCGAGGUUGAGAGACAAAAAGGCAAAACGCAAGUCUUCAUUGAGGAAAGGAAAAGAGGGGUUUCCUCGUGGAUUAAGAUGGGGCCGGAGAGCCUAGGGUUUGUUGUGGAAGGGUUGGCUUUGUGUAUUAAGGAUACACGAACAGGCAGAUGGGUCAGAAAUUGGAGGGAGAGAGGGAGGAUCUUUUCAUUGCUGUGGGAUGAGAAUAAGGGAGGAAGCUUUAUCCGUCUGGGUGUAGAGGAUCUGGAGAAGAAGAGGUUUAAUAUUUUUAUCCCCAAAGGAAAUGGAGGGAAAGGGGGAUGGAUUGCGAUGUUGGAAACACUUAAGGCGCUGGUCGUUACUACGGAGAGGAAGAAAUGUCAGAAGGAGGAGAAGAUGCCGGUGGCGCCAUGUUUGGGGAGUAGCUACGCGGAAGUGGUGAAGGGACAGAAAUGUAAUGGCCGGUCAGUGGCUAGGGUAGAAGUAAGCCACAAGGACCUAUGCCAAAACCUAAAAAGGCUGGAUCAGUGCAUUGUUGGAUUGUGGGAUCCGAAGUUAGUCAAGGGGGAGGAUUUGAGGAGUUGGGGGAACCAAUUGGCUCGAUUGUGGGGGUUGAGGGGUAAUUUAGGUUUGGCUAAGUUGGGAAGGGGUAAGGUGUUGUUAGAGUUUGAGAGGAGUGUUGAAGCCGAAAAAGCCUUAAAUAUGGGAGGGCUUUUGGUAGGGAAGACACUGCUGCGACUGGAGAAGUGGAACCCUAGGACGGGGUGUCUGUUAGAAGGAGAGGAGAAGAGUGAGGCCUGGGUGAGAAUUGUGGGGCUUCCCAUCUCGUUGUGGGAUCGGGACAUCUUUAGAAAGGUUGGGGAGAAAUGCGGGGGUUCUUAGUGAUUGAUUCUCAGACGGAGAGGCUGGAAGAGUUGCAGUGGGCAAGAAUCCUGGUGAGACUAUCCGGCGAGGAGCCCCCUAGCAUGCUAGAAAUUGGGGUCGAGGGGGUGUGUUACUCGCUUGUCCUAUGGUGGGAGGUAAGGCCGGUAAUGAGAGUGCUGCCGGCAGAAAGGAGGGGAAAGAACAACGGUGAUGCUGUAGGAGGGGUUGAGGGUGAUGUCGCUACACGUGCAGGUAAGCGCGUGGUGGAAGUGGUGGAAGGUGUGAGGUCGAGACCCACAUGCAGUCUGCUGAUGGGACGAGGGAGCAGACAGGUGGGCCGGGGUCCCUUUGGGCUCGGUCCCGAGGCCCAAAAGGGCCGGGUCUGGGGGACCAAGUAGGCUUGCUUGGGAUGCUUGGCCCUACUGGGCCUCCUCGAGGCCUUGACUUGGGUGUUAGGCCCGAUGGGCUCGAUUCGCCUAAGGUCGGGCCGUUUUUCAGUGGGUCUUCGUCAUCUGAAGGGCCUUCGUCCUUAGAGGGCCUUAGGCCAAUGGAGUCCAUUAAGUUGGGUAGGCUAUCUGGGAAGGAAGAUUGUCAUGAUCCAUCUGGAGUGGCUCUGCCUCUGGUGUGGGCUGGCCCAAGUCAACUGAAGGAGUCAGAUGCUGAAGGCUUCCCUUCCUGGGUUUAUGAUGGCAGGCGGAGGCAAGCUGAAAUGGAGCCCUGUCUCGUAGAGAAGUCAAGGACCAACUGCGCCCUAAUUGAAGAAGCAACGAGGUAUGGGUGUGUUCCUAUCCCUUGUGGCUUAAUGGCAUCUGGACUCUCUCCUUCUCCUCUCUUCUUUUUUGGUCGGACCCCGUUGGGGGAUUUUUGCGACAUUUCUAGGGAUGAUAGGGUAACCUGUUUGAGAGAAACUCCCUUACAUAUGCUUCUCCCCUUGGGACCCCCAGAAGAGGAAAAUGCUUGCCGCUGGGAUUUGAGGGAGGGCCCAAGCGCCUGCAAGGAGAGCAGUGGUAAGGAGCUGAGGCUAGCCCAUUCGAUGCCACGUGAUGGAAAUGGAUGGGAGGAGGAAAGUUGGGAGGAAAGUGAGUUGGCCAAAUUUAGUAAGUUCUUGGGAUUUUCUACAGAAGGUCUGGAGAAAGAAAUUUUGGAGUUUCUGAUUAAAAUCCAAAAGAGAAGGGAAAAGGUCCACAGCAAAAACCUUCUAGAAAAAUCCAAGUUUGAAAGGGAAUUGAAAAGGCUGGAAUGCUCUAUUAACUACGAGGGGGGGAAGACGCAGAAGAGUGGAAUGAUAGUAGGAGGGUGUCAGAUUAUGGUGGUCAAAUGAAGCUGAGAAUCUUGAGCUGGAAUGUUCGGGGAGCUAACGACAACUCGAAAAGAAAGGUGAUUAAGGCCAUGAUCAGGAGUCAAAGAGUGGAUCUGUUCUGUUUCUAGGAGACCAAGAUUCAGGCAAUGACAAAGGGGCUGGUGAGAAGCUUAGGCAUUGGCAGGUUUCUUAAUUGGGGUACUCUGGAUGCCCAGGGGUCCCGCGGGAGGGAUUCUGAUCUGCUGGGAUAAGAGGACCUUGGAAAUAAUGGAAAUGGAGGUGGGGAGAUUCUCAAUUUCAUGUAGGAUGAGGAAUGUGGAAGACGGACUAGUCUGGAUGUUUACUGGGGUUUAUGGGCCAUUUUCUAAAGAGGACAGGGAGUGGAUGUGGAAGGAAAUAGGAGCAAUCCGAGGCAUUUGGGAGGAUCCAUGGUGUAUAGGGGGUGACUUCAAUGUCACCCUGUCACUGAGGGAAAGAAGUAAUCAGGGAAGACUAACGAGUGCAAUGAGAAGGUUUGCUCAAGUUGUUGAUGAGCUAGAACUCAUUGAUCUUCCAUUACAAGGAGGGAUGCUUACUUGGAGUGGGGGGAGGAAUAAUCAGGCAUGGGCCAGAUUGGAUAGGUUCCUGGUGACCCAGAGUUGGCUUGACCACUUCAGUGAGGUUGUGCAAUGUAGGCUGCCCAGACCGACCUCAGAUCAUUUUCCUAUUGUGCUGAUGGGGGGAGGGUUAAGGAGAGGUCCGUCCCCGUUUAGGUUUGAAAAUAUGUGGCUUAAAGCUGACGGGUUCACGGAUCUUCUUAGGGGCUGGUGGCAGGGAGUUGAGGUUAGAGGGAGGGCCAGUGUCAGACUAGCCACUAAAAUGAAGGUGCUGAAGCAUAAGAUUAAAGUGUGGAACAGAGAGGUGUUUGGUAGGCUGGAAGCUAACAAGAACUCAGCCCUGCAACAAGUGGAGUUUUGGGAUGGGGUGGAAAGGGAAAUGAGCUUGUCUGAAGGUGAAACUGAACUGAAAAAAGAAGCCAAGGAUUCCUUUAAAAUAUGGGUCUUAUUGGAGGAGACCCACUGGAGACAAUUGUCAAGGGAAUUGUGGCUUAAGGAGGGAGAUAGAAACACUGGAUUCUUCCAUAGAAUGGUUAAUGCUCACCGAAGGAAUAACUCUCUGGAUAGAAUAAAAAUUAAUGGAGUUUGGAUGACUGAGGAGUAGGAGAUGAGGGAGGGAAUAGUGAGUGCUUUUCAGCAGGUGCUUUCUGAGGAACCAGGCUGGAGGGCGGAUAUUGAGGGGCUGCACCUUAAUUGUCUAAGUUCCAGUGAAGCUAAAACUUUGGAGGUGCAAUUUACUGAAGAGGAAAUUUACGCAACCUUAAUGGGUAUGAAUAGGGAUAAAGCUCCGGGCCCGGAUGGGUUCACAAUUGCUUUUUGGCAAUCAAGCUGGGAGCUAGUGAAGGAGGAGAUUAUGGAAUUGUUUAGAGAAUUCUAUGACCAGUGUUCUUUUACCAACAGUCUUAACUCCACCUUUAUAGUCCUCAUUCCGAAGAAAGGAGGGGCUGAAGAUUUGGGUGAUUUCCGGCCAAUCAGCUUGUUAGGGGGUUUGUACAAGCUUUUGGCUAAGGUGUUGGCGAAUAGGCUAAAGAAGGUGUUAGAUAAGGUGGUGUCCGGGGACCAAAACGCCUUUGUGAGGGGUAAACAGAUCUUGGAUGCGUCUCUUAUUGCCAAUGAGGUGAUCGACUUCUGGCACAAGAGAAACGAGAAAUGGCUGAUCUGUAAAUUGGACAUUGAGAAAGCCUAUGACAGUAUUAAUUGGAACUUUCUCAUGAAAGUUCUGGUCAAAAUGGGUGUUGGGUCGCGGUGGUUGGAGUGGAUUUGGUGGUGCAUCUCUACCGCCAAAUUUUCAAUCAUGAUCAAUGGGGUCCCGACUGGUUUCUUCUCGAAUUCUAAGGGGCUAAGACAAGGUGAUCCCCUCUCCCCGUAUCUUUUUGUGUUGGGGAUGGAAGUUCUUAGUAAUCUAAUUAGAAGGGCGGUUGAUGGGGGUGUCUUAUCAGGCUGCGGAAUUCGGGGGAGAGGGGAAGAGGAGAUGAUAGUUUCCCACCUGCUCUUUGCUGAUGACACGAUCAUCUUUUGUGAAGCUAGCAAAGAGCAAGUGUCCGCUCUAAGCUGGAUUUUGGCUUGGUUUAAGGCGGCCUCCGGUCUUAGAAUUAAUCUUGAUAAAAGUGUCCUUAUUCCAGUUGGUGAGGUGGAAGAUAUUGAGGAGCUGGUUGUGGAACUUGGUUGUAAAGUGGGAGUACUGCCCACUAUUUACUUAGGGCUGCCCCUUGGAGCUCACCACAAAGCUGUCUCCAUUUGGGAUGGGGUGGAAGAGAGAAUGAGAAAGAGAUUAGCCCAGUGGAAAAGACAUUAUAUUUCAAAGGGAGGGCGUAUCACCUUAAUCAAGUGUACUAUGGCCAGCCUUCCUAUUUACAAUAUGUCCCUUUUUCGAAUGCCGAAGAGUGUUGUAAAGAGACUCAAAAAAUUACAAAGAGACUUUCUUUGGGGAGGGGGCAGCUUGGAGAGGAAGGUCCAUUUAAUUAAUUGGGAGGUGGUGUGCACUCGAAGGGAGAAGGGUGGCCUUGGCAUUCGGAAGAUUGACUCCUUGAAUAAAGCUUUGUUGGGUAAAUGGGUUUGGAGAUUUGCCGUGGAAAAGGAUAAUCUCUGGAGGUUAAUGAUUGGGGUGAAAUAUGGUCAGGAAGAGUUUGGGUGGAGAACUAAAGAAGCCCGUGGUACUUAUGGAGUGGGGGUUUGGAAGGAGAUUAUGAAGGAAGCUAAGUGGUGUUGGGAGAAUAGAAAAUUUAAGGUAGGGAAAGGGACUAGAGUAAAAUUCUGGUUUGACUAGUGGUGUGGGAAUGAGAGGCUGUCCCAUUCUUUUCCCCAACUUUAUGAGAUGGCGGUCAACAGGAAUGCAACGGUUAAUGAGAUGUGGGAUCAUAGCAGUGGUCCAGGAGAUUGGAAUCUUAGAUUUCAUAGAGGCUUUAAUGAUUGGGGGAGCUGGAUUUGAUUAGAGGACUGCUUAUUGUGCUUAGGGACUUCAAGCUAUCUUCAGAGGAGGAUGUGGUGCUUUGGAAAAGGGGGGGCCAUGGGAAGUAUGGGGUGAAGGAUGCCUACAAUGGGCUGGUUGUUAUCAAUGCUUGCGACUUUCCGUAUAGAGGCGUUUAGGUGGACAAGGUCCCAACCAAAGCGGCUUUUUUUGCUUGGGAAGCUGUGUGGGGGAAGAUUCUCACCUUGGAUAGGCUUCAAAAAAGGGCUGGCAGUUUCCUAACCGGUGUUUUUUGUGUGGUUGUGAAGAGGAGAGUGUAAAUCACAUUCUUUUACAUUGUAUAGUGGUAAGGGCCUUAUGGGAAAUCGUUUUUGCCCUUGUGGGGGUUCAGUGGGUGUUCCCAGAGUUUGUGAAGGAGGCGCUAUUCAGUUGGAGGGGCCCAUUUGUGGGGAAAAAGAGGAAAAAAAUUUGGAAUUCUAUCCCAUUGUGUAUUUUUUGGACGGUAUGGAAGGAAAGGAAUAGGUUAGCUUUCAAGGGAGGGGUGUUAAAUAUUCAGAAACUCAAGAAUUCUUUUGUUUGUACCUUGUGGAGUUGGGCUAGGGUGUAUAUUGGAGAGGAGUCCUCUUCUCUCUUAGGUUUUUUGGAGUGGCUAGCGGCCACUUAAGGGAGGGUAAGGUGCUUGUUUUUUUGUGCUCUCGUUUUGAGGCAGAUUUGUAUACGUCCUGUAUGCUUGGUGGCCUUUGCCCUUUAAUAUAUUUGUGAUAUUUAUAAAAAAAAAUAUAGAUAUAUGUUAUUAAGUUUAGGUAGUGAAACAAUUAAUGUGGAUAUAAAAUUAAUGCCAAAACUUUUGAUUGAUCCUUCACAUUCUCCACAACCAAACAAAGGAUAUAAGAAAAAUAAAGAAAGAAAUUUAGGGUAGCUUGAUUUUUUGUUCUCAUCUUGUUGUGAAGUUAAUAGAGGAAUGCUUAGGUUGGUGCUCAAUAGUUAAGUGACACCAGGGUAUAAUGAUUCUUCCAAUUGUGUAAACAUUAUCCGCUUUAAUUUCAAUGGAUCAUCAUCACUUUAAAUUGCAUCCACAUGGUUAAGAGCAACUCAUAUGUAUAUAAUAUCAUGAAUUUCUUCUUAUUCGAUAUGGAAUAUCAAAUUAGGUAUUGUAUAAGCGUUUCAACUCAAAUGACUUGGCUUAAUGUAUACUCAAAGCCAUGACAAAGGAACGUACAUGUAAUAAAGUGAAAAUUAAACCUUGUCGCCCUUCUAUCUCUAGUAUGAAACACAACUCCAUUAGCCCUUAAACAUCUGCAAAAAAAGAUAUACACAUCUGUUACAUUAAUUAAAAUAAAUGAUGCAAAAAGAGACUCUACAUGUCCAUGUACAUAAUUUGAUUAGAUUUGUUAUAUAUAUAGACAGAGAGAAAAAAAAACUGCUUAGAUUAAGGAUCUCAUUAAUUAAUACCUAGAAAAUAUAAAAUAAUAAGAAAAGAUUAGAAGGUGUGAAUCAUAAGAUAAAACUACAUUUUUGAAUUAGAUUCAUCGAAAGAUGGCAUAUUGUAUGAACAUUUGUACUCUAUAUAUAAAAAUUCAUAUUAUGGUUGAGAUGUAUUAAUUUGUCAUAUUUUUGGAAAAUUAAAGUAAUGAGUAAUUACACUAAAUUAAAUUAUUGACCUUAUUAAUCAAUACCUCAAGAGUAUAAAAUAGUAAGAAAUGAUUAAUACAAACUUCAUUGAAAUAUUUUUAUACACAUUGUGUAAAUAUUCUUAUUUAAUAAAAGUUUAUAUGUCAUUAAAUAAAUAGAGAAUUUUAACAUUAAUUGCAAUGCUAAGUAGAGGAGAUCCCAUAUUUAAGUUGUUGAUUAAGGCUUAUUUGAUAAAACUUAAUAUAUAUUACUUAAUAACUUAAGUUGACUUUAAGUUAGAUAAUAUUUAAGUUAUUUCCUUAAAAUUUAUUAUUUAAUAUUUACUUUCAGUGUUAAAGUUAUUUGAUAAAGCUAAUUUAAAAAUCAUUUUAAAUUUUCAAAUUGUCAUAUUUACCUUCAUUAAUUUGAUAACUAGAUGCAGAUAAAUGAAAAAAAGAAAUGAGAUUAAGAAUAAGUUAAUUAUUUUGAUUUAACACUUAAAAUUAAAAGUAACUUUAAAAUAUAAUAUUAAGUUAUUUUAUCAAAUAUAUUUAAUAAUUAAAUUAAGUUAUUAAGUCAAUGACUGAUUACCAAACACCCUAUAAGACCUAGAAAAUCGAAUGAGUUUUAAUAGUAUUCAGGAUGGGUAUGACUAGGUGGUGGUUCAAUGUUGAUUAAUCAUAAUUCAAUCAAGGCAAAAUAUGUAACAAAUACAUGUCAAACUGCACCAUCCAAAUGGGCGCCAAGAAUGUUACAUUUGACAAAUGACAAAUGCCAUUAAACCUUUACAGCUAGCAAUUAGAAGAUCACUCUCUUCUUGUAUCUCUCUUUUUCUCCAAACUCCAGGAGGAAAAACUCGAACUCCAUUAUUUUGAUCACAGAAAACAUGGCAAAAAAGUGUGUUGUACUUCAUCUUGAAGCUCAUUAACUUCAUCUUAAUUUGAUCCAAAUUGCAGAAACAUUCGAAACUCCAUGAAUCUAUGGUGCCUUGGUGGCCUACAUUCAUAUAACUGGGGACACUUUGGUUUGCACUACAAUGACCCCCAAACAUGGUUUGUAGAGACUUUAUCAAAAUCACUAGCUUCAAAAGACUAAGGAAAGAAAAAUGUUCUCAAUGAAAACUUGGAGUCGAAUUGCAGAUAAAGACCUAAAACUCCCACUCAAUGUGUUUUAGGAAUUGUUCUUUCAUGGGGAUAAGCUGUUUGGUUUGUACAUGUCUCCUUGGUGAUACUUAGAGAUUGGUGAAGUAUACGUUUCCUUUGUGAUCUGGUUUGUAUCUGGGCAGAUGAAUGUUCAUGCCAGGUUCAUAUAUGUUUAUGAUAUAUGUCACCCUGGAAGGAUCUAGAUCAAGGGGAUGAGUUUGAAAAGCUUGAGUAGGUUUAAAAUGUUCCGAGAAUUGGUGAGCAUGAUAUAUAUCAACAUAUUGCAGAAGACAACAGAGCUUCUGAAAUAUGUCAGAUUCAAUAGUAGGACAUCUUAUCAGCUGUCACUUACUGUAAUUCUAUGCUCUCAAUAUUCAUUUGUUGAAGAAGAAAAAAAAAUUGCUUUAACACUAUUCAAUUACAGGAGAAUGUUCAAUUAUAGAAGAAAAUAAUAUUCGCUAGUCUCUUUCAACUGAAUCAACAUGCAGAGAAAGCAGUCAGGUGACCAGUUAUUCACAUAAUAACUUACAUACAUUGUCUCUCUACCUCUACUUGUUACUCAUCAGCCAAGCUUACAGUAAUAUAAGCUUGGGUUCAUCUCUCUAUGCCACUGAUGAAAACUCCACAUGGGCUUUGCCUUUCUGGUGAUUUUGCAUUUGGAUUCCAACCCUCUCCAAGUGAAGUGGACUUAUUCCUUCUUGCUAUCUGGACUGCAAAUGGAAGUUAACCGGUGCCAAGAGGAUCAAAAGUUGGGCUUACCACCAAUAGACGGCUUGUUCUCUAGAGGCUAAGAUAUGUGGAAGACAGACUGGUAAUGUGAGCAGCGAACCAGUGCAUGGUGCCAUGCUUGGAGAUGGAAAUUGCAUACCAGUGUAUGGGAGAGCUUCAAGCACCCGACUAAUACCAUAUUGCCAACCCAGGGAUUGGUGUUGGAGCCUACUGUGCAGUUGCUAUUUAUGAGGACCUGAGGUUUCCAAAUGGAACUGGAAGCUGUUGGAGGAAAAGACUUACCUCUUUCAAAUGGGAGGUUGGAUCAAACUGCUGUUUCCAGAAGUGCUCUAAUCAAGAUAUUGAAGUCCAGUGAACUAACUUCAGGCAGAGGCAACCAAAAUAAAGCAAUUCUAAUACUCUCAGUCCUCUUAGGCCCCUCUGUGUUCUUCUUCUUCAUUUCUCUGGCUGCAAUUUCUCUAGUUUUCUACUGCUUGAACCUCAAAAAUCUGCAGCUUUAUCACAGAAUCCUGAGUACAAGCGAUGGUAGAAGCCUUUGGCACUGUCUAUAAAGGGAUAUUACCAUCAGGUUCUGGAAAUUCUGUUGCUGAAAGAAGUUGGAGAAGGUGGUGGGAGAAGAUGAGAAAGAAUUCAAAGCAGAAGUGAAUGUGAUAGGCCAACUCACCAUAAGAAUCAAGGACACUAGCUGCGUUACUGUUGUGAGGGUGAACACUGAAUACUGGUGUUUUUUUUUUAUGCACAAUGGCUCUUUAUCAAGGUUCCUUUCUGGAGGCGCCCAAGGACUUGUGUACCUACAUGAAGAAUGCAGUAAACAGAUCAUCCAUUGUGACAUAAAGCCCUCAGAACAUAACUCUUGGAUGAUUCUUCUACAGCCAAAGUUGCAAACUUGGACUGGGAAAGCUUCUGAUAAGCAACCAGACUAGAACACUCACAGGCAUCAGAGGGACUAUGGGGUAUAUUCAGACAACUCGGGCAGCCUAUGUCUCUUAUAAUAACACAUUGUGAAGCAUCAGCUCAAUGCCGGGGUUCAAUCUGCAAAGCAAGGGAUUCAUCAAUGUUUCCUUCAAACUAAAUGAUAAGGAACAGAAAUGGAUCAUUCUGCAUUUUCAGUGGUGUUUGUUAUAGCAUUUAUACAAGAACUCUAGGGGUUUCUAUGUAUAACUUCAUUCCCAUUUUGUAUAAUCCAAAUCUCUUCAAUCGAUUAAAUGUAUAAAUGAAUCCUAUUCAUUGUUUGGAGUAACAACAAAAUUCUGGAAGACUGGGAAAGUUUCAACACUGGAGAGAAGACAAAAUGACAAGACCAUAAAUUCUGGAAGAGGGCUUUGCUUUCUAACCAUUACCAUAAUUUUUGAGCUCAACCCGGAUGAGUAAAUUAUAUUUCAGAAUGUUCAGGAGAUAAUUCUAAAGUGAUGAACCUUCUACUCACAGUUUCUUGUUCUUCUUGAACAGAGCAAUGAACAUCAAUAGUUCAGCACCCAGGAAUCUCCCCUUCCUCCAAUUCCCCCACUGGGAAAAGUCACCUUUCCAGUUAAGAAAAUCAUCAGGAUUAAUUUGAGCAAAACAUCAGAGUAUACAUCAAGAAAGCCUUGAUCAAAAUCAAAAUACAUCAAGAGCUGCCAUUUUCUUCUAUUUCCUCUUCCCUGAAUGGAAUGUCUUUUGGACUGAGGUGAUCAAUGGUAACAGUCUAACAUACUCCUUAAGCUCCGAUUGAGGUCAACGGGGAUUGGCACAUUUCAUGAUUGGCAAACAUGAAUCUCAGGAUAAUCAACAAGUCAACAACUAUCAAUCAGUAAGGAAAAGGAAAUACCUUUGGAUAUUUACAAAUAAAAAAUUUGAGAGAGUCCAGCUGCUCUGUACAGAAAGGCUUGAGCUUAUUCCAUGGCCAGGCUUUAGAUGGUUCUGAAUUAAGGAUGAGAGGGUUGAGUUUUCUUUCAUUCUGCAAUAAGAUUAAAAACAUCAAUGAAACGCUAAAAGUUUAUAUAUAGAAGCCCUUCUAAAGAUAAGAAUUGGUAAGAGAGCCCACCCAUGGUCUAGUAAAGCAACAUCUGUUAGAUAAGUAACCACCAUUCUAUUGUCCAACUAAUGCAUUUAGAUCUAAGAUAAGAUAUGGAAAAAUAGUCGAAAAUAGUUAAAGACAGUCCAAAAACUCAUUUGACUAAUAAUUUUCUAAAAACAGUAACAUAAAACCAGGAUGAAGAAUCCACCCCUCUACCUGACACCACUUCAAUACCAAAUAAAAUGUUAUGAUGACCAUUUAUGGUCUUAAGAGACAGUGGAUGUUGUUUGGGCUCAAGACCUAAGACAAGCCAAAAAUCAAGAAGAAAACAACAUCAAAAUUGGCACAGAAACAAGUACAUCAACUAUCUAAUAAAGAGAUUUAUGCAUGUAACAAAUGCAAAUGAAAUAUGAUCCAAGAUUUUCAUGGAUUAAACAAAAAUUAUUUGAAAUAUGAUCCAAGAUGGCAAAAUAGAAGGAUAAGGUCACAGACAGGACAAUAUUAAAAGAAAUUAUUAUUUUUCUGACCUGAAAAUCGAGGCAUUCAGAACAGUACAAGUUUGUAAGUAGUCCAUGGAAACCAGGGAACAUAUGCAGACGUUGUAUUCUAUUGCAUAAGGCAAACACUCAAUACUUACAAGCAUAAUCAUGCCCAGAAAGCCAUGAAUCCCUUUCUGUUUUGCUUUUUUACCUAUUCUCAUCUCUUAUGGCCAGAAGUGCCCAGGAUGAUACAACCUCACCAAAUAAGUUAGAAACCAGCCCAUUCAGCAGGUUGAGUAGCCAGCUUGCCCUCAAUCUUCUUUGAGUCAACAAACAGCUGGGCAUUAUUGCCUCCAAUGGAGGGUCUGGAAAUAUUAGAGCCGGCAGCAGGGGUGGCUGUAAAACUCUCUGUUCCAAAACCCCAAGUUUCAGGGCCAGAAGUUCCUUCUGUGGCUGGUUUGUUGUGAUGGCCAUUUCGGGUCCUAACAGACUUGCUAUUGUUGUCUGGGCACCUGCCUCAGAGAAAGCCUGCCAAAGAUUAGAGUCUGGGCCAGGGGAAACGGAUUUUCUUUGCUGGAGUUCCCAGUCUGUUGCUUCAAUCUUUUCUCUGUGCUGUUACGAGAAGAAAACCUAUCAGACACAUGAAUGGGUACAAAGAGGUAAACUUCAGGUUUUGGUUGUAUUGAAAAGCACAGGAAACUUCACAAGAGGCAAAUUAUACCCCAGGCUUAUUGAAGAAAAAUAAAGUACAAUUGACUUACCCAAAUGUCUACUUUCUCAUUUAUAGGUUUCCUCCUAAACAAAUCCCCACAUCUAGGACAGGAAAAGGAAGAAACUGGGAGUCGACAUUUUUUCAACCAAAAGCACUAACUUAUCAAAAAACAUAGUUUUCCAUUCAACCUCGGGAGCUGUACUUUCUGAUAUUGUCUUCUUCAAUGCCCAUUUCUUCAGGCUUCUUAAAGUGCUUAUGAUUGGUGGAGGUGCUUCCAAAAUCACACAACUUCCAUAAUCCAUUAGGGCCCAAUGGAAGAUUCUCAGCAUUUAUAUAAGAACUUCAGGGUUUAUACAUAUGAUCAUGUUACAGUAUAAAUCAUAGUGAACUGGUGGAAUUUGAUCAUUAGCCAACCUCAUCAAAAACUGUUUCACAGUUGAGGGGAUUGUUAACCUUGCCAUGGGCCAAGCAGCAAUUUCUGAAGAAGCUGGGUGACAAAAAGUACCAUCAUUUGGACUAGUUUCAAUGGAAAUUCCUCUGUUUUUAUACAUGAUAUCUUCAGCUUCAGCUUUUCCUUUUGCUUUUGACAUGGCUGAAACUGAUCCUGAAAUCAAAAAUCCCACACAAGUAGAUAUUUAACAGAAGAGGAUCCCAAUCUCUUCAAUUGAUUAAUGUAUAAAUGAAAUAAUAAAAAUAAUUAUAGGGAGAUGAACCUUAUACCUCUUGAGUUUCUUAGUCUUCUUGAACAGAGCAAUGAGCAUCAAGUGUUGAGCACCCAGGAAUCUCCCUUCCUCUACAGGGAAAAUCUGACAAUCUAUCUUUCUUCAUAUUCCACUUCCUUGCAAAAGUCAAAACAUGAAGAAAAUAUCAUCAAAAUUGAGGCAAAAAUAAGUGCAUCAACUGUCUCAAGAAGAGAUUUAUGCCUAUUGCUUACCUUUUGCAGAAUUCCACUUGGUUAGAGCACAUUUUACAUGGCCGCCCAAUCACUGCAAGCUGCUGAACCAAAGGAGAGUUCAAACAUCUAAAAAAUUUGACUAACUCAAGUAUCAUAAAAUACUUCACAUGAAUUCUAAAUGAUCUCAUAUCUAAAAAACUUUGGCAUAAAAUUAUUGUUGUUUACCUUACAUGUUUCUUCCAUGGUCAUAAUCGAAACUUUGUUUAUCAUAAGAAAUCUUCUAUGCUCAUCCUGAUUACUUACAAUGAACACUGAAAUGAAAGAAAAAAAAAACACAAAAAAUUUAAAUGUAUUUAAUUCCAAUUAAAUGAGUUUAAUCAAACACAUGAAAUUGUGAAUAAAAUUAUUUAAAAGCAUUGAAAUUCAUGUCAUUAAAGUUGUCCAUAAAAUUUGGUAUAUUGAAGCAAGAAAAAAACAAAGCAAUUUGAAUGACUUGCUAAUAAAGCAGGUAACUAGAAUAUGCCCUAGAGUUGUUCCGUGCCUUGUAUAUAAGAAAUUUAAAAAAAAAAAUCCUAAAAAGAAACAAACAAAAUAUCCAUGGUUCUUACGUUAUUUUUUCUUAAUUUUUCAAUAGUUAUAAAUGGUUCAUUUAAUUCUUGCAAACCACCAAAUCAAAGCAGAACAUGAAAAUGUAUUCAAUAUUUGUUUCAGGCUUGAAGCUUCAAGAAAAAGAAAAUCUUAAAUCAAAUAAAUAGGACUAGCAAAUGAAUUGGAACUUGAAAGAAAAGUUCAAGCGCAAAAGAAUUACCUGACUCUAUAUUGGCGGAGUGGCACUUUGAUUAAUAUAACACAUAAUUGAUCGUUAUUUUUGGAAUGUGAGCUAUAUAACGCCAUUCUUCCCCUUUCUCAAAUUGACACCGUUUUUCCAGUAAAGGACAUUUGUAGAUGUACAGAUCAGAGAGGGAGUCUGGAAGUCUCUCUUUUGUCAAGUAUUUGAGCUUACGACAGUUAUAGAUCCCUAAUGUUUUAAGAGAGGUGAGGUGUUGAAGACCCACUUUUGUCAAGGAUUGGAGCAUUGGGCAGUAAUUGAUCCCCAAACUUUCAAGAGAGGUGAGGUGUUGAAGACCCACUUUUGUCAAGGAUUGGAGCAUUGGGCAGUUUUCGAUCGACAACAUUUCAAGAGAGGUGAGGUGCUGAAGACCCACUUCUGUCAAUGAUUGGAGCCUCGAGCAUCCAUCAAUUUCUAAUCGUUUUAGAGAGAUAAGGUGUUGAAGAACCGAUCCUGUCGAGAACUGGAGCUCUGGGCAGUUUCUGAUCUGUAAUUGUAGAAGAGAGGUGAGUUGUUGAAGACCCCUGCUGUCAAGAGACUUGAGAUUCGAAAGCUCUACAAUUUGAAGAGAAGUCAGAGAAGAGGGCAGCAAACAGUCCUUGGGAAAUAAUUCAAUGUCUUCACAUCCACCGUUGAUUGUGAAAUGAGUAAGAGAG